Molecule: long non-coding RNA, 120024 nt
Filed under: Malus domestica (apple)
Lineage: Eukaryota; Viridiplantae; Streptophyta; Magnoliopsida; Rosales; Rosaceae
Description: long non-coding RNA (MDOM_LNC006706)
Source: RNAcentral
GUAUGUCAACUUGGAUAACAGUGAAAGUUCAGAAGGGACUUGACCAGAAAAGACAGAGGUAGAGAGGUCAAGAUGAGUAAGGCUUGGAAAAUUCCUAAUGCUAGUAGGAAUUUGAGAGUAAUUGAAGUUAUUGUCAGUGAGGUUUAACCUUUGAAGAUGAACAAGGCGGAAGAGGCUGCUGUUGCUGUUGAUAGUGUUGGGACUUAAAAAGGCUUCACUACUUUGGAGAUGUUUAUCUCACAAAGAAGAAUGAAAUGCAGCGGAAUUGAUAGGCAAGAGAAAGAACACUCAAAGUGUUAUACAAAUUUUUUUUAUUCUCACACAAACUUAGUACAAGAGGAAACACUCAAACACUCUCACACUUCUUGCUCUCUUACUUGCUCUCACUUCUUCUUAGUUCUUGCUUCACAACUCACACACAUACACCUAUUUAUAGGCAUGUUUGCCGACCUAUGCCAUCACUAGAGUUUUCUAGUGUAUGAACAUGCACAUACUACACCAACCUAGGCAUUUGCUAGAUUAUUCUAGCUUGUUAUGCAUGCCACCGACAUGGGCAUUACAUAAUAACCUAUACAUUUAUGAUGGUUCUAGCCUUUUCUACAUACAAACCAUUUUUCUAGAUUUUCUUAAACUUUUCCAACUUUCUACCUUCUUUGCUAGAGUUUUCUAGCAUUUUCUCAUUGGUUUUGGGUUGGAUCACUUGUCUUGGGCCUAAGACAAGAUUACUAUUCAACAUCCCCCCUUAAUCUUGUCUUGUGACGCCGAUUGAGUUUCUCAGUCUGACAAAGUCUUCUUGCCUAAGUGGUUUGGUAAAUAUGUCGGCGACUUGGUCUUGUGACUUCACGUAUUCCACUUGCACAUCCUUUCUUGCAAUGCACUCUCUUAUGUAGUGAUAACGAGUAUCUAUGUGCUUGCUUCUGUCAUGGAAUACUGGAUUCUUUGUUAGGGCUAUUGCAGACUUGUUGUCGACAUAGAUCUCUGUUGGUUCUUCUUGUGGCAUGCUUAAUUCUUUUAGCAAGUUUCUCAGCCAAAUUGCAUGGCAGACACAUGAAGUAGCAGCUACGUAUUCAGCUUCGCAGGUAGAGAGAGUGACAAUCGGUUGCUUCUUCGACAUCCAUGUGAAUGCAGUGUCUCCCAUGAAGAACACAAAUCCAGUAGUGCUUUUUCUAUCAUCGGAAUCUCCUGCCCAAUCAUUGUCGCUAUAUCCAGCAAGUUUGUAGUUAUCAGAACUUGAAUAGAAUAAGCCAAAGUUAACAGUACCUUUAAGGUAUCGAAGAAUUCUUUUGGCUGUCUUCAGAUGUGUAGUUGUGGGAUUCUCCAUGUAGCGACUGACUAAUCCGACGGCAUAGAGAAUAUCUGGUCUUGUGCAAGUCAAGUAACGCAAGCUUCCAACUAAACUCUUGAAAAAUGUUGGAUCUACACUUUCUCCUUCGUCAUGCUUGGUUAGUUUGACUCCGCACUCCACUGGCGUGUUUAUGGGCUUGCAGUCGUCCAUUUUGAACUUUUUCAGUAUCUCUUUUGUGUAGCUUUCUUGGGAGAUGAAAAUACCUUCUUCGUUCUGCUUGACUUCAAUGCCUAGGUAGUAUGCCAUCAACCCGAUGUCCGUCAUCUCGAAUUCUUUGGUCAUCACUCUCUUGAACUCUUCAAACAUGCUUGGAUUACUUCCGGUGAAGAUUAGAUCAUCCACAUAUAAGCACACAAUCAAAAUAUCUCCAUCUUUGACUUUGACGUAGAGAGCAUGUUCAUGAGGGCACUUGGUGAAGUUGUUCUCAUGGAAGUACUUGUCAAUGCGACUAUUCCAUGCUCGUGGCGCUUGUUUUAACCCAUAGAGGGCUUUCUUCAACUUCAAAACUUUAUCUUCAUGCCCUUUGAUUUCAUAGCCUGAUGGUUGCUGAAUGUAGACUUCUUCUUCAAGGACUCCAUUUAGGAAAGCGGACUUCACAUCCAUUUGUUGAAUCUUCCAUCUGUUUUGAGCUGCCAACGAAAUUAGUAAUCGUAUAGUUUCCAACCGAGCAACAGGUGCAAAUACCUCAUCAUAGUCGAUUCCGGCUCUUUGACUAUAGCCCUUCGCCACUAAUCUCGCCUUGUAUCUUUCGACCUCUCCAUUGGCAUUUUUCUUUGUCUUGUACACCCACUUGACUCCGAUGGCUUUGUGUCCUUUCGGAAGAAUAGCGAGUUCCCAUGUAUCAUUCUUCUGGAUUGCUUCAAUUUCUUCAUCCAUUGCUUUCCUCCACUUAGUAUCUUGCACUGCUUCUUGGAAGUCAACUGGUUCACAAUCAGCAAAGAGACAGAAAAGUGUAGGAUUAUCGAGUCUUUCAGCUACCUCAUAAAGAUCUCGUAGACUUCUUGUGCGUGGUACUUCUCUUUCAUUUAGACUCCCACUUGGUGAUGCUGAUGCUGGUGAAUUUCCAUGAUUGGUUGAUGUUGGUGAAGCAGGUGGAGUAGUGGAUUCUUGUUGAACUUCUCUUGCUUGCUCCAUCGUCCCUUGUUCAUUCUUUUCUUCAAAUUGAGGAAAGAAGCUGAGAUCACUUGCAUGAGAGCUAAAAUCCCAUUCUCCUUCUUCGUCGAACGUCACGUCUCGACUGAUCAUCGUCUUCCCAUUGUUUGGAUUAUACAACUUGUAGCCUUUUGAAUUUGAGUCAUAGCCGAUGAAGAUGAACUUCUCACUUUUGUCGUCGAGUUUGGUUCUCCUCUCGUCUGGUACAUGUACAUGGGCUAUGCUUCCAAAAACUCUUAGAUGGGAGAUACCUGGCUUUCUUCCACUCCAUGCUUCUUGUGGAGUCUUUCCCCACACACUUCUUGUUGGAGACCGAUUGGAUAGGUAGACAGCACAUGCUACAGCUUCUGCCCAUAACUCUUUAGGUAAUCUCUUACUUUUGAGCAUACUUCGAGCCAUGUCGAGGAUAGUUCGAUUUUUUCUUUCCGCCACACCAUUUUGUUGAGGGGAUCUUGGAACUGUCAAAGGUCGACGAAUUCCAUUUUCUUCACAAAACUCUUGAAAUUCCUUCGAAGUGAAUUCUCCUCCUCGAUCAGAUCUCAUGGCUUUGAUCUUGCAACCACUUUCUUUUUCUACAGCGACUUUGAACUUCUUGAAUGCUCCAAAGACUUCUGAUUCUGCUUCAAGAAAUACACCCAGGUUUUCCUUGAAAAAUCAUCAAUGAAGAGAAGGAAAUAAUUAUUUUUACCCAAAGAGCUUGGUUUUAUUGGGCCGCACACAUCGGUGUGAAUGAGCUCAAGUGGCUUCUGGGUUCUUGUGGUCGACUCCUUUGGAAAGCUUUUCCUGAACUGUUUCCCAAGUAAACAUCCUUCACAAACUUGAUUAGGGUGGCUGAUGCACGGUAAGCCUCUCACCAUCUCCUUCUUAGAUAAUAACUCCAAUCCCCCAAAGUUAAGAUGCCCAAAACGAAGAUGCCAAAGCCAAGAUAUGUCUUUGUAACAAAUCUUGAGACACUUUGUAACAUCGUUUUGAAUGUCCAUGGGAAACAUCCUAUUCUUUGACAUUUUCGCCUUGGCAAUUAAUCUUCCUUUGUCAUCUCUAAGAAAAAGGAUAUAAUUUUUCGUAUGAAAAUCAUAACCUUUUUCUAAGAGUUGACCCAAACUCAAAAUGUUGCUUUUCAUAUUGGGCACGUAGUAGACAUUUGAAAUUAAUUGGUGACCGCCAUUUUUCAAGGGAAUAAGGAUGUUACCUUUUCCUUUUACAGGUAUUUUGGAUUCGUCUCCAAAAGAAACGUUGCCACUCACUGAUUCAUUGAGCUCUACGAACACGCUUCUUCUUCCACACAUGUGGUUGCUGGCGCCGGUGUCAAGAUACCAUGUAUAGUCUUGGUCUUUAUCAUUGUUCUUGCAUGCUAGUAGCACAAUGCCAUUCUCUUCUUUAUCUUCUUUCACAUAAUUGACCUUUUCAUCAGGUCUGUUGCUUGGAGCUCUACAUUCCCAAGCAUAAUGCCCGAACUUUUGACAAUUGUAGCAUUGAACUUGAGAUUUUUCAUACCUCAAAUUUGAGCGCCCUCUUCCACGACCUUUUGUUGAGCUUUCUCCUCUAUCGUAGUUGCUUUGGUUGUUGAAGUUCCAACCACGUCCACGUCCAUAUCCACGCCCACGUCCGCGACCUUGGCCACGACUUCUUUCGUAUUGGCUUCUCUCGUUGUCGAAGCUUCCUUCUUUCUUCUUUGGCUGAACAUGUGUCUUGAGGAGCUGCUCAUCAUUCCCUUGCCUCUUCUUAUGUUUCUCUUCAUAUGCUUGUAGCGAACCCAUUAAUUGCUCUAUACUAAUUUCUUCCAAGUUCUUUGUUUCUUCAAUCGUCACGACAAUGUGCUCGAACUUGGGGUCCAACGAGCGUAGUAUCUUCUCCAUAAUUCUAACAUCUUCUAACUUUUCUCCGUUUCUUUUUAAUUGAUUGGAAACGGCUAAGACUUUUGAAAAAUAAUCAGAGAUUGAUUCAGACCCUUUCAUUUGUAGAGAUUCGAACUCACCUCUUAGUACUUGAAGACGAACCUUUUUCACUUGUUCGGCUCCUUUGUAAGAGGUUUGAAGCUUCUCCCAUGCUUGCUUGGCAGAGGUUGCACUCGAGACUUUCUCAAAGCCAUUGUCAUCUAAUGCUUGGUAGAUGAGGUAGAGAGCCUUCUUGUCUCUCUUUCUUGAAUCUUUCAAACUCUCCUUCUGGGGUUGGGACAGAGUAGCUUCAUCUUCUGGCUCAGUGUAGCCUUUCUCCACGACUUCCCAUACAUCAUGUGCUCCCAAAAGGGCCUUCAUUUUGAUACUCCAAUUAUCGAAGUUGUUGUUGUCGAGCACUGGAACUUGGAAGGCUGCCAUAGCGUUGCUAGCCAUAGCUCUGAUACCACUUUGUUGGGACUUAAAAAGGCUUCACUACUUUCACAAAGAAGAAUGAAAUGCAGCGGAAUUGAUAGGCAAGAGAAAGAACACUCAAAGUGUUAUACAAAUUUUUUUUAUUCUCACACAAACUUAGUACAAGAGGAAACACUCAAACACUCUCACACUUCUUGCUCUCUUACUUGCUCUCACUUCUUCUUAGUUCUUGCUUCACAACUCACACACAUACACCUAUUUAUAGGCAUGUUUGCCGACCUAUGCCAUCACUAGAGUUUUCUAGUGUAUGAACAUGCACAUACUACACCAACCUAGGCAUUUGCUAGAUUAUUCUAGCUUGUUAUGCAUGCCACCGACAUGGGCAUUACAUAAUAACCUAUACAUUUAUGAUGGUUCUAGCCUUUUCUACAUACAAACCAUUUUUCUAGAUUUUCUUAAACUUUUCCAACUUUCUACCUUCUUUGCUAGAGUUUUCUAGCAUUUUCUCAUUGGUUUUGGGUUGGAUCACUUGUCUUGGGCCUAAGACAAGAUUACUAUUCAACAGAUAGAGCCGUGGAGACAGCUGCUACCAAGAUCUAGGCCAAUCACAUGACCCGUCUUCUCAUCACACUUGACACCUUCCCAUGAGCAGCAGGUGCUAUUUCCUCCUUCAGCUGGUUUCCAUGAUGAAACCUUUGGAUAAGCAUCGGGAGAUCUAGAAGCAGAUUUGUCAAUAGUAAAGCUGUCUCUGAAUUGCAGCAGGGCGGACUUCUCCUCAUCAGGGCAAGAUGGAUACUGCUUCUGCGAAGAGUAGGAAGAGUUAGCAAUAACCACAUGAUGAAACAGCAACAAAACUAGUACUGGUUUUGAAAUGCGAAUGGUGGAGAUAUCAAGAAACCCCAUGACAACAAUAUUUUGAUUUUUUUUUUUUUUUUUUUUUUUGCACUCUUAGCUAUGUAUGGAGUGGAAAGUGAUACAACUAUUUAUAGACUGGCAUCAGCAUAAAAUUCUUCCGCAAAUUAAUCUCUAAAAAGUGAUGGAGAUGGGUGUAAUGAGGACAAGUGCAUCGUAUCUUCUACAUGUAUAAAAGAUGCUCUUGACUAAUUUAUUCGUGAGUUAAUUUUUGAAGUCAAGUCUUCCAACUUUUGAGAUGGUGUGAAAUUAGAAGUUAGACAAAUGAGCAGCACCAUAAAAGAAAAAAAAAAUAUUUGCAUACACACAUAUAGUUUAUCGCAUGAGUUCCUUCUGUAAGGGUUUAUGGUAUUUGUAUUGACACUCUUGUAAGGUUUUAUCAUAUUUGUAUGCCCAAUUGCAAGACUUAUCAACUUUGUAUUUGGGUACUUCUAAAUGUGUUGGACCUUCAUGCUUGAAAUCUUCAUUAAAAUAUGUGUAAUUUGUAUUGGAAUACAAAAUUAAACAAAAAAAAAUGUUAACGGGUGACUCAUGAGCUUAAUAGGUUGAGUUUGAGUGACUCAUUAAUUUAACGAGUCGGGUGUGGGUCACUCAUUAGCUUAAAGGUUCAGGUGAAACCCGACUCAAACCCAAUAAACCUGACUUGUUUAUAGGUUACCAGCAUAUAGUAAGGGGGAUGAAAGUUUCGAACUCUCAACAACAAAUUAAGACAUUAGAGUCAUUAGAUUCAAUUCUUGCAUUGGCUUGAAGUGGGAUGGAUUUGAAGCCAUAACUUUUCAUUCGAUAUCCAAUUUCUUCAUCAUUAGGACUUUCAAACUCCUAGCAUAUAUUAAGUCAAGAGUGCAGGUGUAACGAAAUUUUUCGUGUUGGAUUUGGUCUAUGUUGCAUUUUUCAAACCACAAGCCCUUUUUUCAUCAGAAAAGAAAUAUCUCAUUAACUCAAGAGAAAGCAAGGAAGAGAGAUACUUCCACUUGGAGUUGAAGCCCCAAGCCCCAACCAUAGGAAAACUGCAGAAAAACGUAUUUGGCUCAAUUCUAAUUUUCAUUCAUUCUCAAAUGUACAAUAUAUAUUAAAUACAAAUAUAUAGAUUAUUUACAAAUGCACGCCAUUUACUCUUGUGUGGUGCUAUCCACACACCCAUUUUUACCUGUCACACACCACUCCCAAUUUUCGGACGUCGGGCCAUGUGAAUGGUAGAAGAUCAAUGUACAAAAAUUAACAAGUGUGUGUAUGAAAUAAAAUGGGGUGUGUGAAUAGCAUUAGGAGAAAUUAGAUUCAAAUCCUUCAUUUUCCUACUCCAUUGAUUAAAACCUUAUUCCUUUUCAAUUUUUGAUCAACGUCGUUGGAUAUUAAUAAUAUCAUUAAUUAUUUCAAUAAUAAUUUUUUUAAAUAUAUUCCUUUAGUGUUAAAAAUGUUACAAUUAAUAUAUUUAUAUUUAUGGCUAAAUUUUUUAUCAUAUAUUUUUAUUUUUAGUUUGUAACCAUUUUUAAUUUGCAAACCUUUUUUAAUUUGUACCAAUUUUCUUUUCAAUUUUAAUUUGUACCCAUAUAUUAAUUUCUUUUUGUGCCCAUAUUUUUUAAAGUUUUAUUUGUAUUUGUGUCCAUGUGUUUACCAUCACGUGACAUUGUAUAAUUAAUCAAUAAUAGAAAAAUUACAUAUGGUAUAUUUAUGUUUUAUGGCUAAACUUUGUAUCAUAUAUUUAUAUUUUUAGUUUGUACCCACUUUUAAUUUGCAACCUUUUUUUUAAAUUUGUUGUAUUUUCUUUUUAGUUUUAAUUUGUACCCAUGUAUUUUUUUUUUUUGCACCCAUAUUUUUAAAAAUUUCAUUUGUACACAUAAUUUUUUAAUUUUUUAUCUGUACCCUAAUUUAUUUAUACUGUACCCAUUCUUCUUUAUUAAUGUACCACUUUGUUAUAUGUGAAAUGUACCAAUUUGUUUUGUAAAAUGUACCAAUUUUUUUAACACUAUGGAUACAUUAAUUCUUUUGCCAUUUAUUAUUUGUUAUUGUUACAUAGUUUUUAUCCAUUUAUUCAUCAAAAUGUUUGAAUUUUUCAUUGUAGCCGUUUCUAAUAAUAUUAUAAUGAGGGAUUUUAAAUUUAUAGGAUUAUAAAUCUUAUAAAAUAUCAAACAAUUAAUGUCAAAACUAUAAAAAUAUAAAUAUUAAUAGUCAUAUAAUGAGAUGUGCAAAGUCAAUGGACUUUGAUCAAACUUUGAAUACCAUUAAGGUUUUAGUUAAAAAGUGUUAGAGAUUAGAGACCCCAUCCAAAGUAUCUCAUAACAUUAUCCUUACUCUUUCAUACAAUUAGCGUAAUGCAAAAAAGUCAACGAACCCAUGUAGAAGAUUUAAUGAGUCGAAUUGUUCAAUGAACCAAACCCAUGUAGAAGAUUUAAUGAGUCGAAUUGUUCAAUGAACCAAAUUAACUAACACUGCCCCUCAAGUUUUGUUGGGUAAAAGCUUAGGCGCUCAAAGCUUACUUUUACCUGACGGAAUGAUUUCAUCUCAGAAGGUGUUUUCUUAUAGUGAUACCAAUUAACUCCAUGACAAUAAUCUUUUUAAUUAUUUUACGGAGUAAUUAGGUUUUCAUCCUUAUUGUUACUACUCUAUUGAUUAAAACCUUAUUACUUUUCAAUUUUUGAUCAAGGUCCUUUGUAUUAAUAAUAUCAUUAAUUAUUUCAAUAAUAAAAUAUUUUUUAUUUCUAAAUAUAUUCAUUUAAUAUUAAAAAUGUUACAAUUAGUAUAUUUAUAUUUAUGGCUAAAUUUUUUAUCAUAUAUUUUUAUUUUUAGUUUGUACCCAUUUUUAAUUUGCAACCCUUUUUUAAUUUGUACCAAUUUUCCUUUCAAUUUUAAUUUGUACCCAUAUAUUAAUUUCUUUUUGUGCCCAUAUUUUUUAAAGUUUUAUUUGUAUUGUACCCAUAUUUUUUUAUUUAUUUGUACCCAUUUUUAUUUUUGCUAAAUGUACCCAUUUUGAAGAAUGUACCCAUGUUUUGAUACAAUAAUUUUUUGGUUAUUUUUUAUGAAUGUACCCAUGUUUACACACACACACAAUAGUAUAUUUAUAUUUUAAUAUUUGUAAUCCCACAAAUUAUGUUUUUUAUUUAAAAUCUCAUUACUAUAAACAACUAUAAAUUUUAAUUUUUAAUUUAAAAAAUAUAGUAACGUACAUAGAAAUAAAUUAUCAAUUAAUUUUAGGGACUUGGAUCAAAAAUUGAAAACCAACAAAGUUUCAGUCAAAGAUUAUUCAUAACUAGGGACCGCAUCCAAAGUCUCCUUUAUUUUAUUUUUUCACUCUUAGCUAUGUAUGGAGGUACAAAGUGACAUAACUAUUUGUAGACUGGCAUCAAUAUAAAAUGAUUCUGCAAUAUGAUUUCUAAAAAGUGAUAGAGACCGGUGUAAAGGGGACAAGUGCAUCGCAUUUCUUCUACAUGCAUAAGAAGAGAUACUCUUGACUAAUUGAUUCAUGAAUUAACUUUUGAAGUCGUCUUCAACUUUUAAAAUAGCGUGAAAUCAGAAGUCAAAAAAAUAAGCAGCACCAUACAAGAAACAAGGCUUGAUGACGCAGCACUAGCGUAGAAGGAUUAAAAAUAUAAAUCCUUGAAGAAACAAAGUUUUUGGAACCCACCAGUUUGAUAGAAACUCUAAAAGGAUAAUUUGAUUAAUUGAUGAGUUGAUGAUUACAAUGGAUAACACCCAUGACUUAAAUAAGUCAUUUACAACACUUUUGGACAACUCAAAAGGCUUAGAGAAUUAAAACGAAAGUAAAUGACAUUAAUCGGACGACAAUUGAAAAGUCCAAACUUAUUACAAACUUUAUUUUUCGGUUUUGGAAGCCACAGUCACAAGAGUUGGCAAGCUCCGCACACAACCGAAGGACAUAGUUAGCUUAUUGAUUACUCAGCCUGCGUGCCACGAAUGCUUGGUAGUUUUUAAGGUCAACAAUUGUACAUUUGAGAAUGAAGGAAAAGUACAAUUGAGCCAAAUAUGUUCUUCUACAGUUUUCCUAUGGUUGGGGCCUCAACUCCAACUCGAAGUAUUUCUCCUCUUCCUUGCUUUCUCUUGAGUUAAUGAGAUAUUCCUUUUCUGAUGAGAAAAGGACUUGCAGUUUGAAAAAUGCAACAUAGACUAAAUCCAACAUGAUAAAUUUCGUUACACCCGCACUCUUGACUUAAUAUAUGUUAGGAGUUUGAAAGUCCUAAAAUGAUGAAGAAAUUGGGUAUCGAAUAAAAAUUUCGGGCCUCAAAUCCAUUGCACUUCAAACCACUGCAGGAAUUGAAAUAGAUGACUCUAAUGCCUUAAUUUGAUGCUGAGAGUCUGAAACUUUCAUCUCCUUUACUAUCUGCUGGUAACCUGUAAAUGGGUCCCGUUUAUUAGGUUUGGAUCGUGUUUCACCUGACCCGUUAAGCUAAUUAGUCACCCCCAACUCGUUAAGCUAAUGAGUCAUCCAAACUCAACCUACUAAGCUCAUGAGUCACAUGUUAACAUCAUUUUUUAUUUUUUUUUAAAUUUUGCAUUCCAAUACAAAUUACACAUUUUUUAAUUAAGAUUUCGAGCAUGAAGGUCCAACACAUUUAGAAGUACCCAAAUGCAAAGUUGAUAAGUCUUGCAAUUAGCCAUAUAAAUAUGAUAAAACCUUAUAAGAGUGUCAAUACAAAUAUCAUAAACCCUUACGGAAGGAACUCAUGAGAUCAACUAUAAAUGUGUUACAUAUAUGCAAAAAUUAACUUCUUUUUUUUCCUGUUUUUUGCGGAAAAAUUUUCAAACCUAACAUGUGGACAAACAACGGGAUGACGUGGAGCGAAUGUGACUACUGAGAUAUUAUGGUGGAACCUCAACUUCUUAAACAGAAACCCAUUAAUUGUAGAAGAAUCGUGUCUAUCAAGUGUCGAAGAGUCAUAUCAACCAAGUAAGACUAGUGGAUGGCGUUUCUUUGAUGAGAAAAGAACUUGCAGUAGUUUGAAAAAAUCAACAUAGACCAAAACCAAAGCACAAGUUCCACACAUAGGCCCGUAUCCACUCCACCGGUCGAAUUAAAACCUAAUUACUAUAUUUGGUUGCAUUCAUUAUUUUAAGAAUCGUCCGUGUAUAAGAGUCGUAUCAAACAAAUAAGACUAUAGUGGAUGGCGUUUCUCUCUUACUUGACGUUAACAAGAAUAUGUACACUUCCUAGAGACAUAUGUAGUUGGAGGAGGUUUCCCCAUGGUUGGGGCCUCAACUCCAAGUCGAAGUAUUGUCUCUUCCUUGCUUUCCCUUGAGUUAAUGAGUUACUGAGAUAUUUCUUUUCUGAUGAGAAAAGAACUUGCAGUUUGAAAAUAUCAACAUAGACCAAAACCAAAGCACAAGUUCCACACAUAGACCAGUAUCCACUCCACCGGUCGAAUUAAAACCUAAUUACUAUGUUUGGUUGCAUUCAUUAUUUGUUUAGUCUUGUCGACUUUAAGAAAAGAAGGAGUAAUUCAGUCAAUCUACACUACUCUUAAAUCCUUCUGUGCCACAUGAUCUUAGGUUACUUUCCUAUUAUUUAGGAGGGUUUACGAUUGCUUUCAUGUUUGUUAAGAAUUGCGUCUUUAUAAAUACACCAUGUAACUUCGCUCGAGUUGAGUUUGGUAAGAUGUAGUCAUUUUGUGUUAUGUAUCAAUUUUAGCAAAGUUUUGUAAUCAAUCGGUUUGUACUUCUUUUUCUCUUUCCUUCAUUUAUUUAUUUUUUACACACUUGCUCUCCAACCAUUAAUCUGGAUCUUGAGGUCGAAGAUCAGAUGGUUGAGGUCAAGUUAAGUGAUGUAAGACAAGAUAUGAGUCACUUCCUAUGAAGAAAUAUAAAUAAAAUAAAAUGUUUCAAGAGAAGAAGAAUUAAAAUUGAAAAAUAUUGGAUUCAAUAAAUAUGGAGAAAAGGCAGCAAGAAAUAUUCCGAUGUCAUAGGAAGGAACACGUCUCGAUCUUCGGGUUCUAAAGCCUGAAGACAAGGCUGCUAGUUCUGCGAAGUUCAAAUAUCAAAUUUGGCUUUCAAUGUGCCGAAUGUAGUAACCUGUAACACCUCACUUCGCCGAGAAGGUUGAUGAAAUGACCUCUACCAACAAGGACUUAAAAAUCCUUGUCGACCGAGACUUGGAUAGGUAAUCAAUCGGCCGACAAGUAGUGCUGCUUAUCCAAACUGAAGGUGCUCAUUGAUCGGCUGAUUCUAUGGCUCCAGUGUUGUUUAUCCAAACUGAAGAUGUCGUUGGUUGCCUUCACAAUGCUGUUUAUCCAAACUGAAGAUGUGUCGGUGAGAAAAAGAAAAUAAAAAUCUCAAGGUUGUUGAGAGGUUUCGCGUAGAGCGAGAGUUUGCGUAAGGUAGUUUGUGUGUUGAAUUGGAGAAGCCCUUGAAUGAUGCACUCCCUUCUCUAUUUAUAUCAGCGAGAACCCCUAUGGCCGAACUAGAAAUAUAUUAGGAUUAGAACUCCUUAAACCAAUUUGAUUAAACUUCGACCAAUCCUAAUCUUCAUAGGACUUUGAACCAAACCUUCAAACAAACUAGGUUCAUCUCCUAAUACCAAGUACUUUAGCUUUGAGACUCCUUAUUAUACCAGGAUUCAACUACUUCACCUUUAUUCGAAAUAAUCCUCUUCGUAGCAGGAUUCGGCUAACCUCGACAGGGCCGGCCCAUGACAAGAUUCUAAAUAAAAACCAUUGGGCCGAGAAUAUUUCUGAGCUCAGCCCAAAAUAUCAUUUUGGGUCCAAACAUUGGUCCAUUGCUUCUGAGGUCCUCGGCCUAAAAAUUCUGGCUGAGCCUCGACCUUGAAAAAGUGAAAUCAAACCUUUAGUAUAUCUUCGAAAGACAACGAAAAAUCUCAAAUAUUCUACCCACUCAGGUGCAUUUAUGAAGCACGAUUGCACGAUCUUAAUUUGUCAGAUGCUCUGCCACGUGGUGAUUCCUCAGCUUACUCGUCUGCCAUUAAUAAUGACAUUUGAAACGUGCAACCAUCGAAACGUCUCUUCACCAUUAAAUUUGCUGUCAUAUGCAAACGUGCAUCCUCAAUCCAUGAGUUCUUCGGUCUUCGGUCUCUUCACCUGGAUUCUUUGAAUAUCCAUCAUGAUUACAAAAUCCUCUGGUCAAUUUUACCCCCUAAGAACUAUUGAUCUUCCUCCCAAAACACCUAUAAAUACUCAGUUUUCCUUCAUUCAUACCUUACGCUUUUAAAAAUCUCAAAUCUCAUUGCCACUUGCUCUCAAUACUAGAAAAACCAACCUUCCUUUGAAACCUAUAAAACCUUCAUCUUCUUCAAUGGCUGCCAAUACUUUCAUCACCAAGUUGGUCGAGGAAUGCACUAAAUGCCAAAGCAUCACUAAUCGAAACACUAUCAAAACCAUCUGAUUUGAGGAUGAGCCAAAUGCUUCCCACUAAACCCUCGGUCCAUUGUUCAAAGACGAUGUUCCAGAAGUGAUCAUCGAAAUGCUCAAGGAGCAUUGCUUGAAACCCUUAUUCCAAGGGUAUGAUUGGUCGAAAUGGGAAUUGGCCAAACCCCAAGGCGUUUGGCCUUCGAUCACUGCGGCCUAGGUUGCCUGGUUCACUCAGAUGGAGCCACAUUUCGGCGACGAAUGGAAAGCUCUAGGCAUUUUUUAUGUCAUUAAACUCUCGACCAUCGAGAUGAGCUUAGAUCGAGAGCUCGUGAUGGCUGCUUUGAGCUUCUGGUGCUCGGCCACCAAUACGAUGGUUCUCCCCCUCGGCCCCUUGGCCCAACAGUGAUGGACAUCACAACCAUACUUGGCACCUCUCCUACCGGCCUCCCAGUCGACAAGUCUCUCUCCGGGUAUCAAUUUGACCUGGACCUGAAAACCAUUUUCGAGGAGCAUGCCAUUGAAUCCCUGACAAAGGAAAACCAAAAGCUGUCGAAGGAAGAUGCGUAUAAACUACAUAAAAAAUUCUUCAACUAUAACACCCUAAUCACUCACUUCACUGGCUCGAGAGGGGAAAAUCUUAAAAAGGGUGAACACGGGGCCUUCUUAUUCUACUGGUACAACAAAUAUAUAUAUUGUGCCAAGUCAAAUAAAUGCUUGGCUGAGAAUAUGCCUAUUGCCGAAGCCUUGGCUAGCGGUCAUGUCCUGGCCCUUAGUCCGGCCGUUCUUGCUAACCUCACCAAAACGGCCCGUUCUGGGUUUUUCAGCUCUGGUUGCAGGUCUAUUUCUCUGCGUUGCGGCCAGACCUUGCAAGUUUCAACUCUUCCGAAGCCAUAGGCCUUGAGCUGGCCUCACGACCCAUUCUUUCCCACUUGGCCAAAGAGAUCUUCAAAUAUUUCUUUGGCCUAAAAGACCUGUCGGACGACGAAUUCCAUAUUUGCCAUCGCCGAGCGUACCCCCCUUCCAUCAUCCUUCAACAUUGGCAUGGAAAGAUGUCGACGAAGCUGAUCUCCAAAAUUUCUAGGGGUCAUUUAUCAUCACUCGCAACCUGCCCUAUGGUUGCAAGGCUCGACGAGGAAGCUGGGAAGUUUAUCACCCAAACUUCUUGGCUCGUCAACUGGGUUUUCUUCAAGGAUGCCAUAUGCCAUUCCUUACUUCUCUUUCCCUCUUGAGCCGAGAACGCUUCUUCGGCUCUUCAGAGAGGGAGUGUGAAGUAGCUAAGAAGGAUUUCAAGGAGUGGUGUGCCAAAUUCAGUCUUCGACUGAAAACUCCAGAAUCCCGUUAUGCUAGCAUCUUUGCCGAUUGGUGGGAUACCUAUACUAAGGAUUUCUUCAGAACUUCGGCUGAGGAAAUCUCACAAAAGCUUUUUGGCGACGACCCCAAAAAAACUCUCGCCCUAAAAUCCAGAGAAAUGGCCCAAGGUAUAUAGCUUUCCUUUUUAUUUUUCUUACUUUUUUAUUUCGGACUUCUUUUUUAUUCAAGCUCAGUGUUUUUAGGUGAUUGGGAUGGCCACGGCUAAGAAAAAACUUACCACUCCCAUGAGGAAAACUGCAACUGUCGCACUAACCCCAUCAAGCAAACGAUUUCGUCCGAAUGCCGAGACGGUUGAUGAAGCUCCCCGGGCGAGAAAAUGUGUUAAGAAAUUGGCAAAGAAAGGGGAACAAGAGAUCCAUGUUAUCUUUAGCCAAACCAUGGGAGCAACUACUCCCAGUGCCUUUCUCAUUUCCCCUGCUGUCAAGGUCUCGGCCAUGGUGUAGGGAGACUUAGUGAUUGAGCUGGUCACCAAUCCGGCUGUCGAAUAGCCUACAACUUCAACACUGGCCGCUGCUCACGUCGAAGUCAGCCUGGCGGUUGCUACCCCGAAGAGAGCAACUUUUGUAGCAAAAAAAAAUCUCCCCCCGAAUCCAAAAAAAGCUUCAACAAUCAUCCUAGAAUAAGAGGUAUAAAAUUUUAUAAUGUUCUUUUUAUCUCGAACUCAUUGUCUAACGACUAAUCCAUUGUCUAGGAGGAUGAAAGUGAAGGGCCCCUACUGGUAAAACAUCCUCAACCAGCCGAAUUGCCGACUAUCACUUCUCAACUGGCAGUCGAGGCGGUGGAUCAAGCCGAUGCUCCCACAGCUGAAGCAGGUUUGGGUUAUGAAACACCACUCCAUGUCGAGCCAGAAGCAACAGCCGAGAUGCCGAUUCAUCUCUAGGACCAGAAUCUCAAUAUCCCUCCCCAGGAUGUUACUUUAACCUUUGUAAGAACCGUUACCAUGUCCCAUUUUCAAUUCCUAACCUUUGAAUUAUGAACCAAGAGCAACCAUGAAAAUGCCAGGUGCCUUAUCGUUCAUUUCACCGAUAAUUUUACGCGUCAAAUGGUGUUAUUUAUAUUUCUUGGUUGCUUCAAUGGCCAUCGAAUGUAGAUAGCCUCUAGCUGAUAUGGCCGAGGUCUCAUCUCGACAGGUCUAUCAUAACUUCUUUAUCUGAUAUUCUUUUGGACUCUUCUUUACUAACUUCUUCUUUGUGCAGCUUCAUGGGAAGUCGAGCUCGACGCUCUCCUCUUGAGUACUUCUGGAGUAGCCGGGCUUUCUGUUGCGUCGACCGAGCCUUCAGUAAUCGCGGUCGAAUCCAAUACCUUCGUCAAGUUUCAGGAACUUCUAUCCCUUUUAGCCUCACAAGUCCUUUAAUGUAAAGGCAUCGACUCUGUAGAAUAAUGCUUGAACGAUCUUGUAGCCGAUGGCUUGUUGAGCACCGAAAGUGUCGUCCACUUAUCCAAUAUCCUGGAGCGGACCCGACAAUACUUCGCCACUUUUGAAAGGGCUCUCCGAGCUGAGGAUAACCUUAAGUCUAUAAAGGCAGCUCAUGAUGCUAGCCAACCGAAGGUUGAAGCUAUAAAAGCAAAGAAGACUCGACUGGUUGACCUUGAUCGUCAGAUCGCCAAACUCCAGCGUCAAAGGUCGAUCGUCGCUUCAGAGCUCGAGAAAGAUUUUGAGGCGAAUAAGUCCAUCCUGACAGACCACAUAGCCAACUCAAAGCGGAUACAACAACUGCAGCUUGAUAAAAGAACAAGACAAACCGAAGUUACAAUGGGUGAAGUAAGGUGGUUGGAACUGAAAGCCGCUCUUAAAGCCUUCCUUCCUUCGACCCCUUAGGAUUUUGGCCUUAUUAACCAACUGUUGGAUUCUUUUUGUAAUUCUUGUUUGUAAGCCUUUUUGCAAAAUUAAUGAAACAAAACUUUUAUUCUCGCAUUUCCCAUUGAUUAGUAGUUUAUGAAUUAGACCAGUUCGAUCUUUAAGGUGGUAUGUCCCCAUGCCGAGAACUUUAUAGAAGACAAACGGUCCUUCCCAAUUCGGCGACCAUUUCCCAAAUUUGGGAUCUUUCAUCCCUACGGGUAACACGAUUUGCCAUACUAACUCUUCCUCGUCGAACGUUUUUUGUUUGACUUGUUGAUUAUAGGCUUGCUCGGCAAUCUUUUUUUGCACCACCAAUAAAUUAUAAGCAUCAAGUCGAGCAACCUCAAAGUCUUCUAACUCUUGUCUCAUGGACUGAUUGUAUUCAGCACUGAACAAACUACUUUGUUCAAUUACUCGUAAUGAGUUUAUACUUAACUCAACUGGUAGCAUCGCAUCGUGCCCAUAAGUUAACACGUAAAGGGUCUCCUUGGUUGCUGAUCGAGGUGAAGUUUGAUAAGCCCAUAAUACCUCAUUUAAUUUCAAAUGCCACAUGCCAGGCCUUUCUUCUAUCAUAUUUUCAAGAAUACUGAUUAAAAUCUUAUUACUUGCUUCGGCCUGUCCAUUUACCUGUGAGUAAAACGGCGGGGACUGUUCCAGUUAAAUUUUUAAACUCGCUGUGUACUUUUUGAAUCUGUUAGAUGUAAAGAUUGUACCGUUAUCCGUUAUGAUUAUUUUUGGUAUGCCGAAUUUGGUUACGAUAUUUUCUUCCCUAAAAUUACAAACUUCUUUAGACGUUAACUCGGCGUAUGACUUUGCUUCGACCCAUUUGGUGAGGUAGUCUGUUACAACAAGUAUCCACACAUGCUUAGCUGACUCGGAAGACGGCGUAAUUUUACCGAUUACGUCUAUGGCCCAUCCUCUGAACGGCCAGGGUUUGGUGACUAAGUGAAGUAAUUCGGCCGGGACUUUUUGUAUAGGCUUAUGAAUUUGACACUGUACACAUCCUUGUACGCACUCAAUACAAUCCUUCAAUAUACUUGGCCAAAGAAUCUUGAGUCCAGAUUGAUGAGCUCCGUAAAUUCCUUCGUGUACUUCUGUAAUUUCUUAAGCAGCCUCCUGUGGGCUGAGUCACAAUAACAAUAAACCAUCAUCACCCUUCCAGUACAACUUAUUCUGGUACAACACGUAAUUUAAGGCAUGGACCCUUGUCUUGCGGUCGUGUUUGUCACUGGGGUUAUCGAGAUAUCACAUGAUUGAUCUUCUUCAGUCGUCUGGUAAUGUCUUAACAGCACACACAUCUGCAGGAUCUCCUCGUUCUAACAACGAAGGUAAGGAAAUCACUCGUGUACGGAUCAAGUAGCUGUGUUGGAGAACUUAUUGAUUAACCAAGGCUGGGUGCGAUUGUCGUACUACAGGUAUAGCCCGGCCUAGCUCGCCCCCAGGAGUUAUGCUCCGAAGGCUAUUUGAGCCAGUUCGUCUGCGUCGGUGUUUCAAACACGGAAGAUGUGUUUGAAUGUGAUACCGUCGAACAACUCGGCCAAAUAAUUGGCAACCAUGUGAUAAGGCAACAGAGUACAACUCAUGCAACGGAAAGUUUCAUUGAGUUAGUUAAUCACAAGUUUCGAAUCGCUAAGGACGAGUAUGCGGGUUGCCCUCAAGUUGUGAAAGAUGCUGAGGUCGAUGAUAAGGGCUGCGUAUUCGGCCUGAUUAUUUGUACAAUCAAAAUCAAGCUUAAGAGAAAAAUACUAGCGGUGUUGAUCUCGACCGAAGUACAACUCGGUAUAAAAGACGAACUAGUUUGACUUUUAACAGCUGGGUUUAUUCGGACCUCUCGAUACGUCGAGUGGCUGGCCAAUAUCGUCCUGGUGCUAAAGAAGAAUGGUGCCCUACGCAUCUGUAUCGAUUUUCGUAAUCUGAACCUAGCAACGCCCAAAGAUGAAUACCCGAUGCCGAUCUUCGAUUUGUUAAUUGACGCCGCAGCAUACCACGAGAUCUUAUCUUUUAUGGAUGGGCAUGCUGGUUAUAACCAAAUUUUCAUCGCCGAAGCUGAUGUCCAUAAAACCACUUUUCGUUGCCUCGGGGCACUCGGCACAUACAAAUGGGUCGUCAUGCCCUUUGGCCUUAAGAACGCCGGUGCCACAUACCAACGAGCUAUAAACACUAUUUUCCAUGAUUUAAUUGGUACCAUCGUCGAAGUCUACAUCGACGAUGUGAUAAUCAAAUCAGCACGUCAGCAGACACAUUUGGAUGACCUCCGUUAGUUGUUCCUGCGCAUGCACUGGCAUAAUCUUAAGAUAAAUCCUGCCAAAUGUGCUUUUGGCGUCUCAGCCUGAAAUUUUUUAGGAUUCCUCGUCCAUCACCGUGGUAUUGAGAUGGACGACAACAAGGCUCACGCAAUCAUUAAUGCUCCACCCCAAACGACUAAGAAACAACUACAAUCAUUGCUCGGCAAGUUCAAGUUUCUCCGUCGAUUUAUUGCCAAUUCAGACGGGAAAAUGAAAGCAUUCUCCAUGCUUUUGAAACUUAAGGACUCCAACACCUUCGAAUGGCGUUCAGAACACCAAGAGGCAUUUACACAGGUCAAGGUCUCCUUAACAGUUUUGCAUGUCCUCGUCCCACCACGACGGGGCCGACCUCUUAAGCUAUAUAUCUCGGCGGCUGAAGAAUCCAUCGGAUGCCUUCUUGCACAAGACAAUGACGCUGGGCAAGAAUAGGUCAUUUUUUACCUUAGCCGAAAUCUCAAUCCACUAGAGAUUAAUUACUCUGUUGUCGAGAAGUUUUGUCUUUUGUUAGUUUUUCGCUGCGUCAAAACUCAGACAUUAUAUGCUCCCAUCAGUCACUCAAGUCAUCACCCAGGCCGAUGUCAUUCGUUACAUGCUUACUCGGCCGAUCGUAAAAGGCCGAAUUGGCAAGUGGACGAUGGCUCUCUCUGAGUUUAGCUUGCAAUAUGUGCCCCAGAAAGCUGUCAAAGGUCAUGCUUUGGCCGAUUUUUUGGCCCAACACCUUUCCUCGUAUGAGUUCGGGGGCAAUGACGUUGACAUCGGAAUGGUGGCAAUACGUGGUAAUUACUGAACGAUGUAAUUUUAUGGUUCCAGUACUUCAGUCUCGGCUAGCGUUGGGAUUGUUAUUCAAUCCCCCACUCAUAAUCGUUGGUAUUUUUCUCUCGAGCUUGAUUUCAAUUGUACGAAUAAUCAAGCCGAAUACGAAGCCCUUGUCAUCUACCUCAGUAUACUACACGAUUUACGGGUAACUCAUGUCCUUGUUCUUGGUGACUCUGAACUUGUCAUCUACCUCGAUGUACUUUUCGUUGCAUGAGUUGUACUCUGGCGCUUUACCAUAUGGUUGCCAGCUAUUUGGCCGAAUCUUUCGACGGUGUUACUUUCAAACACAUUUCACGAGUUCAUAACACUGAUGCCGACGAAUUAGCUCAAAUAGCCUCCAGAGCACAACUCAUGGGGGGCAAAUUAGGCCGAGAAAUACCUGUGUCACGACAAGCACAUUCGGCCUUAAUUAAUCAGUAAGUUCUCCAACGUGAUUGCGUGAUCCGUACACGAGUUAUGUCCUUGCCUUCGUUGUUAGAACGGAAGGACACUGUUGAGGUUUGUGUUGUCGAUGCAUUACCAGACGAUUGAAGAAGGACAAUUAUGCGAUACAUUGAUAACCCUAACGAAAAAUAUGAUCGACAGACAAGGGCUUAUGCCACAAACUACGUAUUAUACCAGAAGGAGUUGUAUUGAAAAGGUGAGGAUGGGUUACUGCUGUUAUGCCUCGGCCCACAUGAAACUGCUCAAGCAAUGGCAGAAGUACAUGAAGGAAUUUGCGGAGCUCACCAAUCUAGAUGAAAAAUGCAUUGGCUGCUUCAGCAGCAUGGCUAGUUCUAGCCAAGUAUUCUGAAUGAUUGUAUUGAGUACGCAAAGGGUACAGUGUCAAAUCCAUAGGCCUAUACAGAGAGUUCUGGUCGAAUCACUACAUUCGGUCACCAAACCAUGGCCGUUUCGAGGAUGGGCCAUGGAUGUAAUCGGGAAAAUCACACCAUCUUCUGGUGCAACCAAACAUGCGUGGAUACUCGUUGCAACAGACUACUUCACCAAAUGGGUCGAAGCCAAGUCAUAUGCCAAGCUAACCUCUAAAGAAGUUUGUAAUUUCGUUGAAGAAAACAUUGUGACUAGAUUCGGCGUGCCAGAAACAAUCAUAAUAGAUAAUGGUACGAUCUUUACAUCCGACAGGUUUAAGGAAUAUUCGGUGAAUCUAAGGAUUCGACUCGAGCAAUCUACGUCGUAUUAUCGCAGGCAAAUGGACAAGCCGAAGCAAGUAAUAAGGUUCUAAUCGGUAUUCUCGAAAAGAUGAUAAAAGAAAGGCCGGGUAUAUGGCAUUUAAAGAUAAAUGAAGCGUUAUGGGCUUAUCAAACUUCUUUACGGACAGCCACUGGAACGACUCCAUAUGGUUUGACUUAUGGAAACAACGUAAUGUUGCCAGUCGAGUUAAGUAUAAACUCGUUGCGAGUAAUUGAACAAAGUAGUUUGUUUAGCGCCGAGUACAGUUGGGCCAUGAGACAAGAGUUAGAAAAUUUAGAAGAAGCUCGGCUUAAUGCUUAUAACUUAUUAGUGGCACAAAAGAAGAUCGCCGAGGGAGAGUUGGUUUGGCAAACCAUACUACCCGUAGGAAUUAAAGACCCUAGGUUUGGCAAGUGGUUGCCAAAUUGGGAAGGGCCAUUUGUUAUUCAUAAGGUUCUCGGUAAGGGAGCAUACCAUCUUAGGGAUAAAACUAGUGUAGUUCACAAGUUGCCAAUCAAUGACAGGUUUUAAAAAAAUACUAUCCAGUCACAUGGGAGAUUCCGGAAUAAAAGUUCUUUUCAUUAAGUUCGCAAAAAGUUGUACAAAUGGAGUGGGGCGAUCAGUUAUAAUCAAAUACUUCUAGGAUGAUGAAGGUAGGAGAGAUUCAAGAAUGGCCUUCAACUCUAAUUACCGCACCUCGCUCAUCUUGACCUCAGCUUGCCGAUUCCUCUUGUCCAUCUUCAGCUGCUCGACCCGCUUCACGCUAGUUGCAUAGUCAGUUAAGCAAGACUUGCCGCUCGACUCAAAAUCUUUUGCAAGCUCGGAAGCAAUUGCCGACCUUAGAUUUUUGAGUUCGGCAAUUUGACGGUCAAGGUCGGCGAGGGUCUUUUUUUUCGCCUUUAAAACUUUGACUUAUGAACGAAGAGCAUCUCGAGCAACUAUUGCAGCUUUCAAGUCGUCUUCAGCCCGAAGAGCUUUCUCAAAAAUACCAAAAUAUUCUUGGGUUCAUUCCAAGGUAGAAGACGCUUGAGUGAUAGCUUCAGUGCUCAAUUGACCAUCAGUUGCGAGAUCGUUCAAACAUGCACCCACUGAAUCGAAGCCCUGGCAUACGAGAACUUGUGUAGCUACCGAAGAGCCAGCCACCCCUGAAGUACUCGAUAAGAGAGCAUUGAACUCGACUUCCCAUAAAGGCUGCACACGAAAAGAAUUUAAGCGAAAAGAAAAUCAUAAAAGAAUGUAGUAGAAAGAGUUUAUUUUAGACAUGCCGAGAUGAAACUUUGGCCAUGUCUCUUGGUUCGUUGCUUGAACCUAAAGAGCUUAAUGGCCGAGCCUAGUGUUUUAGACUGCUUCUUAAUUCACGCGGCCGAUGAAGGUUAUCUACGUUCGACGGCCACUGAGGUGGCCAGGAAAUAUAGAUAACACCCUUCGGCGCAUAGAAUUUUCAGUGAAAUGAAUAACUGGGCACCUGACAUUUAAUAUUUUUCUCGGUUCAGACUCAUUAUAAUACAAUUGACAAGAGAAAUUAGUCGAGCCUUACAAAAGUCGAAGUCGCUUCUUGAAAGGGAAUGUCGAGGUCUUGGUCCUGCGAGUGAACUAGAGUUUCUGACAUCGCUUCAGGCUCAAUGAAAGGCCUUUUUCCACGAUCGACUGUAGGAGGAUUGACCUGAUCGGUCGCCUCAACCAUAAGGGGAAGAUCAAUGGAAGGAGGUUUGGUUGGUCGAGAACGACUCGCCAGCGGAAUCUCAUCACUCUCGUCAUCCUAAAACAAAAGAAUUGUUAGUACUUUUGAAUUUAAAGAGUGAAGGGAGUUGCCAGUAUAAUCAUACCUCUUCUAAAAUGAUCAUUGAUUAUUUUGGAUUCUUGGGGAGAUUCUUCCCGAUCGAAGGGGUUGCCUCCCCUAGGACGGGUGCUACAGUCUGCCCCGAAGUUGCAGGCGUAUCGACCAGCGGUACAACAACUGGUUUGACCACGACCUCGAUGACCUCAGGGGCCAGGUGAGCUUGGGGUGUCAGGUUGGUUGGAGUUGGCCGUUUCUCCGUUGAGGCUUGGACAACAGGAACAGGAGGAGAGGCACUAGGAGUGGUCGCUUCGGAAGUGUGGUUGGAGAUAACGUGAAUCUCCCGUGCUUCUUUCUUCGCCAAUUUCUUGAUGCGUUUUGUGGGGCGAGGGGCUUCACCUGCCGUCUUGGUGUCAGGACGAGGCCGUUUGCUCGGUGCGUUUUGUGCGGUGGUUUUAGAUUUCUUGGAGGAAGGGGCCAGUUUUUUCUUGGCCACAGCUGGGGCGAUCACGUCUGCCUGUUUCAAUACUCGACCGCCUGAGAAAGCGAAAUCUAAUUAGUAAAAUCGAUUAAGUGUUUGAAGAAUAAAGGUAAAGAUAAUUGUAUACCCUGGGGCGUCUCUUUGGAUUGAGAGGCAAAAGUUUUUUCGGGUCGGUCACCAAAAAUUUUGUUGACUACGUUUUCGACUGAAGCACCAAAAAAGUUGUGGGUAUAUUCUUCCCACCAAUCGUCGAAGGUGUCGAUGCCGAGAGAUUCAAGAACAGUUGGUCGAAGGCGGAAUUUCUUGCACCGUUCCUGAAACUCCUUCUCGGUGUCUUUGCACUUCCUUUCUGAGGAACCAGAGAGGCGUCAUUGGCUUAAAAGGGAGUGGGAAGUAAGUAGAGGCACCGGGCAACCUUGGAGGUAGUUAAGCUGUGGGGUAGCAAAGUGGCGGUGGUAGACUUCCCAACUUGCUCGGCGAGCAUCGCAACUGAGCGCAAGGUCGUGAGUUAACACGAACGAACCCCAGUUUUGACGAAAACCAGCAUCUUCGCUUUCAUUCUAGGUUGAUGUGGGAAGUCUGAUGGAGUGAGGGUAUUCCUGACAACGACAUAUCAAAAAUUCAUCGUCAGAGAAGAUGUUUAGGCCAAAGAAGUGUUUGAAGACUUCGUCAGCUCAGUGAGGAGGCACUGGUCGAGGAGCCAACUGAUGGCCGAGUGCUACAGUGGACUGAAGGUUGGGGAUUUCUGGCCGAAGUGUGGAGAAAUAAACCUGCAGCCAGAGUUAGAAUACCCAGAGAGGUCCAUUCUGGUACGGGUCGAUCUUGGUGGCGGUCGUUUCAGCCAGGUAGCGUAGAAGGUUGGCAAGGAUAGCCGGACUGAGCACCAGAGAAUGACCACUAGCCAGGGCUUCCACCACGGUAUUUUUUCGACCAAACACUUAUUCGACUUGGUACAACAGAUAAACUUGUUGUACCGGUAAAAUAGGAAAGCCUCGUGCUCGCCCCUCCGCAGACUCACCUCCUCUCGGCCAGCAAAAUGGAGGAUGAGGGUGUUGUAGUUAAGAAAAUUCUUAUGCAACUUCUGAACUUCCUCUUUUGAAGGCUCUUGACCUUCUUGUCUCAACGUCUCGACUGCUCGUUCGUUGAAUAGUACCUUGAGGUCGAGGUUUGAUGAGCAUCCAAUAAGGGCAGCGUCUAUUGGAAUGCCAGAAUGAGGAGUCCUGAGGAUAGCCGAGAUGUCGAGGAUGGUGGGGGUGAUAGGGCCGAACGGAAGGACCAUGGUGUUGGUGGCCAAGCACCAGAGGCUUAGAGCUGACAUAAGGAGUUCUUUAUCCAUGGUAAUCUCCAUGGUCGAAACCUUAAUGGCGUCGUGGAUGCUGAGAGCCUCCCAUUCUUUACCAAAGAAUUUUUCCUUUCGUACUACCCAGGCCGCCCAGUUCGCUUUGGUCGAAGGCCAGACUCAUUGAGGCUUUGUCAGGCACCACUUCGACCAAUCAAAUCCUUGCAGCAAAUGUGCCAGGCAAUGUUCUUUGAAUAGGUUGGUGAUGGACAAUGGCACUGCGUCUUUAAAUAGUGGUCCCAGGAUUUGAUGAGUAGUGUUUAGUAGGCCUGGCAAUUGCUGACACGACCCGAUAACCCGACAUGACACGACACGAAAUUAACAUGUGUUCGGGUCGACACGAUAACGAAUCGGGUCGAUAUCGGGUAACUUGAUAAGAACCUGUUAAGAUAAUGGGUUGGUUCGAGUAUACACAUGGGUAACACGAUACACGAUAUGCAAAAUAUUAAUUUUAUAACCCUAAAAAAAAUACUAUAAUAAUUAUAUAUAUUAAAUUAACAAUUUUAUCAUUCAAUUUAUUAAGUGUUAUAUGUACAAAAUAAAUAAAUUUAAAUCUACUUAAUAAAUAUAUAUAUAUAUAUAUAUAUAUCAUUGAACUUGAUGGGAUACGAAUUCUACGAAACUAAUUUCAACGAUCUAACCAUCAAACUUGUUUGUAUAUGCUUCGAGAUCGCAUCAACAAAAAAUUAAAAAAAACAAACAUUCAGAGAUCAAGUAACGGGACAAAACUUUUCGACGGUUAUCAAUGAAAAAUCACGAUUUAAUGGUUAUUUUAACUCUGAUUUUGAUGAUGUUUUACAGCUACACUCGUUGACCCUAUAUGAAUACAAUGAAUGAACUCGAUCUUCAAUUUAAAAUAUUUACACUAAUGGAUACCACAAAAUCUUAUGUUAUACUUAAUGAAAGUUUGAAUAAACUCUUAAGUGUUAGUUAAUCUAUUGUUUUGAUGGGAUAUGCAUUAUACGAAACUAGUUUCAACAAUCCAACCGUCAAACAUAUUUGUAUAUACUUUGAGAUCGCAUGCGCCAAAAAUUGCAAAAAAUAAACAUUCAGAGAUUAAGUAAAGGGACAAAACUUUCCGACGGUUAUAAACGAAAAAUCACAAUUUAACAGUUAUUUUAACUCCGAUUUUGAUGAUUUUUUACAGCUACACUCCUUGAUCCUAUAUGAAUACAAUGAAUGAAUUCGAUCUUCAAUUUAAAAUAUCGACACUAGUGGAUACCACAAAAUCUUAUAUUAUAUUUAAUGAAAGUAUAAAUAAACUCUAAGUGUUAGUGAAUCUAUCAUUUUGAUGGGAUACGUAUUCUACGAAACUAAUUUUAACGAUUCAACCAUUAAACUUGUUUGUGUAUGGUUCAAGAUUGCAUACGCUAAAAGUCACAAAAAAUAAACAUUCAGAGAUCAAGUAACAGGAGAAAAUUUUUCGACGGUUAUCAACGAAAAAUCAUGAUUUAACGGUUAUUUUAACUCCGAUUUUGAUGAUUUUUUAUAGCUACAUUCCUUGACCCUAUACGAAUACAAUGAAUGAACUCGAUCUUCAAUUUAAAAUAUAUUACUCUAGUGGAUAUCACUAAAUCUUAUGUUAUACUUAAUGAAAGUAAGAAUAAACUCUUAAGUGUUAGUGAAUCUAUUGUUUUGAUGCGAUACGCAUUCUACGAAACUAGUUUCAACGAUCCAACCGUCAAACAUGUUUAUAUAUACUUCGAGAUCACAUACGCCAAAGAUUGCAGAAAACAAACAUUCAGAGAUCAAGUAACGGGACAAAAUUGUUCGACGGUUACCAACGAAAAAUCACGAUUUAACGAUUUUUUAACUCCGAUUUUGAUGAUUUUUUACAGCUACUCUCCUUGACCCUAUAUGAAUACAAUGAAUGAACUUGAUCUUCAAUUUAAAAUAUUCACACUAGUGGAUACCACAAAAUCUUAUGUUAUACUUAAUGAAAGUAUGAAUAAACUCUUAAGUGUUAGUGAAUCUAUUGUUUUGAUGGGAUACACAUUUUACGAAACUAGUUUCAACGAUCCAACCGUCAAACAUGAUUGUAUAUACUUUGAGAUCGAAUACGCCAAAAAUUGCAAAAAAUAAACAUUCAGAGAUCAAGUAACGGGACAAAAAUUUUCGACGAUUCUAAACAAAAAAUCACAAUUUAAAAGUUAUUUUAACUCCGAUUUUGAUGAUUUUUUAUAGCUACACUCCUUGACCCUAUAUGAAUACAAUGAAUGAAUUCAAUCUUCAAUUUAAAAUAUUGACACCAGAGGAUACCACAAAAUCUUAUGUUAUACUUAAUGAAAGAUAAAUAAAUUCUAGAGUAAAAGAUUGUUUACUACCCUCAUGUUUCGUGGUUUUCAACAUUUAGUACAUCAAGUUUUUUUUCAACCCAGAGUCAUACCUAAAGUGUAAAUUUUGGGACAGUCUCAUACAUCCGUUAGUCAAACUAUUUAGUUUUCUGUUAACUGAUAACGUGGCGCCCACGUGGACAAUGACUGGGCGCCACGUGUCAUUAAAAAUAUUAAUAUAAAAAAACCGAAUCUGGGAAGAAGAAGAAGAAGAAGAAGAAGAAGAAGAAGAAGAAGAAGAAAAAAACACGAAUCUGGGAAGAAGAAGAAAAAGAAGAAGAAGAAGAAAAAGAAAAUAAAAAGAAGAAGAAGAAAAAAAAAACCGAAUCUGGGAAGAAGAAGAAAAAAAAAAACCGAAUCUGGGAAGAAGGAAACCCGGAAGAAGAAGAAUGAGGAGGAAGAAGAAGAAGAAGAAGAAAAGAAAAGAAAGGAAAAGAAAAACGAAUCUGGGAAUGGGAAGAAGAAGAAGAAGGAGGAGGAAGAAGAAGAAGAAGAAAAGAAAAAAAAAAAAAACCGAAUAUGGGAAGAAGAAGAAGAAAGAGAGGAAAAAAAAAGAAAAGAAGCUAGGGAGGGUGCGGGUUGCAGGAAAGAAAUUUUUUUUUUAAUUUAUAUUUUUAAUAUUUUUAAUGACACGUGGCGCCCAGUCAUUGUCCACGUGGGUGCCACGUCAUCAGUUAACGGAAAACUUAACAAUUUGACUAAUGGAUGUAUGAGACUGUCCCAAAAUUUACACUUUAGGUAUGACUCUUGAAUGAAAAAAACUUGAUCUACCAAAUGUUGAAAACCACGAAACAUGAGGGUAGUAAACAGAGUUUAACCCUAAAUUCUAAGUGUUAGUGAAUCUAUCGUUUUGAUGGGAUACACAUUAUAUGAAACUAACCGUCAAACUUGUUUGUGUAUGCUUCAAGAUUGCAUACGCUAAAAGUCACAAAAAAUAAACAUUCACAGAUCAAGUAACAGAACAAAACUUUUCAAUGGUUAUCAACGAAAAAUUAUGAUUUAAAGGUUAUUUUAACUCCGAUUUUGAUGAUUUUUUUAUAGCUACACUCCUUGACCCUAUACGAAUACAAUGAAUGAACUCGAUCUUCAAUUUAAAAUAUUUACACUAGUGGAUACCACAAAAUCUUAUGUUAUACUUAAUGAAAGUAUGAAUAAACUCUUAAGUGUUAGUGAAUCUAUUGUUUUGAUAGGAUACGCAUUCUACGAAACUAGUUUCAACGAUCCAACACAUUUUACAAAACUAGUUUCAACGAUCCAACCGUCAAACAUGAUUGUAUAUACUUUGAGAUCGAAUACGCCAAAAAUUGCAAAAAACAAACAUUCAGAGAUCAAGUAACGGGACAAAAAAUUUUGACGGUUAUCAACGAAAAAUCAUGAUUUAACGGUUAUUUUAACUCCGAUUUUGAUGAUUUUUUACAACUACACUUCUUGACCCUAUAAGAAUACAAUGAAUGAAUUCAAUCUUCAAUUUAAGAUAUUUACACUAGUGGAUACCACAAAAUCUUAUGUUAUACUUAUUGAAAGUAUAAAUAUACUCUAAGUGUUAGUGAAUCUAUUGUUUUGAUGGGAUACGCAUUCUACGAAACUAAUUUCAACGAUCCAACCAUCAAACUUGUUUGUAUAUGCUUCAAGAUCGCAUACGCCAAAAAUCGCAAAAAACAAACAUUCAAAUAUAAAGUAACGGGACAAAACUUUUCGACGGUUAUCAACUAAAAAUCACGAUUUAACGGUUAUUUUAACUCUGAUUUUGAUGAUGUUUUAUAGCUACACUCCUUAACCCUACAUGAAUACAAUGAAUGAAUUUGAUCUUCAAUUUAAAAUAUUUACACUAGUGGAUACCACAAAAUCUUAUGCCAUGAUGAUUGAUGAAAAUUGAGGAUUUUGUAAAAGGAAUAACAUGCAAGCUUUGAGUUCCAUUGGCAAGGUUUAAACUUUUGAGAAAGGCUUCACAACCUUGAAAGCAAAAACUUUUUCAUUUUGCGUAUCCUUGCACAUUUAAUAUUUUGUAAUAGACUAGUAGUGUAUGGAUGUUUGUUUAUUAGGCUCUUAUUUUCGAGUGUAGAUGUAGUACUUAAACGACAAAUGUGUUUUAAUGUUUUGAAGUAAUAUUUAUGUGGCAAUGUGUGGUAUGUGCAAAUUUGAGAAGAAAAAAAAUAUUUUUCUUAACAAGUCUUAAUGGGUCAUAACAGGUCGGGUCACUUUACCCAUUGGGUAAAGUGACCCGACCUGUUAAGGAUCCGUUGAGAUAACGGGUGUGACACGACACGACCCGUUAAGAUAACAGGUAUUACACGAAAACAACACGAACACGAUAGACACGACCCGUUUACCAGGCUUAGUGUUUAGGUCACUCUCGAAGUGCAAAGUCUUGAUGGCGUUCCGAUCGAUGAAGUCCUUGCACUUGUUGCUCUCGUUGGAGAGCUGGGAGAUGAAGGAGGCCAUUGAAGAAGGCUUAAAGAUUUCUGAGAUGAAAGCUUGGGAUUUUCUAGGUUUUGAAAGUUUUGAAAGCAAAGUGGCAAGGAAGUUUCAAGGGUUUUGGAAAGCGUAAGGUACAAAUGGAAAGGAUUCGGGUAUUUAUAGGCAUUUGGGAAGGAAGGCUAAACGUUUGAUUUUCAAAAUUAUGGAUAGAAUCAAGCGGGAAAGUUGCUAAUCAUUGUAGAUAUUCAAAGAAUCUAGGCGAAAAGACCAAGGUUUUCGCUGUUCGAGGACGCACGAUUGCGUGUUGCGGCGGGUUUAGUGCAAGAGAGACAUUUAGGCGGUCGCAUGUUUUUGAGGGUCAUGAUUAAGGCCUGCUAGGUUAACCAGGGGACCAACAUGUGGCAGGACGGUUGGGAGAAUCGAGAUCGUGGGUUUAUGUCUCAUAAAUGCGUAUGGUGGUAUUUCUCAAGAGGAUUCAGUGUUUGUCUUUAGGUCAGUUUCGCUUCUUCAAGGUCGAGGCUCGAACCAAGGAGGGUAGGUCGAGGACCUCAGAAUCGAGGGGGCAAUGUUUGGGCCCAAAAUAUUGGUUUGGGCUGAGUUUAGAAUUGUUUUCGACCAGAGGCCAUACUUAAGAGUAGCUGGGGGUCAUCCGACUUAUGGGCCACAUAGCCAAGGUCGGCCGUGUCUUAUUAGGAAUCCAUGGGUAGUUGAAUCCUGAUAUGAGAAGGAGUUUCAACAGGAUCAGGAUGUUGAAGUUUGGGAUUGAAUGCGGCCUGAUAAGGGGGUUGAGUUCAAAGUCCUAGUAUGAGUAGGACUUGCCGAUAUAAGGUUGGAUCGGGGGAAGGAGUUCUAAUCCGAGUAUGGUUGUGAUUUGAUCGGAAGCAGGUUGACUACUAUAAAUAGAGGGAGAAGGACAUCAUUAAGGCUCUCUCCAAUUCAACACACAAACUGCCCUGCGCAAACCUUCGCUUUCGCGAAACCUCUCAACAACCUUGAGAUUUUAAUUUUCUUUUUCCGUCGACACAUCUUCAGUUUGGAUAAACAGCACUGUGAAGGCAACCGGUGGUACCUUCAGUUUGGAUAAACAACAUUGUCGUUGUAGAACCAGUCGACCACGGAACACCUUAAGUUUGGAUAAACAGCACUGUGUCGAGGUCGACUGGUUAUCUAUCCAAGUCUCGAUCGAAAAAUACUUUCGGGUCUUUAUUGGCAAAGGUCAUCUCAUUAGCCUUUUCGGCGGGGUGAGGUGUUACAGUUUACUAGGGCUCGGCACAUUGAACGCCGAGUUACUUUAUGAUUGGAUACUCACAAGUAGGUUUUAGAGUUCGGCAUUCUGACGGCCGAACCACGUUCACCAUCAAGACAUAUAUUUGUUUUGAGUAUCUGUGCCCCUAUACAUUGGUGUUGAUUCGGCGUGCUUAUACUCUUACGAAUAUAAUCACUGUGACCGAAUCCGACGCUGACGAUUUGUGAACUUCGCAGAACUAGCAGCCUUGUUUUCAAGCUCUAGAACCCGAAGGCUGAAAGUGUUCCUUCCUCGACCACAAUCACAAGAUUGAGAAGUCAGUAGCGCACCCGACGCAACAUCAACAUAUUUUACUCCUCGGCCGAGCUUGGCUGACGAGUUGGCACGCCCCGCAUCAACCAAAUGACGUAGUUAGCUCACUAGUUACUCGGCCUGCGCGCCACAUAGAUUUGGUAGUUUUUAGGGUCAACAACGACAUAUAUGCACCAACUUGAGCGGGAGUGUUGACUUUUGUGUAUAUUCAUGUAAUCUUGGAAUUCUUAGCAUAGUAUGAUUGCAUGUAAUUAUUUCUUUCCUUAUUGAAAUGAUUGUAACAUCCUAUAAAUUUCUCUUUGAGAGAUAAAUAGACACACAAUACUAUUCCAAAAGCAUUCUUUUCUAAUAUAAAGUCUAAACUAAUCUAAAGUAUUCUUAUGAACAAAUAAUGAAUGCAGCUAAACAUCAAUCAAUCAUUGUUGUCAUGUCAUGUUUUUGCAACUUGCAAAGAAAGAACCAUCCAUAAUAAUUAACCGGUGUAGUGGAUACUGGCCUAUCUGCGUGGAACUUGUGCUUUGGUUUUGGUCUAUGUUGUUUUUUUCAAACUGCAAAUUCAUUUCUCAUUAGAAAAGAAAUAUCUCAUUAACUCAUUAACUCAAGGGAAAGCAAGGAGGAGAUAAUACUUCGGCUUGGAGAUGAGGCCCCAACAAUAGGGACACCUCCUCCAACUACAUAUGUCUCUAGGAAGUGUAGAUAUUCUUCUUGACGUCAAGUAGGAGAGAAACGCCAUCCACUAUAAUCGUACUUGUUUGAUAGGACUCUUCUACACUUGGAGGAUUCUUCUACGUUUAUUAAUUGUAUGUUAGAUUAAGAAUAUAAUUUCAUGUAAGAAUACACGAUUUAAUGCCUGGUCAUGGAUUAAGUCAUUUUUUUUUAGAUAAAGAAUGACGACCUUUAGCAUUGGCAUAGUAAUUGAAUAAAAAUUGCCCUCAUGCUUGCCCCUAAAGUACUAUUGUUGAUCUUGUGUAGUUGCAAAUAUUUAAUUGUGUUUGGUUUUAUCUGUUUUGUAUGUACUCUGAUCAUACAUAAGUAAACAUUCGUCCAAAGACAGUUUGAUUAGCAGAUUAUAACUCAAGUAGUUAAGAGCAUUCAGUUCUGCACUUGAGAUCCAUGAUUCAUUCCACCCUUCCCAAUGUCAAUCAUACAAUAAGGAAAGAUAUCGUCUCCGGAUCUCUUCCUCUAAAACCAUCAAAUCAAGUGAUUUGAGCCCUUAAAAUUUGAUCCAACGACUAAAAACAAAGAUCCCUUUUAAAAGUUAUAACAAUUUUAGCCGUUGGAUCAAAUUUUAAGGGUCCGGAUCACUUGAUUUGGUGAUUUUGGUGGAAGAGAUUCGGAGAGGAUCUCUUUCCAAUGAAUAAAUAAAGUUGACCAGUUCCAUCUGAUCUUUGAUGGUAUGCACCAUGUUCUGAAACAUAUAGUACAACCCAUUAAAAAUGAUGAAGAUCAAUGGUUUGAGGCCAAGUGUUAAAAACUGCAGAUUGACUAUUCUGUGUUCUAAAGUCAAGUCAAGAAGUCUUGAUCAAUAACGACAUGCAACAACAUAUUAAUUCGAUUGCAAAAAUUUCAUCUUUGUUGUAAAUAGUAUAAUAAUGUAUGCCCACAUGCAUACAGUAGACAUAUCAUAUGCUUAAUAGGGUUUUUGUUUGUUUCCAUGGUGAUGCUCUAUAAAUAGAGCUUUACGAACGUUCAACUGAGUAGAGAGAAAAGGAAGAGAAAAAUAUCUAAUAGUAAUAAUAUACAUUACUUCCUCUGCAACAGCUUGUAUUGGUAUAAUACUCUGCAACUGCUUCAUUCCUAUCCCGAAUAAAGGUUAUCUUUCUAUAACUUUUACAUUUUUAUAACACGUUAUCAGCACGAGUCUCUAAGUAUAACCAUGUCUCAUUUACAUUCACUAAACAAUAAAGGAAAUCAUUCUCUCAUUUCUCUCCGCCGAACGAAAAAAAAAAAAAUGUUUCCUCUAAGGUUUUUCCUGUUCAUCUUCUUCAUCUGCCUCAACUGCGUGAUAUAUCCUCGCGACGAACUAUUUGCUCCAUGCCUGCUCGUAGUUCUCCAACUAGCGGUUACAUACAUCUUUGAUUACUUGUUUGGUUUGGAUAUUGAUUACUAACAUAAUAUUUAUAUUGAUUUUACUGCAAUCCAAGAUGGUGCGGUACAAUCGCCCACCUUGAACUGCAAAUUUCAUCUUACUGCGAUCCAAGAUGGUGCGGUAUCAUCGCCUAUCUUGGACUGCAGAUCUACUUUUACUGCAAAUUUCAGGUGCAGCGGUAUAAUCGCCCUCCUUGCUCUUCAAAUUUAAAUUUACCUGUUAUUUAAUUUUACUGCAAAUAAAGGUGGAGCGGUAUAAUCGCCCUCCUUGCUCUUCAAAUUUAAAUUUACCUGUUAUUUAAUUUUACUGCAAAUUUCAGGUGGAGCGGUAUAAUCGCCCUCCUUGCUCUUCAAAUUUAAAUUUACCUGUUAUUUAAUUUUACUGCAAAUUUCAGGUGGAGCGGUAUAAUCGCCCUCCUUGCUCUUCAAAUUUAAAUUUACCUGUUAUUUAAUUUUACUGCAAAUUUCAGGUGGAGCGGUAUAAUCGCCCUCCUUGCUCUUCAAAUUUAAAUUUACUUGUUAUUUAAUUUCAUUGCAAUUUUAGGUGGUGCGGUAUAAUCGCCCUCCUUGUUCUCCAAAUUUAAAUUUACUUGUUGUUUAAUUUCAUUGCAAUUUUAGGUGGUGCAGUAUAAUCGCCCACCCUGCUCUGCGUAUUUCAAUUUUCUUGCUACUUGAGUGGUGUGGAAUAAUCGCCCAUUCCAUGUUACAUUCUUUCAAUGAGAAUGGUGCGGUACAAUCGCCCUUCUCAUUCACCCUGAAAAUCUCGAGCCAGAAGUUUCGAGUGCUUAUCAUUUUGGCCUGAAGAUCAAAAUGAAAAAUUUGUAAGAACCAGAAGUUCUAACAUCACAUUCCUCUAGGAAUACAUAUUACUACAAGUUCUUACACAUCUCAUUUUCUUUCAGAAAAGAAAAUGACGAACUUGGCUAAGCUUGAAUAUGCUGCCCUGGACAUUACCGGGAAGAAUUACCUUACUUGGGUACUUGAUACCAAGAUCCAUCUGGAAGCAGGGAAUCUUGGAGAUACCAUCAGGGAAGAAAGCAGCUCAUCUUCUCAAAAUCGGGCGAAGGCUAUGAUCUUUAUUCGCCGCCAUCUUGAUGAGGCACUAAAGAGUGAGUACUUAACGGUUGAAGAUCCGUUAGCUCUCUGGGAGGCCUUACGAAGCAGAUAUAAUCACCAGACAACGGUGAUUCUUCCAAAAGCUCGCUAUGAGUGGUCUCACCUGAGAAUUCAGGAUUUCAAAUCAGUGGCGGAGUACAAUUCUGCGUUGUUCAGGAUUACCUCUCAGAUGAAGCUCUGUGGGGAUACCAUUACUGAUGAAAUAUUGCUGGAAAAGACUUACAGCACAUUUCAUGCCAAUAACGUGCUCCUGCAGCAGCAGUAUAGAGCGCGAGGCUACACUGAAUACAACCAGCUGAUAUCUGUGCUCCUGGUAGCUGAACAGAACAAUGAGCUCCUGAUGAAAAACCAUAAUUCCCGACCUACUGGAUCUGCACCAUUCCCAGAAGUAAAUGAUACUUCCCUCGAAGUGAACGCCACAUCCUCUGGUGGUAAUUAUCAUAAACAAGGACGUGGCCACAAACGAGGUCGAUGGAAUAAGAAAGGCAAGAACCAUGGUGGUCAGUUUCACAACCAGGUUCAGAGGCAUAAUUCUGGCCCGAGCUUCAAAAAUGUGAAUCGUCACAAAGGCAAAGCUAACAUGACCAAUGCUCCCAGGAACUCUGAAGGAGCUUGCCAUAGGUGUGGUGGCAAUGGGCAUUGGGUGCGAACUUGUCGUACCCCAAAACAUCUGGUGGAGUUGUAUCAAGCCUCCCUCAAGAAGAAGGGUGUCGAGACCAAUUUUCUCGACCAGGCUAAACCAAUGGAUAUACCUGAUCCAGUGUUUGAUUUAUCAGGGCAAUUUGACGCAACUCACCUAGAUGUUUCAGACUUCAUUACGGAAAGGGGGAAUGAAGUAUAUCGGUCCGACUAAAUCGUUUAUGUUUGAUGUACUUUUAUUAUGCUGAACUUGUUGUCUAAAACUAGUUUUUCAGAUUCAAUAAAAAUGGCAUGUAAAUUUCCUGUUAUAAAUUGUUUGUUAACUGUGAUUCCAUUUACUCAGAAAGCAUGGAUAAAAACUGUGGUUAUUCUCAGAACAUAAGAAAUGGCGGAGAUAUUUGUCUUGCAGACAGUGCAACCACACAUACAAUACUUCGUGAUCGAAAGUAUUUCUCAAGCUUAAUGCUUACAAAAAUCGGGGUAACAACAAUAUCAGGACCUUCAGAUGUGAUUGAAGGCUCAGGGAAAGCCCAGAUUAUGUUACCAAAUGGAACAAUAUUAUCCAUACAAAAUGCAUUGUAUGCUACUCGAUCUACUCGAAAUUUGUUGAGUUUCAAAGACAUACGUCUAAAUGGAUACCACAUUGAAACGAAAAGUGCAAAAAAUGUGGAGUAUCUAUGCAUUACCUCCAAUGAUACCCAGAAGCGUAUAUUGGAGAAGUUGCGUGGUUUUUUCGAGUGGAUUAUAUUAUACAUACAUAAGGACAGUUGAAUCACAUACUAUCAUGAACCAGAAGUUCACUGAUUCAAAGGUUUACAUGCUUUGGCAUGACCGUCUGGGUCAUCCAGGAUCCACCAUGAUGCGUAGGAUCAUUACCAACUCUAAUGGACAUCCAUUAUUGAGCAGAGACAUUGCUAUCUCAAAUGAUAACCCUUGCAAGGCUUGUUCUCAAGGGAAGUUGGUAAUUAGACCAUCACAACUAAAGGUUGAUGCUGAAUCCCCAUCAUUUCUACAAAGAAUUCAAGGGGAUAUAUGUGGACCUAUUCAACCAUCUUGUGGACCAUUUCGAUAUUUUAUGGUUUUGGUUGAUGCAUCCACUAGAUGGUCACAUGUUUGUCUCUUGUCUACUCGGAAUGUAGCUUUUGCGAGACUUCUUGCUCAGAUAACUAAGUUACGAGCACAAUUCCCAGAUUAUCCCAUUAAAUCAAUCCGACUUGAUAACGCUGGUGAAUUUACGUCUCAAACCUUUGAUGAUUACUGCAUGACAUUGGGCAUUGAUGUUGAACACCCUGUUCCUCAUGUCCAUACUCAAAAUGGCUUAGCAGAAGCAUUGAUCAAGCGGCUUCAGUUAAUAGCCCGCACUCUGCUUAUGAAAACCAAAUUGCCAGUUUCUGCAUGGGGACAUGCCAUUCUACAUGCUGCAUCAUUGGUUCGAUUGAGACCUAUAGCCAACCACCAAUACUCCUCAAUACAACUCGUGUUUGGACAUCAGCCAAACAUUUCACAUUUACGAGUUUUUGGUUGUGCUGUUUAUGUGCCUAUUGCACCCCCGCAACGCACUAAAAUGGGACCUCAGCGUAGACUGGGAAUUUAUGUGGGUUUUGAUUCACCAUCUAUUAUUAGAUAUUUGGAACCCUUGACAGGUGAUAUGUUUACAGCUCGUUUUGCUGAUUGUCAUUUUGAUGAGACAGUCUUCCCAUCGUUAGGGGGAGAAAAGACCGUUCCAGAAGAACGGAAAGAGCUGACAUGGGUUGUUCCCACCUUGUCUCAUUUUGAUCCUCGAACCUUUCAAUGUGAAAAUGAAGUGAAAAGGAUCGUUCAUCUUCAAAGCAUUGCCAAUCAAAUGCCAGAUGCAUUUAAUGACGCUAUGAAAGUGACAAAAUCGCAUAUACCAGCUGCAAAUGCACCUGCCAGAAUUGAUGUCCCUGUUGGACAAAAUAAAGUGGCAGCGAAUGAUUCAUUUGGUGCACGCUUGAAGCGUGGUAGACCACCAGGUUCAAAAGAUUCAGCCCCUCGGAAGAGAAAGACGAGGGCACAACUGAAUCCAAAUGAAAUCAUUCAGGAAGAGAGAGUCAAUGACAAAUCCACAAUUCAUGCCUCUGGACUUCCAGAAGAAGAAAAUGGCCCUGAAGAGACAGAAGUACAUGAAAGCAAAGAAAUCUCCAUAAAUUAUGCAUGUACUAAUGAAUUGUGGGAUCGGAAUGAAAUAAUCAUUGACGAUAUGUUUGCAUUCGCAGUAGCCACUGAAAUCAUAUUAAGUGAUGAUAUUGAGCCCCGCUCUGUUGAUGAAUGCAAACAGAGACAAGAUUGGCCUAAGUGGAAAGAUGCAAUCCAGGCAGAAUUAAAUUCCUUGGAAAGACGAAGUGUUUUUGGACCAGUAGUCCAAACCCCAACUGAUGUAAACCCCGUAGGUUACAAAUGGGUAUUUACAAGGAAACGCAAUGAGAAAAACGAGAUUGCUAGAUACAAAGCACGACUCAUUGCACAAGGCUUUUCACAAAGACCUGGAAUUGAUUAUGAGGAGACAUACUCUCCUGUAAUGGACGCAAUUACGUUCCGUUACUUAAUAAGUUUGGUGAUUUCAGAAAAACUUGACAUGCAACUUAUGGAUGUCAUCACCGCGUAUCUAUAUGGAGAUUUAGAUACUGACAUAUAUAUGAAAGUCCCAGAAGGACUUAAGUUGCCUGAAGCAACAAACAAACCACGGGGUAUGUUCUCAAUCAAAUUAAGGCGAUCACUAUAUGGGCUGAAACAAUCUGGGCGAAUGUGGUAUAAUCGUCUUAGUGAGUAUUUGAUUAGAGAAGGAUAUAUCAACAAUGUCAUCUGCCCUUGUGUGUUCAUUAAGAAAUCCAACUCUGGAUUUGCUAUAGUGGCAGUAUAUGUUGAUGAUAUGAACUUAGUUGGGACUCCUGAAGAGCUCCAUAAAACUGCUGAAUAUCUGAAAAGCGAAUUUGAAAUGAAAGACCUUGGGAAAACCAAAUAUUGUCUAGGCCUGCAGAUCGAGCAUUGUAUUAGUGGAAUUUGGUCCAUCAAUCAGCUUACAUUGAAAAAAUACUGAAGCGAUUUGGCAUGGACAAGGCUUAUCCACUUAGCACCCCAAUGGUUGUUCGUUCUUUAGACGUUAAGAAAGAUCCAUUCCGUCCAAAAGAAGAUGAUGGACUGGUCCUUGGUCCAGAAGUACCAUAUUUGAGCGUAAUAGGUGCUUUAUUGUAUUUAGCACAAUGUACUAGACCAGAUAUAGCUUUUUCAGUUAACUUGUUAGCCAGGUACAGCUCUGCUCCAACAAUUCGUCAUUGGAAGGGAGUCAAAGAUGUUCUACGAUACCUUCGUGGGACAACAGAUAUGGGUCUCUUCUACUCAGACAAGCCCACAAAUGAACAAAUCCUUGUUGGAUACGCCGAUGCUAGUUUUCUCUCUGAUCCGCAUAAAGCCCGCUCACAAAAUGGAUAUGUGUUCACUAAUGGAGAUACUGCAAUUUCAUGGCGAUCAACGAAGCAAACGCUAGUUGCAACAUCUUCCAAUCAUUCGGAAAUAAUUGCUCUACAUGAAGCAAGUCGUGAAUGUUCUUGGUUAAGAUCAAUGAUCCAUCACAUCCGGAAUUCAUGUGGUCUACCUUCAAAGACAGACACUCCAACUGUCAUCCACGAAGAUAAUGCAGCCUGUGUCGCCCAGAUGAAGGAAGGAUUUAUCAAAGGUGAUAAGACUAAACACAUAUCUCCAAGAUUUUUCAGUGCACAUGAGCUUCAGAAGGCUAAAGUUAUUGAAGUCAGACAAAUCCGUUCCAAUGAAAAUUUAGCAGACUUGUUCACCAAGUCUCUACCAAAGUGCAUAUUUCAGAAACUGGUGCAGGGAAUCGGAUUACGUCGGCUUUCAAAUUUAAAGAAUGCAGAAUCAGGGGGAGAUCCAAUUCAGGGGGAGCAUCCAUGAUACAUGCAUGUUGUACUCUUUUUCCUUCGCUUAGGAUUUUUCCCACUGGGUUUUUCCUAUCAAGGUUUUAACGAGGCAACAUAAGCAUGCUCAAUACCAUCCGGAUAAAAGUUGUACUCUUUUUCCUUCGCUAUGGUUUUUUUUUUCCCACAGGGUUUUUCCAAGCAAGGUUUUAAUGAGGCAACUGAUGUUGAUAUGUGGGCAUCCAAGGGGGAGUGUUGUAAAUAGUAUAAUAAUGUAUGCCCACAUGCAUACAGUAGACAUAUCAUAUGCUUAAUAGGGUUUUUGUUUGUUUCCAUGGUGAUGCUCUAUAAAUAGAGCUUUACGAACGUUCAACUGAGUAGAGAGAAAAGGAAGAGAAAAAUAUCUAAUAGUAAUAAUAUACAUUACUUCCUCUGCAACAGCUUGUAUUGGUAUAAUACUCUGCAACUGCUUCAUUCCUAUCCCGAAUAAAGGUUAUCUUUCUAUAACUUUUACAUUUUUAUAACAAUCUUUGCAAAACUUUGCACAGAAAGAUCAACAAUUCGGUUUUCCAUUGAUAGAGAUAUUGAAAAAUGGAGUCUCUACAAUAGUCCAACUCUUUGGUAUUGGGCCCACAAAAUUGAGAAGUGGAUUUUCAGGUUGCAAUUUUUUUUGACAAGAGCGAUGGCGGUAUUUCAUUAAUCAUUACAAACAAAUACAUAGAAGUCAAUUGGGUACAUUUCUCCAAUGACCAAUACAUUGAUCUGGAGUGAAUUUGCACAAAGAAUCAAUUAAUUAAAAACCCCUACACGGCUAUCACAAGCAAGGUGCACCAAUACAAAUUUGUCACAAGAAUGAUACACGCAACAAACCAAUACUAGUGCACACACCGAUGUUCACUGAUGAGCGAGGCCACACAAAGUCAUCAUAGGAGAGCGAAACCACCUAAAGUCACAACUGAAAGACGAAACCACAAAAUCAUUGCUUGAAGGCGAGACCACAUCAAUACGCUCAUAGCGAGUCCACAUAUUCCGCCAAAUGCGGCACAAACAAAAUCUACACUAAUCCAAUAAUAGAAUCCACCGGUCCCCUAAUCUUGGUGGAAGACAAGGACACACAAUCGAAGACCACUUGCAACUUCACCACAUAAGUGAGAUUCGUAGCUUCUACGAGACAAGCAAGCAGAACCGCCACAAAUCUGGGUGCCUCAGGCAGUGCAGCCACACGAGAGUGUCACCACAGGUGGAUUCGACCCACCAACAACCACGAAUCCAAAUCCAAAAUCAUGAAUCAAGCCUCCAUUUAAGGAAAAUACCUCGGGAGAAGGCAAGGGACCGAAUCUAGGUGGGAGGCACCAAAUGCUUUGAUACCAUUCUACCAUGCUCCAAACUCGGGUCAGUAGAAAAUUCAAACUCGAAUCUGGAACACGAGCUAAAAAUUAAAUAAAUAAAAAUAAACUAAAACCUGAUGAAAAUAAAUUCCUCUUGGAAAGAAACUCAAGAAUUGUCAUGCCCCGAUCCCGACAUACGUCCAGGAUCGACACGUGACAUCACCAAAUACUCGUAUCUCAACAUACCCCGCCUCCGGGAUAUGGCAUACCACAACUCGAUAAUCAAAUCACAUAGUAAUUUAUCUUAUACUUUAUGGCUGCAUCUAAUCUCCUCGUUAGAUUGCCUACGUACCCUCAUUAGGGAUCAAACCAUUCGUAGUUCGUCGUUCACUAAUUUAGACAUUUAUUCCAAUGCGUUCUAACAGGAAUACAUAGCAUUUUGUAAUUAAUUAUUAGAACUUGACAUGCAUGACAAUACCAAGUUCAAGGCUACAAAACAAACCAACAGGUAGUUCAAGAUUCUCAUUCCAUCCAUCAUAUAAAUUCCAUGUUUUCAGCAUGAUACUUCCAUCCACAACAUGUAACAUAUCAAAUAGCCAACGAUACACAUAUUAUUCUCAAGCCACAUUCCACAAUCCCGUCUAUUAAUCAAUUCAUGAAUCAAAGAUACAUGAUCUUAGCAUUUAAUUAUGUUAAUCAAUGAAUGCAGUAACAUAUCAUUUCACAAAUUUAACCAAGGAACUCUAUAUAAUUUCCUACUUGUAUUAUGAGCAAUAACAUGGUAAAUCUAUUUGAUAUUCACAAGGUCUAUUGUGGGUAAUUCUCAUUCACUCGAAUAUAGGGUUCUAGACUAACCUUAUGGGAAUGAGCGAAAGCAAGAAUUCCGGACCACUCAACGGAAUCCAACAACACCGGGUUCCGGACCACUCAACGGAACCAGAGUAUUAAGCGGUUUCUCAUAAUCUACCCAAACCUGUCAUAGGUUAAAUCAGUGCCUACAUCAUGGAAAUGGUGCACCAUCCAAACGGAGCUCGGGUGAGUGACAAUAAUACAAGUAUGUGAUAUUCAAUAAAAAGAAAGACCCUCGAUCACAGUUUAUAAACCUCAAAUAUAAGUGCAUAAAUAUGAAAACAUAGUCAAGUCUCUAACAACUCCAAAUGAGUUACCCAGACAUCCAACAGUUUUACCCAUUCAAACCACCAAGAUUCUUCAAAACCAUCGUUCAUAUGUACAUUAAAAACUAGGGCUUGAGGGAUGCAGUUUGGCCAAAGCCUACAUAAGUAACCAAACAGGAAGUGGCCCCCUAAAGCGGAUUAACCAAGCAAAGCCACCCCUAAGAUAGUAACCAAGUAGGCAAUGAUCCCCCCCAAUGCAGAUUAACCAAGCGGAGUCACUCCUACAGCUGUUAGGAAGUGAUCACCUAAUACGGAUUAACCAAGCAUGAUCAUUCCUAAGCAUACAUGGCCAUAAGGAUCACCCAACACGGUUUAACCAAGAGCAACCCAUAUAUAGUAUGGUCCCCCAACGCGGAUUAACCAAGCAGGACCACUAGUGACCCCCCAACGCUGAUUAACCAAGCAGGGUCAAGAUAACCAAGUAGGUAGUGACCCCCUAACAAAGAUUAACCAAGCAAAGUCACACCUACAUAACUGUUAGGUAGUGAUCACCCAAUGCGGAUUAACCAAGCAUGAUCACCCCUAAGUAUAAAUGACCAUAAGGAUCGCUCAACGCAGAUUAACCAAGCGUGAUCCAUAUAUAGUAUGAUCCCCUAAUGCGGAUUAACCAAGCAAGACCACUAGUGACCCCCCAAUGCGGAUUAACCAAGCAGGGUCUUAGUCCCCUACUAGCCCUCAAUUUACAAAACAUUUCAAUAUAAAAUUUGAAUCACUUUUUCACAAAUAUUACCAAUCCAUGAAUCAAAUCAUAUUUAAUAAAAAUAGAUCGAUGGCCAAUUAUAAAAGAAUCACAUUUUAACAGAAAACACAUUUAUAAAAUCAUGUCAUAUCCACAAAGGAUAUUAAUACAAAGAAUCGGGUAACCACCAUAUCACAUAUAUUAAAGUCAGUCACCGAGACAAAUCCGCAAAUCUUCACUGAGUCUCUAGUAAUACUAAUUUUAGUAAUUCAAAUGGUUCAAGACCUGUUGACCAAAAGUCAACGGUGGGAUCCACACCCUAGCAAUUUAAUCCGGAAGAUCCGCACAUUAUAAUCUAGAUCCGUAACUUCCUAAGGUCCACAUUAUGCUCAAAGAACAACAUGCUAAAAUCUCAUCGCGAUCCAACGGUCAGAUCUCCGCUAAUCACAAAUUCAAGUGGGUCAAUAAUUAAUUUUUCUAACUUAAAAGUCUUGUCGGGAUGAUCCAUACUUCGGAUUCCUGAUCCGUCAAUUCCAGCUAUCCUCAAAUAUUAUGUUCUAUAAUGCAUUAAGGUUUGGUGACAAUCUAACAGUCGGAUUGUCAAUUCAUAUUUUGAUCAAGUAAGGUAUCGUAAUGAAACUAAGUUCAAACAAUCAAAUUACGUCAUACGGAUAUCAAACAUGAACUCAGGGCAUCUAAUAGCACUUAAAAAAAUAUCGUCAGCCCACUGGCCACGCGCCACCGCGGGUGGCGGUCAACCGUCCCGAUUCGUCGGAAAAUUCAACUAUUUCCAAAAUUUAUCAAAUUUCACAGAAAUGUAGAUCUCAAUGAAUGGAGUAAGUUUCAUACAUGUGGCCAAGUCCAAUUUGGCCUAGAAAAGCUCCAAUUUUACCCAAACCCGGCCGGAACCCUAGAAAUGGGUGUGCCUCGAUCUGUCACCAUCGAUGCUCCGCCGCCCCCAGAACUGUUUGGGCUUUGUUCCUGGCCUCUAGAGAAGUGCUUUGGUGGUGGUAACUGGUGGAGAUUGUUCCACAAAUGGUGGAUCGCCGACAAACUUCCCUCAUACCCACUAGUGCGGUUAUCACGAAAUCGACCUAAUUUCCAUCAAAUUUGGAGUGUAAAGGAAAGAUGGAACAAUAAGGAAUGUUUUCUAGGUGAUUAAAUCAUGUGGUUCUCCGGAAAAACCGACAAAAACCAUCGGAGAAGACAAACGGAACCGGCCGGAUCGGGAUAAAGGGAACGGGUCCAUCCUCCCGUGCCUUUCCCCUCUCCCUCAUUUUCCUCAUUUCCUCCCCUUUCAUCUCAACCAUCCAUCUCUCUCCUUUCUCUUCUUUCCUUCCAUCCCAGCCACACAAGUGGCUUCACAAAUCUUUGCUCCAAAAAUCUGGAGCAUUCCAAAUUAAAGAAAAUUACCAAAAUGUCUUUAACUUUAAAUGUUAAUAACUCUUUCAUUAUAACUCAGUUUCACGAACGGUUUGCUCCUACACGUUCGUGAGAUCAAGCUCUAUUCAAAAAUAUAAAUUGUAACCUCGAAAGGUCUACGGAUUUUAAAGAUUGAUUACGAAAAUUCAACCCCGAUAAUUAUUUGAUUUAAUUCCAAAAAUCAAUGAAAUUAAAAUUAACUAAUAAAAAUAACGUAAACGUGAAAUAUGAAUUUAAAUAACGAGAUACGUAAUUAAUAGUGAAAUUUCGAGGACGGGAUUUCACAAGAAUUCUUUACAAGGCUACAAAGAAAAUAAAUAAAUUAAACUUCUAGAGAUCUCAAAUCUAAUUCAAUCUCAUUCCGCCUACUCUCAUGACUGUCUAGUUCGAAAACCUGCAUAACAAUAAAGGGGUGAACUUCAACAACUCACUAGGGACAUGAUCUUAAAUAGUAAAAUAACCAAGCUAAAUUAGAUGUCAUGGCAUCAUACACAUUAGAUAUCAAAUCAUUAUUGAUAACAAUGCAUGAAUGCAACGUAAAGCACUUUACCUAUACUUGUUAAUUCGUAUAACAAAACACACAGACCUCGUACGUCUCAUUCCGUACUUAUACCACUUGGUCCUGAGUGCUAAGUUAUAUAAAAUUUCUACCGAUCCCAAGCCCGGGUCGUGACACCUAACCAGGUCAACAGACCUGGUGAUCGCACCUGCCUGCUGGCGUGAGACCCUCUGCAGCAGCCCCAACAGAAGAGCCAAACGACUCUAUAUGACGUGGCUCGAUAACAACCGUCGAAUUGAUCUUAGGCGGGUGUAAUUGAUCUUAGGCGAUUAUCGAGGCAUGUUUGUAGAGAGAGGGAUUGAUUAAUUUGGUGGUUGCAUGACACAUGCAUACGGAACAAAACGAUCAAAUGGAAGUCACCAAGAGGCAAUAAUCACGGAUCGGGAGCUAUCAGAUGGACAGCACAGCACAAAACUUGACGUUGAGUACUUUACAUGUGGGCCAAUUCGGUGUUGGGCUUUACAUGUGGACCAAUCUGUUCUGACAUUCCAAAAAAAUAUGACCACAAAAUGAAACAAUAUAAAAAGUGAUUUAACUUAUUAUCAGUCCAUGCAAGGUUUUGUUAUUCGUCGAAAUGGGACUUUAGCCUUCACACCUUCAUAUAAUGUUCCAAUAACUUGUUUUUUCCCAUUAAUUUUCUUGUUAAAAUAUGUCAAUAAUUUUGAAAAUGGUACAUAAAAGUACUCUUAUAACAUCCCUCAAAUAUGGAAAACCAAAUAAAAUAAUAAAACUAGAAAACAAAAUAAAAUAAUAAAACUAGAAAACACAUAUCCCUAUUCUAAUUUGGUAAACUAGGCAGCCAUAAAUUCCACACAUUUCCUAGUCAAAUUUGCACCAAAUCAGGCUUAAGAAGUGGUGUUGGAAAGAUUAAAACGUUCCUUUCAACUUUGUAUAAUGAACUUUCCUAAAAAAAAAACAUAAUUUUCAAAGACUUGUGAUCAAAACAAGCUCAAAAUGUCAAUCUAGCAGCACAAUCCUCUUUACUCCUUGAUGAAUCAGUUCUAAUUGGAAUCACUCCAAAAUUCCAUCGUUUCGUCACUUUUUAAGCAAACUAGAUUCUGCUUGUCCUCCAAUUAAAGCAUAGAAGAAAGUAUCAAAAUUCUCUCAAAAUAACAAAUAAUUAUACCAAAGAUUAGGAUAAAAAUAGAAAAUAAUAUCUACUAGGCGGUCCUCAUACAAUAAAAGAGAAUUAAGUCACGAUAAGCAUGGAAACUAUUGAGGAGAAUUUGUAAGGUAAAUAUUUAUACAAAUGAUAACACUAUUAUUCAUCAACGAUAACGCAAGUUUUAGGGUGAACGACAUUGAUGUUUUCUGUGUUUGCACUUAAAGUCCGCCAAUCUUUUUGCAUUUGUUGCCUAUUGCACUGCACAACUGAUGGAUGCUAAUAUUCAGUUUACAAGCAGUUCCUACUAAACCAGUUCCCUUGUAGUCUACGAAAUGUUGUACAAAUUUCGUAGCUUUGGUUUUAGAAUUUAUACAACUCUAGUUAUACACAUUACUCUUGAAUAUGUAACUGUUGUACAAGUAUUCUUAGUUACUUAGGCAUAGGAAAGUUUUGAUUUGAUUUGAUUGAAAAGAGUGUCUCCAAUUAAUCGAAUGAACAAGAAUCCUUUGAAACAAACAUAGCUGCUUUCAUUCUAAUUUCAGAAAAUCCAAAUCCAUGAAAAACAUAUGCAGCACUCUACUAUCUUUAUUGAUAUCACUUUCAUCUCCAUUUUGUUUGUUAAAGGAUACGAACAAACAUUGAUAUAACUUAAAACAGUAGGAUAUAUAGGGCAGAGUCUUGAACUUGAAUAACACAAUCAACUAAAAGCUAUGAAGCUUUCUUUCUUUUUAAAGAAACCUCGACUGUACGAGAGAAAAUUUUAUUGAAUAAAAAAGAAGUUACACCUAGUCAAAGGGGGACAUAAACUUUACUCCUCAAAAUAAAGACAGGAUAAAGAAAAGAAGGCGAAAAUACAAGAAAGUAGGGGGACAUACACUUACAUAACAUAAAACAAACUUAUAACUAAACAUAUAGAGAAGGAAAGAAACCACAAUAGAGAAACCAAACGACAACAACAGACCCCUCCCCCCCCCCCCCACUAGUACUCUAAAUUUUCCAUAUCAUUUGUCUGAUCAUUCCAAAAAUCUUAAGAAACAAAUCGGGCCUCCUUGUGAUCACAACAUCUGCAAGAACUACUCCCACUACCAACCCACUUCCACAUCCGGCCGAAACAAUUUUCCAAUCAAAUUCAAAUAUUCCUGCUGAGCUAGAAUCACCUUCGUCUAAUGUUGGAGGUGGAAGUUGAGGGGCCUUAGGAUUUCCACAUUUCUUUGGCAAUGGAUCUCCACACAACCCUGGGUUUCCCUCGUAUGAAGUAAUAUUCAAUGAAGUAAGCUGGGUUCCUUCUGGUAUAGGACUUGUAUGAACGAAUAUGUCAUGUUUGUAUAUGAUAUUUUAUUUUUUUUAUCCUACGGCCUACUAUGUUGUCUUCAUCUUCGGUCUCAAAAGCCUUCCUUAACUUCUCUUUAUCUAUCUCAAAUUCAUAGCAUAGUAAUAAAAACAUACUGCAAACAAUUUCACUAUGCAGUAAAAUUUAUCAACACAAUUCCUUGAGCUCUCAACAUUAUAAAUUUAUAAAUGAAAGAAAACAGGUGUUAAUGCAGAAGUCAAAAGAUAUAAAUCACUUUCAAUUGAUAGAACUAAAAGAUCACAAAAAAAACAAGGACCUAGCGUUGAUACCAUAAGAAUGUCCAAAGGCUAUUCCUGUUAACUUUGCUUGGUCUUCUCUUGGUCGAUUCUCCAUCAACUCCUCCUGCUUAACCUCAAUUAUUUCAGUUGUCACCUCAUUCCUCCCCCUCUUUUUACUGACUUUAAUCUCACUUGCACCAGCAGCGGGGGGAUGGCUGGCACAACAGUUCCCGACCCACCAAAUCAAUCAUUCCAAAAUUUCUCAGUCUCAAUCAAUUCAACGAACAGAAUGGCAGCACCACAUUUUCUUCGAACACCACCUGGCAUCCCACAAGUCUACAACCCUCAAUCCACCACUACCUUCAAUGUGUAGCCACCUCAACCACGGGGACCAGCCACCCACGGUUUCAUGUAUGCAAGUGGAGUUACAACCAGCAAUGCAGCAGAAAACAAAAGUAGAAAAUGGAGAAAAAGAAUAUAGAAAGAAAAAGGGUGUCUGGAGGUGGAGAAAAGCCGAGAGGAGAAAGUGGAGAGCACGGCUGCCUACUCCAUUGUCUAAUAAAAUAAGAUCAAGAUAAACUUUAAUCAUUCAUGGCAGGGGACAAAUACAGAGUAUAAUAUAUACCCAUUAUCCCACUAUCUGGAAAAGUACAGAGUAUGGAGUGCAAAGUGACACAACUAUUUAUAGACUGGCAUCAGUAUAAAAUUCUUCCGCAAAUUAUACAUAUACUAAAACCCAGUUCCCCCAAGCACCGUUUUUCACUGUUCAUGAACAGUGAAAAGACGGUAAUGCCCUCGGGUUUUCCUAGCUUUGCCCUCAUGUGUGCAGUCAAUUGCCGGUUUUACCCAUUGAUCCCAAGGGUUCUGUGUCGUUUCUUUCUCUCUUUCCAUUCAUCUCUUUCACUUUACCUUUCAGCUCUCCAUUUUCUGCUUUCCUCAACUGGGUUUUCCUUCGUCGUCGGUGUGCACUCUGAUUUCUCUCAAUUUAUUCCUUUUCGUUUUGCGAAAUUAUGUCCGGCGAGACAUGAUCUUUGAUUUUUGCAACCAUUGUUGGCCGUUCUUCUCUGUUUUUGGCUGCCAUCCGUACUUUGGAUCGAUUUCGUCUUUUUCACCGUUUUGUUUCAAGCCUCUCUUUUGAGAGAAUUUUUACGUAUUAAGGUUAGUGAUUUCUAAACUUAAGUUUUGCUUUGCAGUUUGAUUUCAUUUUUGGUUGUCUUGCCCAAAUGUUAGAAGCUUUUAAUUUUUUUGGGUUCAAUUUUAAAUGGGUUGUUGCUUUCGGAGUUUUCGUUUGAUGACAGAGAUCGGGGUUUUUGGGGAAAAACUUUUAAUCGGUGAGUUUUUUAGUUAAGUUGUGUUGUGGGUCCUGACAAAUGGAUUUUUUGUUGAAAUUGUUUCUCUUCUCAUUUUUGGUUUUUUUUUUUUUUUUUUUUUUGUGCCAUCGGGUUUUUGCAUGUGGGUGUAUAAUCAGGUUUUCUUUUGAAUUUCAGGGGAUUCAGGUUUUUAUUUUUUUUGGAACUUUUGUAUGCAGCUUUGGAAGACAUUUAUGCUUAAUGUGAGAAACUUUGGUUGCUCGCUUUUGGGUUUUGUUGUAGAAUUAAGUUUUUUAUUUUAUUUUUAUUUUAAAGAGUUACAUUCGUGGGAAUUCAUUUAUUCUUUUUUUUUUCUGCAUCUGGAAAAUGCAACCUGAUGUGAGUUAUAGUCAUAAGUGCAAACAAGAAAAAGUUGUAGUCAUAAGUGCAAGAAAUAUAAAGCCAAAAGAACUUAGCAACAAUAUCAUACCUUAUUUUUCAAUUUACUUAUAAGGUUUCACAUUUUUGUAAAUAUCAAGAACAAAAACCUAGAACAGCCUCACAAUUUGGUGCACUGACUAGGAAAUUGACAGUUGGGUAUAGGUAUGGGUAGUUAAAAACUAUGAGACAUGAAAAUUAUUGUCAAAUGCAAGGACAGAAGGUCGUGUAUUUGCAAAGUUGAAGCGGCCCAAGGACCGAGUUGGUAUGUUUGAGUAGAUUGCUUGAUCUCCUUAGUUGGGUUUAGGUUUAAUGCUCAGUAGUUGGGACCAAGAUCCUCUCCCGAGGUAAGGAUGAGGAUCCUCCUGAUCAAGGAGUGUGGACCGUUGGAUGAAAAUCCAACGGCUACAAUUAUUAUAACUUUAAAGAGACUCCCCAGUUUGUAGUCGUUGGAUUUUCAUCCAACGGCCCACACUCCUUGGUCAGGAGGAUCCUCAUCCUUAGCUCAGGAGAGGAUCCUGGUCCCAGUAGUUGUUGUGCUUCUGCUGCUUUUUAGUUGUCGAGGAUAUACAGGGGGACAAGGAUUGUCUGCCCUCCCACUUUCGGUGCCCUCCUGUGAUUUGUGUGGUCACGAUUAAGCCACGUUAAUAUUUUAUAUUACUAUUCUUUGUGUCAACAUUUUAUAUCCUAUGCAGGGAGAGCAAGUAAAAAGAUUGUAUUCACUGUGUUGACGCAUUAUUGAACAAGAGACCCAAAAGGAAGAACAUAUUCAAUCUCAAAGUCUGUCAGCUUUCACUUCUUAAUUUUAUUAUUAUUAAUUUUGUUUGCUCUUCGAAAUUUGAAUGCAUGAGUUUUUUAAUUUUUUUGCGAUUAGUUUCCCUGAGAUGGGUUUUGGGUAAUCAUUUAUUACUUUCUGAUUUGGUUACAGGAUGCGAAUCAUUGCUUCUUUAGAAAAGAUUAAGGAAGGUGAGCAAUUUCAGAAAAAAAAUGCGAUUAUCAUUUUCUAGAGAUCAUGGCAUGCCCUUCCGUUAUUUUUUGGUGGUUGUAAAAUUAUGACCUGACAGGGAAGUUGGUUUUGACAAGAUUUUUAUUUUUAUUUUUUAUUUUUUAAUUUUACAUAUGUAGUGUCAUGCUAGCAUUAUUGCUUACGUAUAAAUGCGAGUGUGUUUUACAUUUAUAUAAUGCCUUUAAUUUUAACCUCUGCAUUUUCACUAAUGCCUUUAAUUAUCCUCUGUUUUACAUGUCAGUUACGACACAAAAGCUUCAUAGAAAAAGUAUCAGCUUUUGACUCAAAUUUCGACCGUGCCCCUAUCAUUUCCGAAAAUCAAAGCAACCCCAAGCAAUUCCAGAAUCAUUUUUAUGCGUCUCAAAAUCCAGUAUGUAUUAUCUUCAUCUCAAAUUUAUUCAUCUCACAAACGUUGAUAUCAAGUUCGUAGUUUUUCAUUGUUCAAAAUUCCACACUACUCAAUAUUUAAUAACACUUUUAUUUUCCUCUAUUUACCUUUUUAUUAGUGAUGUUGCAGCAAAGGAAAUAUCAGACACGACUCUUAUUCCAAAGGCUCCAACCAGAAAUGUAUCAGAUUCCCCAAUCAUUUCUGAAACCAUAUUUAUGGCUGCAAAACAGAGUAUGUAUACCCUUUCAUUGUUCUAUACUUUUUGAAUUAUUAAUGACCUAUUAAACAUGAUCUCUUUAUCCCAUUCGCUUAAAACUCAAAUAGUUCACUAGAUUUCUGUAUCAUAGUAUCUUUCGACCAUCUUUUGUAUGUAAGUAGGACAAUUUCGUAAAUCUUUUGUAUGUAAAUAUUAUAUACAUAUGCAUCAAGCAUUCUCUUUUGUAUGUAAAUAGGAUUAUCUACCAAAUCUUUUGCACAUAAAAUAGUAUGUACAUAUAGAUCAAGUAUUUUUGUAUGUACAUAGUGCUAUACACAAAAUUUCAUACAGUUUUCAAUCCCGCAGCAUCGUGCGGGCAUCUCUUACUAGUUAAUCUCUAAAAAGUGAUAGAGAUAGGUGUAACGGGGCAAGAACUUUUUGAAGUCAAGUCUUCAACUUUUGAAGUCAAGUGCAUCGUAUCUUCUACAUGCGUAAAAGAGGCUCUUGACUAAUUGAUUUGUGAGUUAAUUUUUGAAGUCAAGUCUUCAACUUUUGAGAUGGCGUGAAAUUAGAAGUUAGACAAAUGAGCAGCACCAUAAAAGAAAAAAGAAAAAAUUUGCACACACAUAGUUAAUCUCAUGAGUUCCUUCUGUAAGGGUUUAUGAUAUUUGUAUUGACACUCUUGUAAGGUUUUAUCAUAUUUGUAUGCCCAAUUGCAAGACUAAUCCAAACUUUGUAUUUGGGUACUUCUAAAUGUGUUGGACCUUCAUGCUUGAAAUCUUCAUUAAAAUAUGUGUAAUUUGUAUUCGAAUGUAAAAUUAAAAAAAAUAAAUAAAUGUUAAUGGGUGACUCAUGAGUUUAACAGGUUGAGUUUGAGUGACUCAUUAGCUUAACGAGUCGGGUGUGGGCGACUCGUUAGCCUAAGGGGUCAGGGGAAAUCCGAUCCAAACUAAAUAAACCCGACCCGUUUAUAGGUUACUAGCAGAUAGUAAAGGGAUGAAAGUUUCGAACUCGCAACAGCAAAUUAAGACAUUAGAGUCAUCAGAUUCAAUUCCUGCAAUUCCUGCAUUGGCUUGAAGUGGAAUGGAUUUGAAGCAAGAACUUUUCAUUCGAUAUCCAAUUUCUUCAUCAUUAGGACUUUCAAACUCCUAGCAUAUAUUAAGUCAAGAUUGCGGGUGUAACGAAAUUUUUCAUGUUGGAUUUGGUCUAUGGUGCAUUUUUCAAACUGCAAGCCCUUUUUUCAUCAGAAAAGAAAUAUCUCAUUAACUCGAGAGAAAGCACGGAAGAGAGAUACUUCCACUUGGAGGUGAGGCCCCAACCAUGAAAAACUAUAGAAAAACGUAUUUGGCUCAAUUCUACUUUUCCUUCAUUCUCAAAUGUACAAUAUAUAUAUAUAUAUAUAUAUAUAUAUAUAUAGCCAAGUCCAAUUUUCAGAAGUCGAAUCAUGUGAACGGUAGAAGAUCAAUGUAUAAAAAUUACAAGUGUGUGUAGGAAGUAAAAUGGGAUGUGUGAAUAGUAUUGGGAGAAAUUAGAUUUACAUCAUUCCUUUUGCUACUCCAUUAAUUAAAAUAUUAUUCCUUUUCAAUUUUUUAUCAAGGUCUUUGAAUAUUAAUAAUACAUUAAUUAUUUCAAUAAUAAAAUAUUUUUUAUUUUUAAAUAUAUUCCUUUAGGGUGCGUUUGUUGCACAGAACUAUCUCGGAUUGGACUAACUUCAAGAACUAAGCUGGACUGACUUGGCUUAGACUAAGCAUGACAAAAAUAGUGAAGUGUUUGGUAUGGCGCCGGACUAAUAAGCCGGACAUGAAAAAAUAUUAAUUUUUAUAUUAUAAAAGAUUAUUUUGUAGUUAUUUUAAAUUUUAAAAACCUAAUUAAAUUGCUUCUCUAAUCUCUAUCCAAGAAGGACCCAGAUGCUUCGUCUACCAAUUCAAUUGCCAGCAACUUUUUUAUUUCCUAUCGCAGCAACUCACCCAACACCAACAAUAAAGAAAUACCCAGAUGUUUUUAUAUCCCAAUUCAAUUGCUUAUCUAUUAAAGCGAUUCAAUUGCUUCCCUACCGCAGCAACUCACUAGUCUACGACAACAGAUUUGCGAAGACCCAAUCGACCCAUAAAUAACCAGACCUGAAAGAGAGACCCAGAAAUACCCAGUUUUGUAAGCUGCCACACAUCCAUCACCAACAACAGCGCUUCCUAAAAAAAAAAUGGCGGUGUAACCGCCGUUUCCCGCCGGCGGAGGAAUGGCUGCACUGCAAGAGUGGUGGGAAUCAAUUUUGGGGGAUGCAGAGGAAUGGCUGCAUCACAUGGAUUUGUGACGAGAGAGAGAAGAAAGAGAGAUGCAUGCGGAUAAGGGGUGGGCUGAGGUCGUUGGCUCGUUUCUUUGUUAGUCCUGCUUAAUACCAUGUGAAACCUUGGGUCUAGAUAUUGAGGUUUAGUGAAGUGCGGGGCGCCUCGUAGUCGAGGCGAGUCCCGUUAAUUCCAAUCCAAGACCAUGCCAAACGUAGGACUAUAAUCCUAGUUAAGCCAAUCCAUGCUAGUCCCUUCUAAGAAGGUGUAACAAACACACCCUUAGUGUUAAAAAUGUUAUAAUUAAUAUAUUUAUAUUUAUGGUUAAAAUUUUUAUCAUAUAUUUUUAUUUUUAGUUUGUAACAAUUUUUAAUUUUCAAACCUUUUUCAAAUUGUACCAAUUUUCUUUUCAGUUUUAAUUUGUACCCAUAUAUUAAUUUCUUUUUGUGCCCAUAUUUUUAACGCUUUAUUUGUAUUUGUGUCUGUGUGUUUAUCGUCACGUGACAUUGUAUAAUUAAUCAAUUAUAGAAAAAAAGGAAAACUAAUGAAAAGAGCUUGAAAACUUUGAGUUUUAACGAUAAGGACAAAAUAAAGGGUAAAGUGAAUAGUAUUGACAUACCCCGAUCAUAAAAUCAGAGCGUGCUGACCGUCACGUGAGCGUGACGUAACCAAAAGUGCGACGCGGAAGCAAAAAGGUAAAAGAAAUACGAAGGAAUAAAAACCAACUACUAGCAAUAAUAUCCAACUAACAUGCUAGAAUGAAUUUAAGUGUGAAAUACACAUAAUCAGAGCAUAAGUACUAGGUGCAGUCAAGUAGGACCAUUCCUAAAUUACAACACCCGAAGGUGAGUCCUACAUUUAAGUGGUCUGUCAGAACGCCGUGGGAGUCCUCGUGAGCCACCAACACUGCUAACUAGAACCUGGAGGGGCGCAAAACAAGAUUGAGUGGGUCAGUAAAACAAAGCUUUUCAAAAAUAUUUCAUUUAAUAACACUUCUAACCCCUCGCUGUAAAACCUGUAUACUUUCCCAGAAAAAUAGUAUAUAUAUAACCAUAUAUAACAACAAAUAAUUCAAAUCACAAGUCUUUAACACUUUUCAGGAAAAUAUGCCAUGCUAUGCUUCAAAACAUAAUAAGGAUGCAUCAAUAUAACAAGUGAAAUAAGGAAUCAACCGGAGACCCUGCAGCUGUCCUGUACGGCUAAUUCUAUAGCUCAAUAUCCAAUCCAACCGGAGUCACCAACUGUGACCUGUACGGCACUACUCUGCACACAAAUCGGAACUACCUGAAGUAGUAUGUACGACAAGAAUGGUGUAAGAAUACGCUCUAGUGCUUCUCUCAUCAACAGCUGUAUAAUAAUCUAAAGUCACCUACAAGUCGGAACCAUCUCUACUGGUCUGUACGACAUGUCGGAACCACCUCUAGUGGUCUAUACGACAUGCACCUACUUGGAUCCAAGGUGAGCGUGUGGUGCGAGGUGAAUAAUAUAAGCACUAACACCAGGGGUGCAGGUUAUGAGCUCUCAACACAAUUCACAUCAUCAAUAAAUCACAUGAACAACAUAAAACUCACCUGAUACUCACUUGUGCGUCCACAACACCAUUUAACAUAUAUGCAUGAAAUACUAGUUCAUAUAUUUCAUAUAAUAUGAAUGCAUGACCUUUUAAAACAUACUAUCAUUUAAAUUCAAUUUCUGGGAAAAGUCAGUAGUAUAUAUGUAUAUACAGAAAAUAACUGCCCACUCACUAGUAUGUCGAAGAGUCGUAACCCCCGUGACGCCCUUGAAUGUGCUCGUCCUCGGGAUAGGUCUCACCUAUAUGCGAAACAACUAUAAAAACGUUAUUUUAACGCACAUAGGCAAAACUAGCUUAUAACUUCUCAUACAUUGCUCAAUUUGGGUAUAUGAAUAUACCACAGUGACCUACUCGACGUCACGGAUGUCGAGAUAUUUUAGAAUAAUUUUUCAAUGCCGCACGCGCCCCCACGCGCCGGGAGAGGCACGGUGCUACGCGUCAUCCCCUACCUCCAGACACCGGAAAAUCUCGUCGGCGCCGGAAACUGGGCAAACCUGUAAAUGCCAUUUUCCACGAAAUUUUCACCAAAAUGUCACAAAUCACGAGAGGAAGAAGGCUAUACCUUUUAAAACUUCCAAAUCCUUUGAAAACUCGUCGGGAUAAUUCACCAAAACCGGCCACCUUCGAACCUCGUGAUCCCGACGUCCAAAACCUUCAAACGAACGUCCUCGAGCUUCGUGGGAACCUCCUUAAGCUCACUGUGAGCUUGAAAUUCCCUGAAACACAAUGUUUUACGUGUGCAUGAACAGUGCACAUUUUCGGGGUUAGGGUUUCACAAUGAUUUCGAAGGUCUUAAGUUCCAAAAUUAGUAUGCUUGAACUCAGGGACUCAAGAUGAGUUCGAUUCUUACCUUAGAACCUUCGAUCUGUGAAGAAAUGGCGUAGAAUAAGCUUGUCCGCACGUGCACAGUGACAAAGGUGCCGAAAAACCGAGAGAGAGAAGGGAGAGAAAGUCCACGGGAGAGAGAGAGAAAAGGCAGGUUUGUGUGUGUGUGGUCCACAUUAAUCCCUAACCACACAAAUGAAAACAUAACCUAAGUUCCAAUUAAAUUUUCCACAAACUUAGGAAGGACAAUAUUAAUCAAAUGUAUAAGUCACACACACACCUUAGAAAUCUUUAGGGACAAUUCCGUCAAUUCACAUCAACGAUAAAUGUAAUUUCGGGACGGCUGUGACAGUAUCAUGAUUGAUUUUUUAGUGUAAAAAUGUGGUUUUUCGUUAAGGUGAACAGUACAGAGAGUUUUUCGUUAAAGUUUCCUAGAAAAAAUUACAUAUGUUAUACAUAACUAUUUGUAGACUGGCAUCAGUAUAAAAUUAUUCUGCAAUAUAAUUUCUAAAAAGUGAUAGAGACGAGUGUAAAGGGGACAAGUGCAUCGCAUUUCUUCUACAUGCGUAAGAAGAGAUGCUCUUGACUAAUUGAUUCAUGAGUUAACUUUUGAAGUCGUCUUCAACUUUUGAAACUGUGUGAAAUCAGAAGUUAGAAAAAUGAGCAGCACCAUACAAGAAACAAGGCUUGAUGACGCAGCACUAGUGUAGAAGGAUUAAAAAUAUAAAUCCUUGAAGAAACAAAGUUUUUGGAACCCACCAGUUUGAUAGAAACUCCAAAAGGAUAAUUUGAUUAAUUGAUGAGUUGGUGAUUACAAUGGCUAACGCUAACACUCAUGACUUAAAUAAGUAAUUUACAACACUUUUGGACAACUCAAAAGGCUUAGAGAAUUAAAACGAAAGUAAAUGACAUUAAUCGGACGACAAUUGAAAAGUCUGAAACUUAUUACAAACUUUAUUUUUUGGUUUUGGAAGCUUAAUUCCUCUUAAACAUGACGGGCUCAUGAUAUCAUUCCUCUUGUUCUGCUCGCAAUUCUCUUCAAAACGAUAUAUUAUACGCCUAAUUAUGACACCGGAAUAUUUCUUGCUGUUUUUUCUGUCGUCAUAUUUAUUGAAUCCAAUAUUUUCCAAUUUUAAUUAUUCUUCUCUUGAAACAUUUUAUUUUAUUUAUAUUUCUUGAUAGGAAGUGACUCAUAUCUUGUCUUACAUCACUUGACUUGACCUCAACCAUCUGAUCUUCGACCUCAAGAUCCAGAUUAAUGGAGUGUGUAAAAAAUAAAUAAAUAAAGGGAAGAGAAAAAGAAGUACAAACCGAUCGAUUACAAAACUUUGCUAAAAUUGCUACAUAACGCAAAAUGACUACAUCUUACCAAACUUAACACCAGCCAAGUUACAUGGUGUAUUUAUAAAGACCCAAUUCUUAACAAACAUGAAAGCAAUCGUAAACCCUCCUAAAUAAUAGGAAAGUAACCUAAGAUCAUGUGGCACAGAAGGAUUGAAGAGUAGUAGAUUGACUGAGUAGUAGACCUGUAAACAGGUCGGGUUCAAUCCAACCCGUUAAAUUAAUGGGUCACCCAAACCCAACCUGUUAAGCUAACGGGUCACCCGAACCCGACCUGUUUCACCUCGUUAACAAUUAUUAUUAUUAUUUUUUUGCAUAGAGUUUAUUUUUUGUUGUUAAGACUUUACUGAAAUUACUAAAACAUCCUCAACUAACGGAUGCUAACGGGUCCGAACGGGUUGACCCAAAGUGACCCGUUAUUUAACAGGUUCACCCGUUAGCGACCCAACCUGUUAAGUAUCCACACAAAUACUAAUAUUAACGGGUCAGGUCGGGUCGGGUCUAAAAUGCCAGGUCAGUGAGUAGUACUCUUGACAAGACUGAACAAAUAAUGAAUGCAACCAAAUAUAGUAAUUAGGUUUUAAUUCGACCGGUGGAGUGGAUACUGGUCUAUGUGUGGAACUUGUGCUUUGUUUUUGGUCUAUGUUGAUUUUUUCAAACUGCAAGUUCUUUUCUCAUCAAAAAAGAAAUAUCUCAUUACUCAUCCCCAACUACAGAUGUCUCUAGGAAGUGUAGGUAUUCUUGUUGACGUCAAAUAGGAGAGAAACGGCAUCCACUAGUCUUACGUGGUUGAUAUGACUCUUUGACACUUGGUAGACCCGAUUCUUCUACACUUAAUGGAUUUCUGUUUAAGAAGUUGAGGUUCUACCAUAAUAUCGCAGUAGUCACAUGCACUCCACGUAGUUCCGUUGUUUGUCCACAUGUUAGACUUAAAAAAAUUUUCCACAAAAAACAGAAGAAAAAAAAAUGAAGUUAAUUUUUGCAUAUAUGUAAUACAUUUAUAGUUGAUCUCAUGAGUUCCUUCCGUAAGGGUUUAUGAUAUUUGUAUUGACACUCUUGUAAGGUUUUAUCAUAUUUAUAUGGCUAAUUGCAAGACUUAUCAACUUCACAUUUGGGUACUUCUAAAUGUGUUGGACCUUCAUGCUUGAAAUCUUGAUUAAAAAAUAUGUAAUUUGUAUUGGAAUGAAAAAUUAAACAAAAAAAAAAAAAACAAUUUUAACGGGUGACUCAUGAGCUUAACAGGUUAAGUUUGGAUGACUCAUUAGCUUAACGAGUCGGGGGUGACAUGACCUAAACCCAAUAAACCGAACCCGUUUACAGGUUACCAGUAGAUAGUAAAGGGGAUGAAAGUUUCAGACUCUCAGCAUCAAAUUAUUAGUCAUCAGUUUCAAUUCCUGCAUUGGCUUGAAGUGCAAUGGAUUUGAGGCCCGAAAUUUUUAUUCGAUACCCAAUUUCUUUAUCAUUUUAGGACUUUCAAACUCCUAACAUCUAUCAAGUCAAGAGUGCGGUGUAACGAAAUUUAUCAUGUUGGAUUUAGUCUAUGUUGCAUUUUUCAAACUGCAAGUCCUUUUCUUGAGAAAAGGAAUAUCUCAUUAACUCAAGAGAAAGCAAGGAAGAGGAGAAAUACUUCGAGUUGGAGUUGAGGCCCCAACCAUAGGAAAACUGUAGAAAAACGUAUUUGACUCAAUUGUACUUUUCAUUCAUUCUCAAAUGUACAAUAUAUAUAUAUAUAUAUAUAUAUAUAGUAAAUAAAAAUAUAUGGAUUAACUAUAAAUACACACCAUUUACUCUUUUAUAUAAUGAGCUUAAUGCUGAAACGUUAAUGAAUCCAUGUAGAAGAUUUAAUAAGCCUAAUUGUUCAAUGAACCUAAUUAACUAACAUGCCCUCUCAAGUUAGAGAGUGAAGAUCCACAACUCCCAACUUGCGUAUCAUAAUCGAAAAUUUUAAAUUUCGUUAGGUAAAAGCUUAAGCAUUGAAAACUUACUUUUACCUGACGAAAUGGUUUCGUCUAAAAUGGUGUUUUCUUGUAGUGAUAUCAAGUAAACUCCAUAACAAUAAUCUUUUGAAUUUUUGCCCUCUUAGCUAUGUAUGGAAGUACAAAGUGACACAACUAUUUAUAGACGGGUAAUGCUUGACAAAGGAAUACGUAUAGGGUGGACUAAUAUAUAUAUAUAAUAUAUGUGUGUGUCCAUAAAUUCCUUACCACAUCAACCUUGACCCAUUGGAAUCUAUAAAUUUGAAUUUGUCUAAAUUCCCAUGGCUACACCAAAUUCUUUACAAACACUUAUCAGCUGCUAAUUAUUAAACUGACCAACUAUGAUUAGUGUGAUGAGCUGAAGGAUACAAAAUAUGUGUUAUAUAAUUAUGGUUGUUUAGUAAAACUAUAACACAGCUAAUGUUUCUCUCGCCGAUCUUUUCUCACAAUCUAGUAAGUGGACUAAAUGAUUUAAGCAGUUAGUGAAAGAACAUAUGUAGCUUGUAAUUUGACUAAUUUCCCCAUGUUCGGAGAAAUUUCACAGGCCUUUGUAAGAUUUCACUUUAACAAAGAGAGCUCCAAUAACCUUCUAAAACAUUUAAGCAAAGCACAUAUCACAAAAAAUGAACCUGAAUGGGGAAGAUCAUCAUAAGCUAAUAUGGACCAUGUAUAAAAGAGAUAAAUAGGAAUUAAGGAUGUGUGAAUGGAUACCAAGCAACUAAAAAGCUUCUAAUGGGUCUUUUCCUUCAAAUAAUGAUUGAUAAGAAACAACCAUUCUUCAUGAGGAAGCAGGUAAUGUAUUGUGCACCCUAAUCUAUUGUCCUAACAACGAUAAUACAUAGAAAUUUAUGGUGCCCCAUUGCACGUAUGCAGCAGGCUUUUAAGCAUAUCAAUAUUUGCAUAAGAAGAACCAACAAACAGAGAGACGAAACACCUAAAUUUACAACAAUUAGUCUUGUGAAGCCAAAUGGGAGGGAGUGUGUUGAGAAUGAGUUCCACGUCAAUGAGAGGAGGAACCUUGCAUAAGUUUGUAAGAAGUCAAGUUACUCCUCGUAUUACCAAUUAAUUUUAUAGUAAAACCUCACAUUUUUUCAAAAUGAAAGUUUAACAAAAAAAAAAAAAGGGAUAAAAAACACCUAAAUUUACAGAGAUAAUUUAAAACAUGUAAAUAAGAAAUUGAAAAGUAAUCUGCAAUUUGGUUUCUUCAGAAGCAAUGAGCAAAAGAAAACGGGAGAAUGAGACCAACACAGAAAAGAAAACAUCCUUUUUACCCCUAAGUUGUGCGCGAUGUCCUACUUCCUUCCCUUCUUCGUUUUGGCAGCCUUCCCCUUCAUUCCUUUCAUUCUUCGUAUUUUCUCCCCCCGCGCUGUCUCACUUUCAGAGUCUGUAAGACUCACUCACGACUCAGCAGCUGUUCAGCCUGACUCGUGCCUCAUCUCAGCCUCACUCAGUCCUUCCUCUACGUCGACCACUCGCCCACCUCGCACUCACCCUCGCGGCCCACAAGCUUCCUCUCGCCGUUUCGAGUCUCGACAGCCCACCUUGAUUCCUCGAUUCCAAAAGGUUAGUCUUUCUGCUGGAUUAAAAUUUGGAUCCACAACUAUAGUUGGUCUUUCUACUGAUUAAAAUUUGGAUCACAACUGUGUUUUUUCCGAUUAGGGAUUUGAAUUGGAAACCUUAUCUGUCAUUUCUGCUUUGACAGUUUUGUUUCUCUAUUUGUAAAUAUGAAUUCAUCACAGAAAAACACAAAAUGGUUUUGUUAUUUACCAUUAAUUUUCUUGUUAAAAUAUGUCAAUAAUACGAAGGAAGUUUUAAUGAAAAGUCCGCGGUACUAUUUACUUUAACGAAAAAUCAUAUUUUUACAUUAAAAAGUCAAAUAUGGUAAUAUUCACUUUACAUUUUAUUUUGUCCUUAUCGUUAAAACUCAAAGUUUUCAAGCUCUUUUCAUUAAUUUUACUUAAUAUGAAAGGUUUUGUUAUUCGCCAAAGUGGGACUUUCGCCUUCACCUCUUCACAUGUACCAAUCACUUGUUUUUUCCCAAUAAUUUUCUUGUUAAAAUAUGUCAAUAAUUUUGAAAAAUGGUACAUAAAAGUACUCUUGUAAAGUUAUGAUAUCUUCACGUGAAAAUGUUUUUUUGCAAGAAUAAAAGGUGUAUUGUCCUUGCACGACAAAAGAGAAAUUAAGUUACUGAUAAAACACAAGUUUUAGGGCUAACGACAAUGAUGUUUUCUGUAUCUGCGCUUCAAGUCCACCAGCCCUUUUGCAUUUGUUGCCUAUUGCACAACUGAUGUAUUCAGUUUACAAGUUGUUCCUACAAAACCAGUUCCCCUGUAAUCCACGAUUCUUAUUCAUUCUCUCCGAUGAUUGGAACAAAAAGUUGUACAAAUUUCGUAGCUCUGGUUUUAGAAUUUUAGACAAUCCUUGCUAUACACAUUAUUCUUAAAUAUGUAACUGUUCUACAAGUAUUCUUAGUUACUAAGGCAUAGGAAAGUUUCGAUUUCAUUUGAUUGAAAAGAUUUGUCUCCAAUUAAUCGAAGGGUUAUUAUACAAAAUAGUCCAUGAGAUUUUUAUGAUCAAUAGAAAUUCUCUAAUAUUAAAAAUCAAUAUAAAUGGCCCCUGAGAUUGUUCAUUAUCCAUGAUUUUGGUCAUUUCAUUAAAACUUCUUUGGGCAAUUUUCAAAACUUCGUAACUCAAUCGAUUCUUAACCAAAUUCGACUCAUAAUAUAUCAAAAUGAAAAUAAAAAAGUUUAGAACAAGAUUAUACCUAUUUGGAAGCCCAAUGAUUGCCAGAGAUGACUGGAAAAUAGCCUGAAAGGUGACUGGUCCACCGGAAAACUGGAAAACUCGCCGGAAACUGGGUAAACUUUAAACAUUUAUAACUUCUUCAAUACUCAACGAAAUCGAGUGAUUCAAAAACAAAAAUUUAGAUUUCAUUUGAUUGAAAAUAUUGUCUCCAAUUAAUCGAAUGAAUAAGAAUCCUUUCAAAUGAAAAUAGCUGCUUUCAUUCUAAUUUCAGAAAAUCCAAAUCCAUGAAAACAUGCAGCACUCUACUAUCUUUAUUUAUAUUACUUUCUAUCUCCAUUUAAUUGUUAAAGAAACUCGACGGUACAAGCAAACUGAUAUAACAUAAAAAUAAUAUGAUACAUAGGGCAGAGUUUUGAACGUGAACAACAAUCAACUAAAAGCUAAAAAGCAUCAAUACAUUCUAUCUCUUUUUUCAAAAGAAAUCUCGACGGUACAAGGAAAAAUUUAUUGAAUAAACAAAAGAAAUUACACCUAGUCUUGGGGGGAUAUAAACCUUGCCUCUCAAAAUAAAGAGAAACGUAAGAAAAGAAACCGAAAAUACAAGAAAAUAGGAGGGACAUACACUUACAUAUCCUGAUACAAACUUAUAACUAAACAUAUAGAAAGUGAAGGAAAGAAACCACAAUAGAGAAAACAAACGACAACAAGAAAUGUGUAACAUUGUAACAAACCGAAUUUCUACGCCCCCAUUAGUACUCUAAAUUUUCAUUAUCAUUUGCCUGACCAUUCCAACAAUCUUAAGAAACAAGUCAGACCUCCUUGUGAUCACAACAUCUGCAAGAACUACUCCCACUACCAACCCACUUCAACAUCCGGCUGAAACAAUUUUCCAAUCAAAUUCAAAUAUUCCUGCUGAGCUAGAAUCACCUUCGUCCACGGUUGAAGGUGGAAAUGGAGGGGCCUUAGGAUUUCCACAUUUCUUUGGCAAUGGAUCUCCACACAACCCUGGGUUUCCCUCAUAUGAAGUGAUAUUCAAUGUAGUAAGUUGGCUACCUUGUGGUAUAAGACCUGUGAGAUUGUUGGGAGACACAUUGAAAUUGGCAAGAAAAGUAAGUUGCCUCAGUUGUUGGGGGAUCCGUCCUGAGAGCUUGUUUUGUGAAAGGUCCAACAAUUCAAGUUUCAUCAAGUUUCUGAAGGAUGAUGGGAUAGAACCAGUGGGAAUGUUGUGGGAUAGACUCUGCGAACAAGGCUCCUUAAGAUUCCCAAUGAAUUCUGGAAUUUUCCCUUCAAAUUUUUUGCUCGAGAUAUCAAAGGAUGAAAAUUCUUCUCGGAUCUUUGGGUAGUAUUGCUCCAAACAUUUUGUUGCUAUUGUGAGUUGGUACUCAACACUGUUAACAAUCGUGAAUCCAUUGACAUCAUAAACUACGUCUGUGUACAUAUAUGUUGACUUAUUUAUGGUAAUAUCUGGAAAUACAGACGGAACCGCACCAGUAAAAUCAUUGUAAGCCAAAUCAAGAAUGCGUAACUUGGGGAAAUCGACAUUCUUUCUAGACUUUCCAAUCACACCAUAGAAUCCAUCAUGGCAUAUUGCCAAAAGUUUUAACUCCAAAAGAGUCCCCAACCAAAUGGGAAAAACAUCAUUGAAUUGAUUGUUUGACAAAACAAGAUACUCAAGCAUUACACAAUUGGCCAAUGACCUCGGCAACUGCCCUUGCAAUUUGUUAUGACUCACAUCAAUCAUUCUCAAACUGCUUCCUUUGUUGUAUGUCUGAGGAAUAAUUUCGUGAAAACAAUUGUUUCCAAGAAGUAAAAGAUUCAGAUGAUCACUAAAGUUUCCGAGACACUGAGGAAGCAUGCCACUCAAGUUAUUUUUCGACAAGUCAAGGUAUUGAAGAUUUUUCAUAUUGCAAAGCAACGGUGAGAUUUCUCCGGUAAAGUUGUUGUCUGGAUGAAAACCUUACACAUAACAGUUUCACCCAAGGAAUGACAAGUGGAGGUUGGUCUGAAAUGAAGUUAUUAGAAAUGUCUAACAAUAGCAAAGUUUCUAUGAUUGUGUUCCACAUCCAUUUUGGUACUUGGCCCCGAAUUUUGUUUAUAGAAAGGUCCUAACGCUCCAAACUUUUCUGAUAUUGUAAGAAAGAUGGAAACUCUCUUAUGUUGCAAGAACUCAAUCCUAGGACAGUGAACUGCAGAACUGUUGAAUUUGCAAUUCGUGGAUUCAGUGACAAAUUCUAAAAUGUUCCAACUUAAUUGGAGUUGGUAAAGAAAUUGUAGAUUUUGAAAUUGUAAACAUGAAAAUUUCCUCCUUCGAAUGAGACAAGAACGCGUGUACAAAAUAAUAUUUUGUAUUAAUUUUGGGGUUACAAUCACUUUUACAAUUUGAUACUCUGAUUCUAUCUUCGUAAGAUGUAGAUUUGUAGGUGGGCAGUUGAUCCAAAAGGUCAUCGGGGCUUGAUCUAGGGAUGAACAAGGAUGAAUGGACCUUCAAGGGCCUUCAGGGCUUGAACUUGAUGAACGAGGAUGAACAGAUCUUCAAGGGCCUUUGGGGCUUGAUCUUGAUGAAAGAUGAUGAUUGGAUCUUCAAGGGCAUUCGAGGCUUGAUCUUGAUCUUGAUGAAUGAGAAUGAACAGAUCUUUAAGGGCCUUCGGGGCUUGAUCUUGAUGAACGAGGAUGAAUGGAUCUUCAAGGGCCGUUGGGCUUGAUCUUGAUGAACAGUUGGGAGCUGCGGUUGGGAGCUUCUUCAAGUACCGUCGGGGCUUUAUCUUGAAUGAGUGGUUGGGAGCUUCUUCAAGGGUCGUUGGGGCUCGAUCUUGAAUGAGCGGUUGAGAGCUUCUUCAAGGGUCGUCGGGGCUUAAUCUUGAAUGAACGGUUGAGAGCUUCUUCAAGGGUCAUCGGGGCUUGAUCUUGAAUGAGUGGUUGCCUCAAGGAUUUGGCUUGCGGCAAAGGAAGAAUCGGCACGUGACCAAAGUGCUAGUUGAUUCUUCAAAGGUUUUGGCGAAGAACGAAGAGAGCUUUCUCGAUCUUUUGGAAUUCCUGAGAAUUUGGGGAGUUGGAUGCUUGAGAGCUUUAUAGUGUAUUUGUCUUGUCAUUGUCCAAAAUGAGAAGAAAAAACUUGUUUUGAUCCAUAAUGGAUUGAAGUGUGUUUGCCUUGUCAUUGCCCAAAGUGAGAAGAAAAUUUUGUUUAAUCCUCCAAGGGUAUUUCUUCCUAUUUUGUUGAGUCACACGCCAUGUGUAAAAUUUAUGUGACAUGUGAACGUUGAAAUUUUAAUGCAUUGGUCAACAUUUAUUUCACCGAAAUUUCGAUGUCUACAUAAACAUUUGAACCUCCACUGCACCACUCAGACUAUUCCAAUGUAGAUAAAGGAUCUGAAGGUUUGUGAGAUUUGAACCAUUAAAUCUAUUAUAAGCAAAAUCUAGGUACUCUAGUUUGCUAAAGUUGCCUAGCCAAGAUGGGAUUGGACCAGUUAAUCAACUGGAACAAAUCCUAAAAGUAGCCAAUUGGGUAAGGUUUGCCAAGGAAUCAGGAAUUGGACCACCAUAACUUUUGGCUGAAAUGUCUAGAUAAGUGAGCUCACUGAGCUGCCUAAUAUUCCCAAGUGAAGAUGGAACCAACCCUUCUGAAAAAUUGCAUUGAGCCAUAUCUAAUUUUUGCAGUGAAUCAAGGUUUUGAAUAAGAGAGUAUGGUUCCAAAAAAGCCAGUAAAGCCGACUUUCAAUAAGAUGAGAGGACUGCUUCGAUUAAAGUCAGCAAAAUAUCCAGUCAAUUCUUGGUUGUAUCUCACACUAAGAAAUUUUACGUUUGGUAGUUGGAAAAUUCUCACCAGAGAUCACCAAAUAGGUGACAGUCCCUGAGGUAGAGGGAUGUCAAAGAUGAUAAAUUAGCCAUGGAAUGAGGAAUUGCCGAAGAUACGUUUACGAACUGAGAGAAAGUACUUCGAGACUAGUUAAGUUUUGAACUAGGCUUCCAAGAUCUGAUGCUUCAAGUUUCAACAAAGGAUGAUCCUUAUCUUCAGACAAUCUAUCGAGAUUGACAGCUAGAUUAAGGUAUGUCAACUUGGAUAACAGUGAAACUUCAGAAGGGACUUGACCAGAAAAGACAGAGGUAGAGAGGUCAAGAUGAGUAAGGCUUGGAAAAUUCCUAAUGCUAGGAGGAAUUUGAGAGUAAUUGAAGUUAUUGUCAGAGAGGUUUAACCUUGGAAGAUGAACAAGGCGGAAGAGGCUGCUUUCCAUGAUGAAACCUUUGGAUAAGCAUCGAUAGAUCUAGAAGCAGAUAUGUCAAUAGUAAAGCUGUCUUUGGAUUGCAGCAGGGCGGACUUCUCCUCAUCAGGGCAAGAUGGAUAAUGCUUCUGCGAAGAGUGGGAAGAGUUAACAAUAACUAUAUGAUUAAACAGCAACAAAACUAGUACUAGUUUUGAAACCAUGCGAAUGAUGGAGAUAUCAAGUAACCCCAUAACAACAAUCUUUUGAAUUUUUAUUUUUUUUAUUUUUUAUUUUAAAGCUUUUAGGCCAUCUCCAACCGAAUGAGGAUCAGAUAGCUCAUUUUAGUCUUAUAGCCCUUUAAGAAAUUAUAUUUUAAUGAAUAGUGUCAUACCAUAUUUCUUACCAUCACCAACUGAAGGAGCCAAAGGGCCAUAGGCCAAACAUAGCCUCUUGACAAAAAAUCAUCUCCAACCGAGGGGACCAAAUGGUCAUAGGCCAAACAUAAUUUAUUAUUUUAAUUGAAUUAAUAUAGUUACUUAAAUUAAAAACUACAAUCAUUAUCUUAAAGAUUCAACUACUUAAAUUUAAAAACUACAACUAAAAUUAAAAUGCUACAACUUCAAUUUAAAGACUACAACAACUUAAAUUUAAAAACUACAACUUAAAUUUAAAAACUACAACUUAAAUAUUAAAGACUACAACAAUUUCAAGACUAUAAUCAUCAUCUUCAUCCGCCAUUGUAGGAGUAUAGUCGGAUGAUGUAAACAACUCCCGUCAGGCCAUAAUUUCUCUCUUUUUCCUAUCAAAAUAUGUCUUACUCAUUGGAGUGUAAUCCGAAGUGUUCAUUUGCAUGUUCCUACCAUCCAUCUAUUCUUGUAUUUGUUUUGCCCAUUCUUCGUGCCUACGGUUCCUUUCUUCUGCGGCAAGGGCAUUUUUCUCUGCCAGUAAUUGCAAUGAGGACACAAUUUCCUAUUGACAAGCUAAAUCAUCCAUUGCCUUGCCCUUUUCCUUCAAUUUUCGGGCCUUGUUUUGUCCCGUAGCCCUAGGGAUGGAAGAUUCACUCGGAGACGGAUUUUCUACCCUUGUUUCUUGAAUGAUAGGAGAUUCUUGUUGAGGUGGAUCAAAUCUUUCUUGAGGUGGAUCUUGAAAUAACACACACCCUUUAUAAAUUUCCCAACAACCAUGAUGAGUAAAGGGGUUUUUUCAUUUCCUUCAUAUACAAUUCCUUCGCUUGGCGUACCUAGAAAAUAUAAUUACAAAAAUUAAAGGAAAUUAAUUUAUGAAAUUAAGAUUAGCAUGUGAAAUUAAUUUAUGAAAACACUUACUUCGUCGUAGUAAUUGGCUCUGCUUUCAUGUCUGCUUUCGGCCGCAAGCACUGCUUGAUGUCAUUUAUUCAAACUUGGUUGAAGAUGUUUUCUUCCUUUUGAAGAACAACUCUAGUGGUUUCGGGGAUUCGGUGGAGUGGUGUCUUCGUAUAAUUCGUAGUACUUUUUAGACCCAUCUAUAAGUUUUGCAAAGAGCUUCAUCUUCUUUUCGGGUCCAAGCCCUUCCUUUCAUUGCAUAUGUGGUUAUUUGAAAAUUAUUGAAAAAAAUUGAAGGAAAGAUUAUUGGAAGAGGUAAGAGAAUAGAAUGUGAAGAAUUGAAGCUCUUUGAGGUAAGAUAAUAUGGAAUGGUGAAAAUUAUGUGAGAAAUGAUGUAAGAAUAACUUAGGUAUUUAAAGGAAAAAAAUUAUUUUUUUUUAUUAAAAAAAUUGUACCAAAAAAAAAAUUCAAAUCCAACGUCUACCUGGCGUCAGCAUGACGCCAAGUAGCCGUUGGGUUUGGAUUUUGGGCCGACCCAGGGCUGGCUAGCUAGCUGAGGAGGGCCAGCCAGUUGGCACAAUUUCAUAUUUUUGGCCCGGUGGGGCUCACGAGCCAUUUGGCUUAGUCCUCGGUUGGAGACGGUUUUUGUGACAUUUCGAGUUUUUUUAGCCCUUUGGCCAGGUCGGUUGGAGAUGACCUUAGUUAUGUAUGAAAUGCAAAGUAACACAACUAUUUAUAGAAUGGCAUCAGUAUAAAAUUCUUUCGCAAAUUACUUUAGUCUAAAGUAGGGGAACUGCACUGUGCAAUUUUGCCUCAAUUUCACUUUAUUUAUGAGUUUGCCACCGGGCUGAUUUCAGCCCAAAGUUUGCUUCAUUUACAAGAUUGCCAUUGGGCUUAACAACGGGUCUUCAUUCUUUUGGCUGGAUCUGGGCUUUUGACUCGGGGAGAGAGAGGUAAGGGCGACAGAAUGGUUGAGAGGAAGACAUUCGCCGGGAUUUAGGGGAGUGGAUUUUCAGGAUGGACAUGCGGGUGGAUGUCCUGUGGGUGAUGCAUCGAUCAGAGGGUUGUUGGGGGGAGGAGAGGAGAGGAACAGAGGGACUGAUGGAUUGGAGAGAGAUGGGAGCCGGCUCAAAGACUCUGCAUUUCUCACUUUCUCUUCUCUCAGACCACUUCUCUCUCUUCCAUCUCUCUUCCAUCUCAAUGCGAAGGGUUGCGGAAAGCCGGUUCUCCGGCCGAUUUGAGGUGGUAAUAAGCUACUUAUGAUGAAUCCUAUGCUAUUAUGUUUCUUUGAACCACUAUGCUAUUAUGUGGUUUAUCUUUAUAAAGAGGAAUUCUUUUGAAAUCUUUCGUUGAACUAUUAUUGAUGAAUCCUAUUGUAAUAAGUAAUUUUUUGUCUGUUCAUCGUAGAACUAUAGGGAGGGAGAGAGAGAGAUAGGGAUUUGGUGAGAGGAAGGCAUGCGGCUUGCAGGCAGACAGAGUCACAAGGGUGUACGAUUCGAAAGAGAGGGGAUUGAGUGGUGACGCUCGAUUUGGGAAGAGAAAGAGAGGGAGAGCGCGAUUAUGGGGUUAGGCGACGGCGGGAGAGAGGGCGAGGGUUGUUGCAUCCAUGUCACUCAGAGUGGGUUACGUGAGAGUCAGAGUGCUGCGUUCUUGGGUUUGAGAGUUGAUUUUGAGAAAAUGAUCUAUUCCAUCUCUGCUUCGUGAUCCCUUUGAUCCAUGCUUCCUCAUCUUUUCGAUCUUCUUGGCCCCUCAUCCUGCACCCAAUUUCUCUAGCCUUUAAGAGGUAAUUAAAUCUCACUUCUUCUCAACUACCCAGAAGCCAAAUAUUUGAUUUUUCGUUGUGGUUUGUUACUUUACCGAAUUUGGUUAUUGAUAUUUCGUUUUUUUUAUGGUCCAUUUGUGUUUUCUUGGGGUUGUAUUUUUGCUAGAAUUUCAUAAAAUUUGAUUUGGCUGGGUAACCGAUUGGCUUAAAAUUGUUGUGAGAUUGAAUAUUUCUUGAAUUUGAUCAUUAGAUUUCUUUUUUUUUUUUUUUUGGAAAUUGACGUGUUUUUCCCAUUCAUAGCCAAAACAAACCCGUGCUUCCUCCCUUUUCGUCUUCUCCUCUCACAAUUUGCGCCUUUAGUUCUCAACUGGAUUCACAGUAAACGCCUAUAAAUUUAGAGGUACGAAAAUAUUAAUUUUUUUUUCAUGUUUUUUAUUUAUUUUUAGUGUUAAUUUCUGAUUAAAUUAUUAUUUUUGAUACCCACAUAGAAUCUGAUGGGUUUGCUUGGAUUCCAGAGUAAAAACCUUGAAACUUAAAGGUAUGAAAAUUUCAUUUUAUUUUUUAUUUUUUGUGUUAAUUUCUGAUUAAUAUUAUUCUUCAUAAAUCCACUUAGAAUCUUGAUCUGAGUUUUGCUUAAACUCAUCUUGGGGUUUUAUAAUUUUUUUGUUUUAUAAUUUUCUGGUGCACAUGUGAUUAAAUACAACUGAAUUUGAUUUUAUCCACAAGUGCAUAUCUGAUCCUGUAGUGCUCAAUCUAGAGAAUUGGUACUCAUAAUCAAUAAGAUUCAUACUGCUUAUUGGUAUCAAUUUUGGUUGCAGCAAUGCUAUUCUUGCUGAAGACCUGCCAUGUAAGUGAUUCAGAUUGUAGUAAUGUCGUACAAGUUAACACUUUUGUGUGGAAUUGGUGCAACUUUUGGGGUUUGUGCGAUGUUAUUUUGAUUAGUUAUUGGCUAAAAUUUGGUUCUUUUGAUUUGGGUCUGGUGAAAUUGUUUCAACAGUUGGGCGGGAUUGGUGUUCAGGGAUAUUAUGGUUUUCUAAGGUUUUGAUAGGGUUGUCAUGAAUGGAGGAUGUUAAUGAAGUAAAUGAACAUGCUUAUCUUUGUAGGCUUGACUUCUGAACACAAGGCCUACUCUUUUCAAUUGUUGGGGAAGGGUUUCUUAAUUUUUAUUUCUAUUUGUGUGUGUUGAAUUUUGAGUUAUUUUGCGAGCAAUUGGCUGUGUUGAUGCACAAAACCGGAAGGGGUUUUGGAACAACGUAAAUCCUACCAUGAAUCUGCAAGAAAGUAAAGAACACAAGAUGUAUCGUGGUUCACCCCAAUGUUUGGGCUACGUCCACACUGAUUAUUGUAUUUCUCUGAGAUGUUAAAGAGGGAGAGAGGGAGAGAGGGAGAGAGGGAGAGAGAGCUUCCUUAUGUGAGGAUGAGCUUCUUUGAAUAUGAGAUGGGAUGUGAGGCCUCUCUAAUUGUGAGGGUGAGGGGUCCUUUUAUAGAAUAAAGGCUCCUCACUUAUUACAUAUUUGCCGCUUCCCUUAUUACAUAAUUACAUUUAAGUCCCCCGAGUAUUUAUACGAGGUCUAAAUACGGAGGCCCUAAGUAUGGUAUAAACAGUAGUCCCCCAAGUCUUCAGUCAAGAGAGUCUUUUGGCUGGAGACUUGAAAUUCAGUCCAUGUGUGGGCCGAAGUAACUAGAUGUCGUCUAGAACUGAUACUCGAUAUGAGGCGGUGCUCAAUUUGAAAUGAUGCUCAACUAGAAGUAGCACAUGUUGCGAGGCUGCUCUGCUUGUGGCUUAUGUUGCCUUGGUUGGCUCGGCUUGUGGCGUUGAAGGUGAAUAAGUCCAUUUUAUAGAAUAAGGGCUCGCUCCUCAAUACAUAAGUGAUGGGUUAGGAGUGAUGCUCGCGGCGAUGCGGUUGCUCAGCUGGCGGCGAUGCUCUCUAAUGAUGGUGAGGGAGUCCCUUUUAUAGAAUAAGGGCUCGCUCCUCAAUACAUAAGUGAUGGGCUAAGAGUGAUGCUCGCGGCGAGACGGUUGCUCAGCUGGCGGCGAUGCUCUCUAAUGAAGGUGAGGGAGUCCCUUUUAUAAAAUAAAGGCUCGCUCCUCAGUACAUGAAUAAUGGGUGCUCUCUAAUGAAAGUGAGGGAGUCCCUUUUAUAGAAUAAGGGCUCGCUCCUCAAUACAUAAAUAACGGACUAAGUCCCCCAAGUUUUUUUUCAUGAGUGCUUUCUAAUGAAAGUGAGGGAGUCCCUUUUAUAGAAUAAGGGCUCGCUCCUUAAUACAUAAAUAAUGGGCUAGAGUCCCCUAAGUAUUUUUCAUGAGGCCUAAUAUAUGAUACAUAAUGUAGUCUCCCAAGUCUUCGGUCAAUAGAGCCUGUUGGCUGGAAACUUCAAAUUGAAUCCAUGUAUGGGUCGAAGUGGCGGUUGUUCGGAGGCGGUAUUUGUAUACCCUACACUGAAGCUUUGUAGGUGAAGCUUUGCAAGUGAAGCUUUGAAGCUGGAGCUCUGUAAAUGAAGCUUUUGAAGCGAGAGCUUUUGUAAAUGAAGCUUUUGAAGCUAGAGCUCUAUAAAUGAAGCUUUUGAAGCUAGAGCUUUUGUAAAUGAAGCUUUUGAAGCUGUAGCUUUGUAAAUGAAGCUUUUGAAGCUAGAGCUCUGUAAAUGAAGCUUUUGAAGCUGAUUGAAUGAGUGAUGCUCAUGAAUGUUUAUGUUGAUUGACAUGAGUGAUGCUCAUGGAUGUUGACAUGAGUGAUGCUCAUGAAUGUUGACAUGAGUGAUGCUCAUGAAUGUUUAUGUAUGAUUGAUAUGAGUAAUGCUCAUGAAUGUUUAUGUAUGAUUGACAUGAGUAAUGCUCAUGUAUAAUUUGAAGUACUGGGCGUAUUUUUGAUCACCUGGUUGGUGAUAAUAGCGGCAGGCUGCCGAAUAAUUUUGGAGUACUGGGCGUACUUUUGGUCACCUGAUUGGUGCUAUUUUAGGCUUAUGGGCCUUCGCCCUCCACACAACAUUCCAGCCCAUUUAUUUUGGGCUUUGCCUUUUUUUAUUUAUUAUUAUUUUAUUUUUUUUAUUACCCUCUGAUGGGGUUUAUAUAGAUGUCUCCGAAAGAUAAGAAAAAUAAAUCACAUCAUACAAAAACAAGAAAAGUAAAUCACAUCAUUCUGGUGGGGUGUUUAUUCCUUACUUUUGCUUUCUCUUUUGCUUUCUGCUUUUGUUUUUGCUUUCAUUUUCUCCUUUCUUUUCUGCUUUUGUUUCUCCCACUCCUGUUCUUUCUCUUUUCUCUUUUGGCAGAUGGCAGACAAUAAUAAUAUGAUUAAUAAUAAAAACUUAUCUUAUUCGUUGCAAACCAAUCAGGUUGGGAAGAGGACCACUGCAAAUCCAGGUAUCAUUGCCGUGACGCCACGCUGUACUGAUGCACAGUCAAUAUGCCUGUAGCCAUUCUUGACUGCAGCGAUGACAGCUUGACCGACCACGCCUGGUUCAGCCUUCCAUGUUCCAAGACCAACAGGUGGGAUCUUAGCUCCCGUAUUCAGAUCAAAAUACAAAGUUUCAGAUUUGUUUUCGCCCAUCUUCUUCAUCAUUUGGGCAUAAACCAUUGCCCUGUGGUAGUGCUCCUUCAUUCUCAAAUUGGAGGUUUGCUCAUCCAACUUCUCAUUUUCAGCUUGAUCUGCCGGUAAACCGACAGCAGUUGAACUGGUUUUGGAUGUUACCUUCUGAGAGCUGGGAAUUGCAGCUAGAACGGCACAAAGCAAGCCCACAUAGUUCUUAUACCGAACUCGAGCCUCCUCAAGAGCUCCUCCGCUGAAAACAAAAAAGUCACCCACACGGAAAAUGGCGCGAGCAGCCCAUGCUUGGAGGUUGGAGAAGAGAUCCUAACCGAAAGCUCCACCCACAUAGUGGUUGGUGUUGGCGGCAAAGACGUCCUCCUCCGUGACGGAGUUGAGGUUGUGAAUGGAGGAUUGAAUCGUCGGCGACGACUGGGUCCUCGUGAGCUUUGCGUGGCUUUUCUAACCGUCCAUAUGAGAGAAAUUGUACUGGGGGUUAGCAGCCAACCCCGGAUUUGUAAAGUCUCUAUAUCCUUCCUCCAAAACGUGCAUUCACGGCUUCACUGAGAUUUCCUCCGUAUUCCAAUCCGGCACCAGCAUUAUCUAGGAAAAAUGCGACGUCCUGGUAUUGUUCUUCCUGUAUAGCUAUAUUGAGAUGAGAAAUGACUCUGCCAACUAUUGAGAAAUGAUUUCAUUACAUUAUAAUUAGUUACACUGAGGUAUUUAUAUAAACUAGAUUUACAUAGGUAAAGAGAAUAGUUACAGUGGUAACUAUUUGUAACUAUUCUAACAACUAACUAACUUGACUAACACUAAUGUUUUACAAUGGUAACUUGCUCUUCACACCCCCUCAAGCUGAACGGAGAAGGUUGAAGUGAAAGCUUGGAUCGAAGAUGAAGAAAACGUGGCCUUGGCAGAGAUUUGGUGUGAAUAUCCGCUAAUUGAUCCACACUGCAAACAAAUUUGACAGUAAGAAGCUUAGCCAAAACAAGCUCACGGAUGUAAAUGAUAAUCGAUUUCAACAUGCUUUGUGCGAGCAUGAAAAACCGGAUUUGAAGCCAAGGCAAUUGCAGAAACAUUGUCAAACCAAAUUUGUGGCAAGAAGGACAACUUGAAACCAAUAUCAGAGAAGAGUUGACAGAUCCAAGUGAUCUCAGCAGCGGUAUGUGCAAGGGAGCGGUACUCAGCUUCGGUAGAGGAUCGGGCAACUGUGUGCUGUUUCUUUGCACUCCAACUAACUAGACAAGGACCAAGAAAGAUGCAAAAGCCACCAGUGGAAUGCCUAUCCCACGAACAUCCUGCCCAGUCAGCAUCGGAGUAGGCGUUGAGAAGUAGGGGAGAUGGGGUUUUGGGAAACCAUAAACCAAAUCCAAGUGUCCCUUUUAGAUACCGAAGGAUGCGUUUCACGGCUUGAAAGUGAGGCUCCCGGGGAGAGUGCAUGAACUGACACACCAGAUUAACCGCAAAGGAUAAAUCAGGCCGGGUCCAUGUAAGAUAUUGGAGGGCGCCAACAAUAGAGCGAUAGUCCUCGGGAUUCGACAACAAGGAACCAGUGUGAUCAAGCUUGACAGAACUAAGGGGAGUGGCACAUGGCUUUGCCCCAUCCAUUUUGGUACGCUUGAGAAUAUCCAAUAUGUAUUUGGAUUGAUGAAUGAAGGCUCCUGAGGGGGAUUUCUGAAUUUCCAGACCUAGAAAGUAAUGAAGAUCGCCGAGAUCCUUGAUUGGAAAUUUAGAGCUCAACUGAGAAAUAAUGGUGUUGCAAACACUAGAAGAAGGUCCGGUCACUAUGAUAUCAUCGACAUACACAAGAACCAAAACCAAGGUAGGUUGAUGCAACACAAACAGACUAUGAUCAGAGUGUGAAGCUUGAAAUCCCAUGGAGAAAAGAGCAGAAUGAAGUUUUUCAUACCAAGCACGAGGGGCUUGCUUUAAGCCAUAUAAGGAUUUCUUCAAGUGACAGAUAUGAGUAGGAUGAUCCUGAUCAAUGAACCCAGGUGGUUGAGCCAUAUAUACAUUCUCUUUCAAAGAACCAUGUAGAAAAGCAUUGCUUACAUCCAGCUGGUGUAAAAACCAGUUUGAUUGGACGGCAAGGGUGAGAAUGAUGCGUAUAGUCACAGGUUUAGCAACCGGGCUAAAAGUAUCACCAUAAUCAAUGCCCUCUUGCUGAUUGUAACCUUUUGCAACGAGUCUAGCCUUGUAACGAUCCACAGAACCAUCUGGUUUCCUCUUAAUCCGGAAAACCCAUUUACAGCCAACCAAAUUAUGAGUGGAGGUAGAAGGAACAAGCUGCCAAGUGUCUGUACUUUGUAAAGCAUUGAAUUCAUCCUGCAUAGCAGCCCUCCACUGUGAAUGUUUGGAAGCCUGGAGAUAUGUAGUAGGUAUAAACUCACUGUCAAAAUGAGAAGGCAGAGGAUGUGUUGUGGCAGUAAGGGCCUUAGGUUUGUAUAUGCCUGACUUAGAGCGGGUUUGCAUUGGGUGAACAGAGGAAAUAUGAGGUACAGGAUGUGGUGCAGGGUGUAGAGAAGGAGAGGCUAGUAGAGGAGAAGAGGGAGGUGAGGGAGGUUGCAGAGGUGCAGGACAAGGAGUAGGAGAAUGAACGUGCUCAGGUUGAGUAACUUGCUCAGGUUGAGUAACUGGCGCAGGUUGAGGAGGGGAGGAAGAUAUGGGUGGUGGAGCACGGAAAGUGAAAGAAUGAGGAGAAUAAAGAUUGGGAAAGGUAAGGGAAAAAAGUGAGUAAGGUUCUGGGGUAUGGGGAGUGGAGGACUUUAGAAGGUGGGGAUCAUGAAAGGGAAAUGUAUGUUCAUCAAAAUGAACAUGUCUAGAGAGAUAAACCCGAUUAGUGAAGGGAUCUAGACAUCUAUACCCCUUGUGAGCUAAGCUGUAGCCAAUGAAAACACACAUCUUGCUCUUGGGAUCUAAUUUGGAAUUGGUGUAUGGUUUUAACCAAGGAAAGCAUUGACAUCCAAAUACCCGAAGAGACUUGUAAUCUGGAACUUUCUUGAAAAAUUGUUCCCAAGGGGAAGACUUGUUGACUGGAGGUAGGCGAUUGAUAAGAUAGACUGCAGUAAGAAAACCUUCAACCCAUAAUUGGUGAGGAACUUGUGAGGCAAUAAGGAGGGUUCGAGCAGUCUCAACAAUAUGUCUGUGUUUCCUUUUAGCACAACCGUUUUGCUGAGGAGUGUAUGGACAACUGAAUUGUUGCUGAAUGCCAUGGAAAGACAAAUGAUGCUUGAAGUUAGAACUUGUAAACUCACCCCCUGAGUCUGAUCGUAAAGUGCCAAUUUUGUAACCAGACAAAUUCUCAACAAGAGCUUGGAAUUGUACAAAACUGUGAAACACUUCCGAUUUAUGUUUGAGAGGAUACAGCCAAGUAUAUUUGGUAAAAUCAUCUACAAAUAUGACAUAAAAGCGGUAGCCACUAACAGAACAUACUGGAGCUGGCCCCCAAACAUCCGCAUGAACUAAUUCAAGAGACCUAGAAGUAGUACAGAGAGAUUCUUGAAAUGGUAACUUGGCACAUUUGCCUAAAACACAAUUGGAGCAGAAGAAUUGUUGAACAUUAUUAGAACCAGGCAGUAUAGACUUGGAUAACAGUGAUCGAAAAGUCUUGAACGUUGGAUGACCCAAACGUUGAUGCCAUACAUGAGAAGAGGUCCUUAUUGCAGAAUGAGCAUGAACCUUCGGUGCAGGUGAAGAAGAAGCAUAAAAUGGAUAGAGACCAUUGUUGACAGGAGCUCUAAAAAGCAUCCUCCCCGUAGUAAGAUCCUUGACAUGGAAGUCAAAAGGAUUGAGGGUUAAUGAACACCAAUUAUCACGCAAGAACAUAUUGGCAGAAAGAAGAUCAUGCUUCAAGUGGGGAACAUGUAACACAUUCUUUAAUUGAAAAUCUGCAGAAGGUGUUUUAAGUAAAGUAGAACCAGUAUGGAGAAUUGGCAAACCUUGGCCAUCUCCAAUGUAGACUUUAUCUGGACCAGUAUAGGGCUGUGGAUUCUGAAGAUGAUGAAUAUUAUUAGUCAUAUGUGAGCUUGCGCCGGAAUCCAGUAGCCAUGGUGGUGGAGAAGAAGUACUAGAAGAUGCAUACAUCGCAAGUUUGGCUGGCGAACACGGCCUUGAAAAGUUGGAUUCAUGCGGUGGGAACAGUCAAUGGCAAGAUGUCCAGUGUCCUCACAAAUUUGACACGGAAUGACUGCAGAAGUGAAAGAACGGAAGCCACGAUUUCCACCUCGAUUUCCACCACGAUUAGUUGAGGAAUUAUUAAACCGAUUUGAACGAUUACGGUUGUUGUAGGUCAUUUGAGAAGUGUUCCGCUGAAAAUUACCGCGAUUAUUGCCAGGGUAAUAAUUCUGAGAACCAUUAGACUGAGCAUUGUAGGCCUGAUGUGGUGGAGGUGUAGGAAGCAAAGGAGGAGCAUUGGAAGCUGCUGGAAUAGAGGUGAAUGCCUGAUACGGUUCAGAGGAACCCUGAGAUUGCUUGCGACGAGCAAGAGCCAUUUCUUUGCUGAGAAGAAAUCCAUGUAGAUCAUCAACAGUAGUAUCAGCAAGACGAAAUUGAAUUGAAUCCACGAAGGAAUCAUAGUCAUCAGGCAAGCCAUUAAGAAUGAGGUGAAGGAGAUCCGACUCCUCAACUAGGGCACCGGCAGCAGCGAGAGCAUCAGAAACUUCUUUGAUGCGUUGCAAAUAUUCAGAUAUUGUGGAAGUGCCUUUCGACAUCAAUUGCAAAUUCGAUCGCAGCUGAUGAAUGUGAGAACGAGAGACUCCACCGAAUCGUUUCUCAAGAUUUUGCCAAAGUUCACGGGAGGAGUGAACACCAACAGUAAAGGGAAUCAAAUCCUCAGAGAGAGUGGAAUUGAUCCAAAUGAGGAUGUUUUGAUCAUUUUCGUACCAGAUCUCGAAGGCUGGAUUCGGAAUCGAGGACAAAUUUCCAGAAAGAUCAGCAAGAAAUUGAGGCGGUGGCGGUUCAGAUCCAUCAACCAUGCCGGUGAGCUUGUAGCGGCGGAAGAUCGGUUCGAACAGAUAACGCCAAACAAGGUAAUUAUGACGCUUGAGUUUUGUUUGAAUCAUACUCCCAAUGUUUUGGAUCGUGAUGGAGUUGAUUGAAGCUUGAAAUGAGGAGUUAGGGUUCAUCGGAGAAGGAUUGAGAUGUGGAGGCAGCAAAGAAGAAGGAUCCGCGAUUGCCGGAGAAGGAGGAUGCGCAGCCACAGGAGAGGAAGAAUUCGAAGAAUUUGCCGCCAUUGAUGAACAAGAUCGAAGAUCUGCAGACGGAAGCUAUGGUGUUUGGUAGGUAAGAAAAUAAGCAAGAAAAUAGCAGAAAGAGGAUCGAAGUCGGUGGACUUAAGCGAGUGAUACCAUAUUGAGAAAUGAUUUCAUUACAUUAUAAUUAGUUACACUGAGGUAUUUAUAUAAACUAGAUUUACACAGGUAAAGAGAAUAGUUACAGUGGUAACUAUUUGUAACUAUUCUAACAACUAACUAACUUGACUAACACUAAUGUUUUACAAUGGUAACUUGCUCUUCACCAACGACGUCGUUUGUAGCUGUAGCAGCAAUUGCAACCUUGAGCCUCGCAACAUCCUCAAAGUCCUCUGCAGAUACAGCCCGACGCAACUGCAACUUGAGAAGGGAGACAAGGCGCUCUUGUUGUUCGACCUUUAAAAAAUGGCGGCGCCGGCGAUCCCAGUCCCAAUCAGGGUCGUGGGCUUGAAAUGGUGCGGAUUGGGCCUCUGCUUGUGGCUUAAAAUUGAGGUAGGAAUCGAAGUUUUUUAUGGUAGUUUUGAUGAGGUCCUGGAGCGCAGAGUCCCAUCUCCACUGAGUUGAGUCGGAGGAGGAAUAAGGGUUUUUCUGGCAUCGACAGAGGGACGAGUCGGGAAACCUCGAGGAGGAGGUGGUUUGGGAAUGGGAGGAAGGGUAGAAUGGUCUUUUGGCGACGGAGGAAGGGUAUGGUUUGGGGUUGGGGACGUUGAGCUUGUGAGGACUUGGGGUUGGAGCAGAUACAGAAGCCAUUGAUACAGCAGAGAGAGGAAGGAUAUGUGUUUUUCUUGUUUUUUGUGUGAUCAAAAUUUACAGCGUAGAUUGCCCUCAGAAUAAAAGAAGGCAGACACGGAGUAGGUUUCUUUUUUGUUUCUGGGUUUUUGUGAUUUUGCAGAUUCAUGGUGGAGGUGAAAAAAUGAAAGAGAACCGACAUAACUUUUCGUGUCGAUUCCCAAGACGCCAAAUGUUGAUGCACAAAACCGGAAGGGUCUUGGAACAACAUAAAUCCGACCAUGAAUCUGCAAGAAAGUAAAGAACACAAGAUGUAUCGUGGUUCACCCUAAUGUUUGGGCUACGUCCACACUGAUUAUUGUAUUUCUCUGAUAGAGAGAGCUCUGAAAUAUGAGAGUAUUGUGAGGGAGAGAGCAUCUGUAAUGUGAGAGGGGAUGUGAGAAGGUGAGGGGGCUUCAGGCCUAAGAGUUGGCCUCCCUUAAUGAGGAGAGUGAGGGGUCCUUUUAUAGAAUAAGGACUCCUCACUUAUUACAUAUUUGCCCAUUCCUUUAUUACAUAAUUACAUUUGAGUCCCCCAAGUAUGAGGUCUAAAUACAGAAGCCCUAAGUAUGGUACAAACAGGUUGCGAGGUAGAAGGAGAGGAAGGUGAGGUAUACGGACGAGCUGGAGAGGAAGGUGCAGACACUUCAGACUGAGGCAACCACCCUAUCAGCACAGGUCACUCUAUAAUAGGUAUAAAAUCUGUUAUUGAUUGUUUUUCCUUCUUGGUUAAUUGAAUAAAAUUGUCGUUUAUGAUAUUCAAUCAAUGGAAAAUGUGACUUUCACAUGCUCCAAGCCUCUGUCAAUUAUAGAGAUCUCAAUAUGUAUCUAAAAUUUGCUUAAGACACUGGUGGAAAAAUGUAUUUAACAUUUUACAUUCAUAUGCAUAGGCUCGACUUCUAAAAACGUAUCCUGCAAAGCUAUGCUUCACAAGUUUACAAUGCCUGUCGAGUGUAGCACAUACAUUUGUGUUGUAUAAUUGUAUUCGAUAAGGAUAAUACUAUCACUGCACCUUAUUCCUUGACACUUUGGGCCUUCUUGAGUCUUCGUUGGAGUAGUGCAAAUCAGUUUUCCAACUCAAUAUCAUGGUCUUACUUGGUUGGUAAUUUUUGGCAUAAUCCAUUUAAAAAAUUUAGUUGUUUUUGUUGUUGGUUAUGUUUAUUUGUCAAAGUAAUGAUUUUGGUUUCAUGGUCAGGGCUUUAUGAGUAUGAUCAUGAUGCGUCAAAAGCUAUGGAGCUGGAAGUGGCAAUUAGAAUUAAAGUGAUAAUACAUAGUAAGUGUUUGGUUUUUGUUUUUUUUUUCUUCUAAAUUUCUGCAGCAAAGUUUUUGAAUCUCUCAUUUUUCAGACACCAAAUUCCAUUUGGAAGGAGUAGGUUGAUUAAAUACCUUUUAUGCAUCAUUUGUUUUCAUUUGUUUGUUGGAUGUCAGCAUGUGGGACUCUUGAGUUUGAGUACCUUUGUCUGUUUCGAUAUGAUAAUGCGAUGUUAAUUUAGGUUAUAAUGAUGAAUCUUUGUAUUUAAGAUUUUUUUUGGCCUAAUCGGAUAAAUAGUUCCCGUGGUCAUAAGGUAUUCGGAAGGUAACCCCUGUGGUAAAAAAAUUCGGAUUUAAACCCAUGUGGUCUAAGUCUGUUAUGAUUUAUACCCAAAAUUAAAACUUCCGCUAUCCCUCUGUUAGUAAUAGUCUCAUAUGAGGAUAAGAUGGUCAUUUCAUCCCCCAUCCCUUCCAUAAUCACUCUCCAAUUUUAGAUUUGGUUUUUCAUUUUGGAUUUUAAUUUUUUUUCGUUUUGAUUUUAGAUUGAUGCUGCUCCUUUCUACCUUGUAGUUUAGGAACAAAGCCAGAGGAGAUGGAAAGGUUUCAUUAGGGUGGUAACCCAGCAAAACCAGUGGAGAUGGAAAGGUUUCGUUAGGGUGGUAACCUAGCAAAACCAGAGGAGCCCCACCAUAAUUUCACAAUACUAAUCUCUCUCUCCAUUUUAACAACAUAUCAACAAACAGACGACCCCCUCCUGAAAAGGGUCAGAUCGCGGUCGUCGAGCAGAUUGAGGUCUGCAACCCAACGUAUUACUUAAAUUGGGCGAAACGCCUGAUUUUGCUAUUCACUUCUCAUGAACGUUGAACGGAAGGGAUGAAUGACUAUUCAUUCUCAAAGAUUUAUAAUCACCAUUGAUAAACAUGGUUCCAAUCAAUAAGCACAACAAACUACCAAAAAACAUUCAAUCGUUUACGAAAUUCAACUUUCCUGACCCAAUUACAAAAGAGCAAAAAAUAAAAAUAAAAAUAAAAAUAAACAGUGGACUCCCACAUAUGAAAGUAUCAAAACACAAUGUAUCCAAAAUAAAAUAAGAGCACUAUCAGGUUCUCUUCUACCAUAGGUUCUGAUUUUUGUGGACAAAGCUCUUGCCAGGAGGUUUCCAUGGUGCAACAGUUUGUUUAGAAGUGGUUGGUGGAUGAAGAGGCCAUCCACUCGUAGGACUUGAGCUUCCAAAUCUACUUUGAGGCAUCUCCACUCUAGGAAUUGUGGUAAAUGUGGCACCCUUUGCCCCUUCAGUAAUGGGAUGAGGAAAUACUCCAGUCAUAGGAUUUGAACUUCCAACUCUACCUUGAGGCAUCUUCACUCUAGGAAUUGUGGUAAAUGUGGCACCUCUUACCCCUCUAGUAAUGGUUGGUUGACUGUUAUCUUGAACCUGUGAUAGGAACAUAAUGAAAUGAAAUUAUUCACUUAUCAUUGUGAAAAUUACAAACUAUAAGUCAAUUGAAUAUAAAUAAGAACUCACUUUUGUAGCUUCAUAGGGAUCACAAUACAAGGCUUGCUUGGGGUUGUUUCUCCUUGCUAUGAGUUUGGACUUUUUAGGCACUGGACCUCUAUCGAUUGAAUGUACAACAUCUCCAACAUCAACUUGAACAACAGUUGUAUGUUGAUUCAUUACUUGGUCUUCAUUUUCAGUAAUUGUAUGUUGAUUCAUUACUUGGUUUUCCUUUGAGUAGAUGAACCACUACUUUGUCUUUUUUUCUUGCCACCAGUUUCUGGUCUAGAAUAUGCCCAUCUCUUGUCAACAUAUACACCUUGUGGGGCAUCUCUAGGCUCAUUUUUACAAAACUUUUGGUUAUGCCCCCAACCCCAACACUUGUGGCAUUGUAUUGUCUUUCCCUUCCUACUCACAACCUGCUUAGAAUCACUAUAUUAUCAUUUACCUUUUUCUCCAUUUCAGGACCCUUUUUUCUUGCUUUUUUUGGUCUACCAGGUUGUUUUUUCACUAAUGGGGGUAGAAGGGGGUCCAUGUUGCACUUAGGCCACUUGUUACAUCCUUUCAAUGGAUGAAUCAUGGGUUCAUAAGCUUUCAGAUAGGUUGCCUUGUGGUACACCUCAUCCACAUAAUCCUCUGGAACCUGUCAAUUAUAGGCUUCAUCAUCAAUGCUCUUCAACUUCUCCAUUUCAGCUUCAAAGUCAACAUGGUUGGGGGCUCUUGCAACACUCCAUAACAAAUCUUUUAAUGUCUUACCCUUAUGAAUGGCUUUAAAUUUCCAUACAAAUGCCUCACACACCAUCUGUGGUCAGCUUCUGGCACAACCGUAGUAAAAGUGGUAUCCAAACCCUGCAGCAUUUACUAGAUACAUCAAUACAAAUUAAAUAAGCCACUAUGUUUGCAUAACUUAAAAGGAAACAUGGAGUUUACCUUUUGUUGAUCCGAUAUAAAUGUCUACCCAUGCUCAUGAACUGGUCCAAGAUCAUCAAUAAGAAUCUGUAGAAACCAGCACCAUGUAUCUUUAUUUUAAAUUUCAACAGCAGCAUAGGCUAUUGGAUACAUAUUGUCAUUGGCAUCAAUGCCAACAGCUGCUAGUAGUUGACUUGUAACCAUGUUGUAUAUUUCUUAAAUAAAUUGAAAUCAUGCUUUCAAUUUUUAAUCAUUCAAGGUUGAGAAAAAGAUCAUUCAAGGUUGAGAAAAAGAAAAAAUGUAUUUACCUUUAAAAGCUCCUUUAAGAUGGCAGCCAUCAACUCCAAUCACUGGCAUGCACCCAGCUUUAAAUCCCAUUUUGCAAGCAUCAAGGCAAACAUAAAGUCUCUGAAAGAAUGGAGGAUUUGCAUGCACUUUCAUAGUACUUCCAACAUUGGUUUGUAUAACUUCUUCACAAUAUUCCCAAACCUUACCAUAUUGCUCUACAAUUGACCCCCUUAUCAUUUCUUAGGCUUCGUGUCUUGCCCUGAAACACUGAUCUAAGGAUACCUCCAAUUCCAUCUCCCUCUUAAUUAUGGUUUGCAAAGUUUUUGCAUCUGUUCGUGGAUCAUCUCUAAACCUAUCAAUGUAUUUUUCAGCCAUGAGUUUGAAAGUGAAAUGUUUAUUUCUCCAUACUCGACUACAUGUAUGCUCGUCAACAAGUACGUUAAUUAAUCAAAUGGAAAUUUCAAAGGUAACUGACAAGCGAUGGAAUGUGGAAUCCAAAAAAGCAAUAAGAUUUGUUCCAUUGCUAUUAAACAACUAAUUGGCUUUUUGCCUUCUAGUUUGCUUUGUUUGUUUCCUUUUUGUUGCCUUCUUCCCUUUCAAAACCCUACACAUAAACCCCUAUAUAUACCACUAAGAAGGAGACCGACUGGAAAAAAGAAAAUAGAACCCAUGAUUCAUCCAACGAAAAACCAUCAACUCCAGCUUUUGAAGCAUAAUAAAGAGGAGACCUUCAAGCAUAAAACCGCACAUGGUGGUUACGAUUACGAACAAACGAUUUUCAAAAUAGAACAAUCACCUAAAGUUAUCAAGAUUGUAGCAAUACCUGGGUAUGUUGGUGCGAUGUCUCCCUCAAUUCUUCGCUUAGCCAUUGAUGGGGCUUUUCAAACAUGAACCAAACCUCUGGGUAUGUUCGUGCUUUAGAAUUGGGAACAAGUUUGAUCUUGAGGGGGUUUUGUAGCUAAGCUAUUGGCAUGCUACUAAUUAUGAAAUGACCAUCUUAUCCUCAUAUGAGACUAUUACUAACGGAGGGAUAACAGAAGUUUUAAUUUUGGGUAUAAAUCCUAACAGACUUAGACCACAAGGGUUUAAAUCCGAAUUUUUUUAUCACAGGGGUUACCUUCCGAAUACUUUAUGACUACGGGAACUAUUUAUCCGAUUAGGCCAUUUUUUUUUAUGACAGAUAUGUGAGGCAUUAGCCAUGAUUUCAUCUGGGCAAUUAGGAAAUAUCAAAAGUGUCCUCUCUGCUAAGGAUAACACACUCCUGUGGGAACUAGACAUCUUAAUAUUUUGCAAUCUGAUUACAAAUUAUACACCAAAAGUACAUACCGCUAUCAAUUAUAUGAUAUUUUUAGAUUGUUAGUGGCUUUGUUCUAUUUUAUAUAUUGACAUACAACAUUAAAAUCCCGAUCAUGGUCCACUAAAAAGUAUUAAACGUGUUAUAAGUAGAAACGCAUUCUAACAUGUAUUUCUUUUUACAGUGAAAUUAUCUACAGAAACUCAAAGGUGGUUACAGUGGAGACCAAUAUUCAGAACACAGUGGACAAGUCUUUACAAGCUAAUCCUACCGGUUAUAGAAACGACAUCCUUUGUCUCUCUGCUUACUUGCUUUUUAACAUGGAGAAAAAUUAUUCUCUACUAACACCCGGUGGAAAGCCACUGUUCAUUAACAGUGUCCACCCGAUUUUGCCCCUCAUUCUCUUCAUGGUUUUUUAGUUUUAGUGGGGUUGUAUGGUGAAUUGGCCGUUUUGCCCCUCUCUCUUUUUCUUCCGUGCGUGCCCUCAGUUCCACACACUUCCAAAUCCCUAAGGGUGCGUUUGUUGCGCCGGACUGUCUCGGACUGGACUAGCUGCCGGGACUAAGCUGGACUGGUUUAGACUGGACUAAGCUGGACUAACUUAGUGAAGCGUUUGGUGCAGUCUCGGACUAAGAAGCAGGAUAAGAAAAACAGUACUGUUCACCAGAUUUGUGUUUGCUUAGACUAGGACUACAAAUUUUUGUCAUUGUGUAAUAGAGUAAUGCUACAAAUCUCAUGAUAUGGGUUAAUUGGAGCAUAUUUUUGCCAUGUAUAUUAUGAAUCUUAAAAAAAAUUGACAAUUGUUUUGUUUCUAUUACCUGCUAAUAGAAUUGGGUUUAAUUUGCAAAUGUAGCUUGAUUUAAACUCUAUCACCCAACAGAAGAAAAAUAAUAGUGGCCAAUACAUGCAACUUCAACAAAUACAAGUACAUAAGAUCUCCAUAAUUUAGAAAAUCCUAGUUAACAUUAGUUAACAUUAGCCAAAAUAGAUCUCCAUAAUUUACAAAAUGGCUAGUAAACAUAAGCCAAAAAUACUAGUGCAAAGCUAAGUUAUAAGUCAUAACAUAAGACUGUAUGAUUAAUAAAAUACAUCCAUGUUAACGUUAAUAAAAUACAUCCAUGUUAACAUUAGCCAAAAUCCUCAUCCGCUUGCGUUGUCUCUUAAAAGUCUUUGGACGAACACUUUCUUGAGUUCCGGUUUGAUUGCCCUGAACACUCCCACAUUUUUUGGUUUAUCCAAAAUAAGAGACAAUGCAUCAAUUUGAUCCAUAGGAGAGAGACCCAUUGCUUCAAGUUCAUUAGCUAUGUCAGUAUGAUCUGCAGUACCUUGAACUAAAGCUUCAGUUACCAUUUGCAUCCUCUUCCCACUUUCAACAUAAAAAAUCUUUCAGUCCACUGAUAAUUGCCUCGGUUCCAUCACUUGAACUUCCCACAGCUCUUUUCCUCUUUCUUUGGCUAUUUUCAGAUGGGGUGCUUUGUUGGCUUUGUUGGUUCAUUGAAGAAACAAAAUUAUCACCUCCAAUAUCACUUUCACCAACAUGAUCAUGACUUUGUUCCUCCACCAUUUGAGCAGGGGUUUCGGCUACAUUACCCGUAGCCCGAUCUUUUCCAAAUAUAUAUGCAAAUCUAUCAAACAGUGGAAAAGGUUUGCUUCUCCAUCCAUCGGCUUCUUUAUUUCUCUAAGAUUAUAUCAACAUAGCAAAACUAAAAUUUAGCAUGCGUAACAAAUAUAGGAGCAAGAAUAUAUAACUAAUGCAUAAAUAAAAUAGGAUAUGAACCUGCACAUAAGUUUGCCAUGCGUCAUCACUGUCAACUUCAACGCACUUUUUGACAUCAUUCCAUGCAAAUCCACUUGUGUUUAUCAUGUCAACGACCAUACUAUAUGUUUUUUUUCCAUUUCUUCAACUUGGACUCAAUAUGUGGAUUUGCCUUUAUAUUUGAAUGAGGACAUAAAACAUUGACAGCUUUUGCUAUUUCAACCAAAGUACCUUGUUUGAAAGCACCGGUGUCACACCGUUGCUUCCGAGCAACAAAAUCCUCAAGAACUCCUAGUAAUACUUCUUCCUCAAAUGCUUCCCAUUUACGCCUUCUUCCUUUUGGCUCUUGAGUAGCAUUCAAAAUAUUUUCGUUAUCCAUACCUAAACAAAAAAUAUUUUAAUGAAGGAAAAUACCAUACAAAUAAUCAAUUUGCAUAAUAUCCAAUCAACUUGCAUAAUAUCCAAUCAACUUGCAUAAUAUCCAAUUAAUUUGCAUACCAUCCAAUCAUUGUGCUAAUAUCUAACAAAUGCAUGAUAAAAAGGAAUACUAAAAUAAAAUGUUAUCAUUAAAACAUAUAGCUAGUUCGGUUGCUGGUUCCUAAUUGCUCUCCACUCAUUAUACAUUUCCUCAGCCAUAUCAUUCCUCAUUGCAGUCCACUGGUCCGAUGAUUGAACACUACCAACAUAUUCACCUUCUUCUGUAUUUUGUCCAUCUUCUAUUAUUGGCAAAUUCUCCAUUGGAUCUACUAACAUCUCUUCCCUAAUAAGAUUGUGUAGUAGGCAACAAGCGGUAAUUAUUCGACCUUGUGUCCUUAUCGGAUAGAAAGAUGGACUCCUUAGUAUCGACCACCUUCCUUUUAGCAAGCCAAAACAGCGUUCAAUUACAUUCCUUGCCUUAGAAUGCUUCAUGUUAAAAUAUUCUUCCUUAUUAGAAGGUGUUCGUCCCUCCCAUUCAGAUAAAUGAUAAGGUAUUCCUCUAUAGGGUGCAAGGAAUCCUUCACCAUUUGUAUAACCACCAUCUACAAGGUAAUAACAACCUAAUGAAAAAAAAAAACAGACCUUAUUAGUGUUUUGUAGUUGACAAACAGAACUAAACCUAACUUAGAAAGUUGAGACUAAGUAAUAAUCUUACCCGCUGGUACCUUAAAACCAUUAGGCCUACUAAUUGCAUCAUGUAGCACUCUAGAGUCUGAUGCGGAACCCUCCCACCCCGGAAACACAUAUAUGAACUGCAUAUCUCCUGAACACACACCUAAACACAUUAGUUGCGACUCGACCCUUUCUUGUUCGGUAUCUUGGUUUGUCAAUUUCAGGUACAUGCACAUCAAUGUGUGUUCCAUCCAAUGCUCCCAAGCAAUUCUUAAAAAUAAAAAAUAAAAAACUUUUUGUUAAUUUAUACAAAGGGAAUGAAGAGUUAAAGCUUAAGGAAAAUGAAAAAUAUUUCUCAUCAUACCUUAAAACAUCGCCACCUAGCAUCUGUAGAAUCAAUAGGCACAGGCUGUGGGACUUUUAGUAGGAAACCUUGUAAUCGCAAAAUUCCUUGCAAUACGCUAUUGAAAUACCUACUUAUAGUCUCUCCCGACCUAUAAAAUCUACCGCCAACACUACGAUUCUUAGUAUGAUGUGCUAAUAUUUGUAAAGUCAUACACACCUGUUCCUCUACAGACACCAAACCAUCAGUUUUUACCCUCCCAUCUUGACGAAGUAAGUCGCAUAAUAUGCCAAAAGUCCUUCUAUCCAUUCUCAAUUCGUUAACACAUUCAGUAUCAGUAUUCCCUAUUAUACCAUUCAGAUAACACAAACUAAUCUCUCGUCUAAUAAGUGAACGGUUAGUCAAUGUGGGUCGUUCAACAUGUCUCUGUUUGCCACGUAGCAUCAUCACCACAAGAAUCGUACAAAUACAAAUUGUUUCCAAAUAAGACAUCUCUAACAAUAAGAUCAAUAAAAGCUUCCUUCGAUCCAUAUCUAUCCAAACAAAAAAAAAACAAAAAAAAACAAAUUAACUAAAUCAUUAACCCGAGGCAACAAAUAUACAUAUGGCGUUGAAAAAAAAAAAGUUUUCAUUAACCCGAGGCAUCAUAUUCAAAAUGUUCUACUCUUAUACAUCUAUAAACAUGUGUCUAAGAACACUAGUAUGAGGAUUGCUAUCAUUGCUAGGCAUUGCAUGUGAAAAGGGAAAUUAAAGGACACCUGUAAUGCAGUAGCCUUAGCCUUAGCCUUCCGUUUAUGCUCCUCUUCUCUGCAACCAACAACCACAACAAAUUGCAAUUCAGCAUCAACCCCACACAAUACAAAAACAUUCACAUUGUAUACACAGUACAUACAUACACACUGCAAACACAGUACAUACAUACACACACUACAUACACUGCAUACACUACACACACUACAUACACUACACACAUACACUGCAUACACUACACACACACCCUGCAAGUACACACACAGUGCAUACAUACAUACACACACUGCAUACACCCUGCAUACACCCCUGCAUACAUACACACUGCAUACACAGUACACAAACACACACACACACUACAUACACUACACUUACACACACUGCAUACACUACACACACACCCUGCAUACACACUGCACACACACACACUCACACUCACACACUGCACACACACACACACUGCAUACAUACUGCAUACACACACACACACUGCAUAUAUACACACACACUGCAUACAUACACACACACUCACACUUACACACACUGCAUACAUACUGCAUACAUACACAUACACUGCAUACAUACUACAUACAUACACACACACACUGCAUACAUACACACACACUCACACUUACACACACACUGCACACACACACACUCACACUCACACACUGCAUAUAUACACACACACACACUGCGCGCACACACACACACUGCACACACUGCAUAGACACACACACACUGCACACACUGCAUAGACACACACACACUGCAUACACACUCACACACAAACUGCACACACACACACAAACUGCAUACUCACUCACACACACACUAUACACACACACACACACUGCAUACACACACACACACUCACACUCACACACUAAACACAGUCACACACACACACACACUGGACACACACAUACACACACUGCAUAUAUACACACACACACAAACUGCACACACACACUGCAUACACACACAAAUUGCACACACACACACAAACUGCACACACACACACUGCAUACACACACAAACUGCACACACACACAAACUGCACACACACACACACUACAUACACACACACACACUGCACACACACUCACACUCACACACACUCACACUCACACACUGAACACAGUGACACACACACACACACGGGGACAGAGUGCAACAAACUCUUACCCUCACACACACACUCUGUUUUUAUACUCACACACACACACUGCAUACAUACUUGCAUACACACACACUGCACACACACACACACACACUGCACACACACACACACGCACACACACACACACACACUGCAUACAUACUGCAUACAUACACACACACACACACUGCGCACACACACACUGCACACACUGCACACACACACACACACACACUGCACACACUGCAUACACACUCACACACACACACUGCACACACACACAACUGCAUACACACUCACACACACACUGCACACACACACACACACACACUGCACACACACACACACACUGCACACACACACUCACACACACACACACACUCACACUCACACUUACACUCACACUCACACACAAACACACACACACACACACUGCACACUUACACUCACACUCACACUCACACUCACUCACACUUACACACACACUGCAUACAUACUGCAUACAUACACACAUGCACAUACUACAUACACACACACACACACACAAACUGCACACACACACUGCAUACACACUGAACACACACACACACACACACACACUGGACACACACAUACACACACACACAAACUGCACACACACACACUGCACACACACAAUUGCACACACACACAACUGCACACACACACACUGCAUACACACACAAACUGCACACACACACAAACUGCACACACACACACACUACAUACACACACACACUGCACACACACUCACACUCACACACACUCACACUCACACACUGAACACAGUGACACACACACACACACACGGGGACAGAGUGCAACAAACUCUUACCCUCACACACACACUCUGUUUUAUACUCACACACACACACACUGCAUACAUACUUGCAUACACACACACUGCACACACACACACACACACUGCACACACACACACACACACACACACACACACUGCAUACAUACUGCAUACAUACACACACACACACACACUGCACACACUGCAUAGACACACACACACUGCACACACUGCAUACACACUCACACACACACUGCACACACACACACAAACUGCAUACACACUCACACACACACUGCACACACACACACACACACUGCACACACACACACACGCACACACUCGCACACUCACACACACUCACACUCACACUUACACUCACACUCACACACAAACACACACACACACUGCACACUUACACUCACACUCACACUCACACUCACACUCACACUUACACACACACACACAUACAUACUGCAUACAUACACACACACACUGUAUACAUACUACAUACAUACACACACACACACAAACUGCACACACACACUGCAUACACACUGAACACAGUCACACACACACACACACACUGGACACACACAUACACACACACACAAACUGCACACACACACUGCAUACACACACAAAUUGCACACACACACAAACUGCACACACACACACUGCAUACACACACAAACUGCACACACACACAAACUGCACACACACACACUACAUACACACACACUGCACACACACACUCACACUCACACACACUCACACUCACACACUGCAUACACACUCACACACACACACUGCACACACACACACACACAAACUGCAUACACACACACACACUGCACACACACACACACACUGCAUACAUACACACACUGCACACACACUCACACUCACACACACUCACACUCACACUUACACUCACACUCACACACAAACGCACACACACACAAACACACACACACACACACAAACACUUACACUCACACUCACACUCACACACACAUUUUACACACACAACUCACACACACAUUUUACACACACAACUCACACACAUACACACAAAAACAGAUUACACACACACACACGGACAUAUUACACACACAUUUUACACACACAACUCACACACACACUGCAAAUAACACAGGUUACACACACACACACGGAUAGAUUACACACACAUUUUACACACACAACUCACACACACACAGAUAUUACACAGGUUACACAGAUUACAUACACACACACACACACACAAACACACAGACAAAUUUUUUUUCAGUACACACAAACACACACACAGAGAGCACACACCUGAGACUAAUCUCAAUUUCAUCUUAUGAAAACCCCAAAUUCUAAUCUCAAUUUCACCUAAAUAACAAAACCCUAAUUUGUUCAAUUGCAAAUCCACUUGUAUAUUAUGAAUUUCUCAAACCCAAAACAACAAAAUCAAAUAAACCUCAGUUAAUAUCACAAACAAAUCCACACAAAUCGACGAAAAAAAAUCCAAGAUUCGAAGCUUACCGACUAGAGGCAGAUGACAGCGACCAGAUGCAAGGACGACGAUGAGCGUGAGGACGAUGUGGGAGCACGGCAAGGACGACGACGAGGGCAGACGCAGAGAUGAGGACGAUGUGGGAUGUGAGAUGUGGGAAGACGCGGUUUCUCUGGCUUACGAGUCCGCCCGAAUUUGGGAUCCCUCGUGAAGAACGGCUAAGCCCCCCCUUAGUCCUAGCGAAUCCCACCUAAGCUCAUUAAAGCUAAUCCCGGUACCCACCAAACACUGGACUAUAGUCUAGUCCAGUCCAGUCCCAGCGAAUCCUGUCAAACAAACGUGCCCUAAAUUCGCAGGCUUUCCCCCUUCUUUCUCCAACACGGUUUCUGCUAUUGCCCCUGCGUCUUCUACGACUCCGAUCUGCAUAUUUGCUUUGCGUGGUAAGAAUUUUGUUCUCGAUUUGAAACUGGUUGUUUACCAAGAAAUCUCUCUCUUGCGUUUUUCUCCUGAGGUUUAUGCUCAGAUCACUUUGCAUCCAGAAGCAGAUGUGAGAAACAUGUUUUCUUUUUUGUCUUAUUUAAUGUUUUGUUCCAACUUCCUCUGUUUGGUGGCUUAGAAGGUGGCUUUUCAAAUCAGUUGGGAUAUUAUCUAAAAUACGAAUAGGGGAAAUUUCACAUUUUCUCAACCUUUUGCACAAUUUUCGUAGUUAAUGAGGCUUAGAUUUUGAUAUAAUAUUUGUUGAAAACGAUAACCGAAUGAAAAAGAUGUGAAGAUUUGAAGUUAGGGAAGCCAAAUGGAGAAGAGAAAAAAAAUCAAGAACAGCAGCAAAGCUGCUGGUUCAGUUUUAUUUGUGAUGUAUCUCGAAUGUUGUUUGUUGUUCCUUUAUUUUUUUGGUAUUCUUUUAAAAGCUACAGUGUUUGUUAACAACUGUUUCCAUUUCUACAUUCGCUAAACCCUCUUUGGAAAUUAUUUAAAAUGAUUUCUGGUACAUGCAAUACAUGUUACAAUUGAAUUAUUGUGACGAGUGGUCUGCAGAAAAAGGGAAAAGAAAGGAUGAAACUGGAGGAUUGUGGGGACUGCACUGAGCAAGUGCUUGGACAAAUUUUUUUAAUUGAAUUGUAAAUUUUGUUUCAGUAUUAGACUUUGUAUGAAUAUGAAUUUGAAUAAUCAUUUUUCAGUUUUUAAAUAAAUGAGUCUCAGUAAUUUGUGUUAGUUUUUAUCCGAACAACAUGUGCACUUACCUGUCUGUGUUGGUUAACUAAAUUGAUGCAUAUCUUGCCAGUUAGCAUUAUGUAUUUGAAGGAGUUUUUAAAAAUAAAUCCCUUAUUAAACACGUUUAAACAAUUGGUCUUUGGUUCUAUAUGUUUGAUAAAAAUUGGGUGGAAGGAGUAACCAGUUUGAUUGUAGUGUGGUAUCACCAUUUUGUUAGAUGCUUAAAUGAAUUGGGUUAGAACUUACCAUGUGGUUUUUUAUCAAUAGCAGCAUUUGGACACAAAGAUGUGUGAAAUGCUAAGCUAUUUACAUGGAAAAAAAAAACAUUGGGAAAUCAUGCUGUGUUAAGCUAUUUACACAACAAAAAAUAUUGGAGAACAUUGUUUAUUUAGAUUGAUGAGGGUGGUAGAAGUUGUUCAGCAGAAUAGCAAAAGCUUUCUUCCAGUUGUAUCUGUUGUCAAGAAGGCAGCCUAAGCAACAAAAAAAGAAAAGAAAAUAUUGUAACACGUAGUAAGCCGUUGAGAAGAAUUAAGUACCAGAGUUUACUAUUUUUUUUUUAAUUUUAUUCAUUUGAGGUUUGAUUUUAGGAUUAUGUGUUUUCUGUUUAGUGUGAUUCAAUACGGGUUUUUUGGUCAAAUGGGACAUGGAAAUUCAAAUGCUGUUUGUUAUUUCUUUAUUUUUUUAGUAUUCUUUUGAAGAUCGGCACGUGUGCUGUUACGCUUGUCUCCACAUGCUUCCUUGUAUCAUUCUCACUUGCCCUAUCUGUUCCAAGGAAGCAUGUGGAGACAAGCGUAACAGGACACGUGCCGAUACAUCCACUACUCUGUCAAAAGCAAAAGUAUCCCAUAUCAGCAGGGUCGAACGUACUCUAGAUUUGAUGGACUUGUUUUGACCCUCAAAUUCUUCAGUUGGCCUUAUACUCUGGAGGAAACCAGAAAACCCUCCAGCCCAGUUCAAGAAUAAGUCUGUGGAAAGUUACUUCUUCAAAAACAAAAGUAUCCCAUAUCAUCUCUUCUCAUUUUUCUUCUCUUUAUCCUUCAUGCUGCCUGCAAGAUAGGGAGAAUGUGAACAAUCAGCCGGAGCUCUGAUUGCUUACCUUGUCUGUCACCUCUUUCAGCAAAUCCCCUAGCUCAGCGACUUGAGGGACUCCUACUACAUGGUUUGUAUCGCGCUUGACCAAGCCUGAAACUACAAGUAAGCUUCAAGUGACAUUGAUACAUUACCUUGUGCAUCUCCACCAGUUACAGAUACCACCCCUGGAUGGAGGAAGAGUACUUCCAGAGAAGAUGCCACAUCUACCUAUGAGACAGAUAAGGAAAGUCAAGACGAUACCACACUCCGGUACUUAGAAGUUUCGUGGUUACGAGAUCAUUCUCCCACAAUAUUUCCUAAUGUCAUUUGUACUAAAUCAUUCACUUGUACUCACUAAAGGAGAACUUGAACUUAUGUACUUGUGUAAACCCUUUACAAUUAAUGAGAACUCCUCUAUUCCGUGGACGUAGCCAAUCUGGGUGAACCACGUACAUCUUGUGUUUGCUUUCCUAUCUCUAUCCAUUUAUAUACUUAUCCACACUAAUGACCGGAGCAAUCUAGCGAAGAUCACAAAAAGUGACCGUUUUCGCUACCUAGGAUCUAUCUUGCAAGAGAACGGAGAAUUAGAUGGGGAUCUCAACCAUAGAAUACAAGCUGGAUGGAUGAAGUGUAAGAGUGCAUCCAGCGUGUUGUGUGACCGUCGUAGGCCACUGAAGCUCAAGGGAAAAUUUUAUAGGACGGCAAUAAGGCCAGCGAUGUUGUAUGGUACAGAAUGUUGGGCGGUGAAGCAUCAACACGUACACAAAAUGGGUGUAGCGGAGAUGAGGAUGCUUCGUGGGAUGUAUGGGCACACGAGAAAGGAUAAGAUUGGGAAUGCGGAUAUCCGAGGUAAAGUAGGAGUAGCCAAAAUUGAAGGAAAUAUGAGAGAAAAUCGGUUCCGGUGGUUUGGACAUGUGCAAAGAAGGCCUACUGACGCUCCGGUUCGAAAAUGUGACUACGGGACAGAGGUCCAGGGCCGAAGGGAUAGAGGAAGACCUAGGAAAACUUUGGAAGAGACCCUAAGAAAAGACUUGAGUACUUGGAUCUAACGGAGGACAUGACACAAAACCGAGCGCAAUGGCGUUCUAGGAUUCAUAUAGCCAACCCCAUUUAGUGGGAAAAGGCUUUGUUGUUGUUGUUGUUGUUGUUGUUUGUUUUGAAGAUCUGCAUAUCGAUUGUUGCUUCUGUUUCUUAUAUAAACACAAUGUGUUUUGCGAUCACAACUUUUGUGAUCAGAAGUGUUUAAGUUCAUCCAAUUAAUUGUACAAUGGCUUUGAUGUCAGCUAAAACUGAAUGUAAAUGAAAACCAAGUUGCUGAUCUUACCAGCCCAGUUCACCCAUCUCUUUGCUUAUUUAAAUUAUUUGAAGAUGCCUAUGUUAAUUGGUGAUUUUGAAGUGAUUACCUUUCUUUAUACAAAUUCUCUUCACAAAGAAAUCUGGUUUGGCAGAUAAUAGAUAAAGCUUUUAAUGCAUUCAUUUAAUGUUAUUGCAGAUCCGCUACAUUCUUCAAGAAGUUCGGUUUACAGAACCGGAGCCGUUUAAGCAAAGGUGUCCCAGUUUAUAGCUGAGGUAUUUUCAUGUAUUUUAAUUCGAACGGUAACAUUGUGUGUUCAAAAGGAUCCCCUCUAAUUUUCAGAGAUUAAUAUUAUUCAGUAUGCUCAUCCAAUCACUACUCCAUUGGGCAAUACGCAAAACAAAAUAUGAAAAGCAAACUAACCAAACAGGCAAAAAAUAAAAAUAAAAUUCUAAAAUGUUCUCAAAUUUGAUUUUAAAGCCAGCAUCUCCCCCAUAUGCAGCUAACCCAUUUAGGAAAAACAAUAAAGAAGGCCAUUGGGACUCAAAAGUUGUUUUCAGUUUAGCAUGAUUAUCACUUAUAUAAACAUAUAAGGAAAGCAAAUCUCAAAGAGUCAGGUUUUUGCUCCAAUGUUAACAAUGUUUGUUUCAUUUGUAGUUUUUUGUAGUCUUUAUAAGCAUUUUUUAGUUUUGAUGUAAAAAUAAUAUUUUUUACUCUCUCCUCUCCCUCUCUUUCUCUUUCGUGUUUUUGUGGACUUUGGGUUUUAUUUCUUUUUUGGGUUUUGAGUGUUUUGAAUUUUUCUUCUGAUAAAGUAUUGGUUUUGCAGUAAAAGCGGCAAUCCUCUUCUCCCAGCUUCACUUCCACGUUCUCACUAUUCAUACCCAUCUUGCCCAUUUCUUUCUAAAUUUCUCCUUGCACCCACUGGAAAAAAACAGAGUUUUGUUUUUGUUUCCUCAAAAUUUAGAUUAGACAGCAAUAUUCUGAAUGCUUUGCUUAUCUAUGUUCUUUGCAGGAAGCUCAAAGGAUGAUAAACAAGAAAAGGAAAUCACAGAUUGCAAAUUAGAUGGACAAAAAAGGCAAUAGAAAUUCAUAGGGUCCCAAAUCCGUGACAUAAAAGGUAUGAAAUUGUUAAUUGAUAAUUGAACAUAAAUGUAGAACUGAUUGCUACAAAUAAGUAUGGUUACUUUUGUAUCACAUUCUUAAUUAAGAUGGUUAUGCAGUCCUUUUGUAAUUUUGUGUAUCUAUUAGCUCUGUAAUGACUUACAAGUUACACACACCUCAAAAUUUUCAUUUUCUUUCAAACAAUCUUGAUCCGCAAUAUGUGCAGGAUUGCAAUGAAAUAAUUGUGAGCAACAUGUAUAAUGGGAAGGAUUUACAAAGGUUUCAACUAUUGAACUUGCUUAUGCUCUUAUUUGAGCGACUGUAAAAAAGAUUUAGUAGGACAAACUGGAAUUGGCUUAAAUCAAUUUAUCAUUGAUAAUUUGAUUCUGUUAUUCGUAGACCAUUCUUCCGAAUCUCUGAGUUCGAAGCAGAUCAAUUUUUUCAUUUUUAUGUUUAAUUUUAGGAAGAAAUGAAAAUGAUUUUUGCCUUUUUUGAGUGUUUUGUUAGUACUAGCUUGCUGCAUAUGCUAUUCUCUGGGUGUAAAUAUAAUUAUCUAAGUAAGUGCACUUAUUUUUGAACUCUUUAACUGAUUUGUGGUUGCAAUAGGAUUUUUUUUUUCGGAUUUUUCCCAGUCUUUUUAACAGUAUUAGGUUUCUGUCCUGCAUGUCACCAGGCUUAUUCUUUUUUCAAUUCACAUUAAUCACGACUUUAUAGUUGAUUCGAUUUCAUUUUGGCUGCUGUAAAUGGGUUUUCAUCAGCAUGUCUGACAUGAUAAAAUCAUGUCUUUUGGAUUAAUUCAAACAAUGUAAACAUUUCAUUUGUAUUCUUGAUCUUUGUUAAUAUUAUAGUUACAUGUCUAACGAAAAGGAUUUCUUUUAAUGAAUAAUAUGUGUCAUUACCUAAAAUGACUUACCUUUGCUCAGAGUUUGCUAUUUAACAUGUUAUGUUCCUAGGUAACAUGCAUCUGAAACUCUUUGUGCAGAAGAAGAUAUCUCAUUACAACCACCUCAAUCUAACAAAACUUUUAUCACUCUUAAAACAUUAUCUGAACUCUCAUCUCAAGUAAGUCCUCAGUUUCCAUAUACUUUUUAUUUCUUAACAUCUACGUGGUUUUCAUAGUUUUUAACCAUUAAAUCACGUAACUUUAUAUUUACAAUUAUAUUCUUUCUAAUUGUUUGUAUAGAUUUCUUUUUUGCUCCCUACAAGAUAAUGUCAUGGCGUGGUUUAGUGGUGUUGAAUAUAAUUGGAGAAACUGAUUCUUUAAUCUACUCAUGCUGUAGGAUUUCAAAGUUGAAGCCCACUUACUUUCAAUCUUUUCGAACAAAUUCACUUUGCAAAGUAACAAAACAAUGAUAUUCCUACAACAACAACAACAACAACAACAACAAAGCUUUUUCCCACUAAGUGGGGUCGGCUAUAUGAAUCCUAGAACGCCAUUGCGCUCGGUUUUGUGUCAUGUCCUCCGUUAGAUCCAAGUAAUCAAGUCUUUUCUUAGGGUCUCUUCCAAAGUUUUCCUAGGUCUUCCUCUACCCCUUCGGCCCUGAACCUCUGUCCCGUAGUCACAUUUUCGAACCGGAGCGUCAGUAGGCCUUCUUUGCACAUGUCCAAACCACCGGAACCGAUUUUCUCUCAUAUUUCCUUCAAUUUUGGCUACUCCUACUUUACCUCGGAUAUCCUCAUUCCCAAUCUUAUCUUUUCUCGUGUGCCCAUACAUCCCACGAAGCAUCCUCAUCUCCGCUACACCCAUUUUGUGUACGUGUUGAUGCUUCACCGCCCAACAUUCUGUGCCAUACAACAUCGCUGGCCUUAUUGCCGUCCUAUAAAAUUUUCCCUUGAGCUUCAGUGGCCUACGACGGUCACACAACACGCCGGAUGCACUCUUACACUUCAUCCAUUCAGCUUGUAUUCUAUGGUUGAGAUCUCCAUCUAAUUCUCCGUUCUCUUGCAAGAUAGAUCCUAGGUAGCGAAAACGGUUACUUUUUGUGAUCUUUGCUAGAUUGCUCCGGUCAUUAGUGUGGAUAAGUAUAUAAAUGGAUAGAGAUAGGAAAGCAAACACAAGAUGUACGUGGUUCACCCAGAUUGGCUACGUCCACGGAAUAGAUGAGUUCUCAUUAAUUGUGAAGGGUUUACACAAGUACAUAGGUUCAAGCUCUCCUUUAGUGAGUACAAGUGAAUGAUUUAGUACAAAUGACAUUAGGAAAUAUUGUGGGAGAGUGAUCUCGUAACCACUAAACUUCUAAGUACCGGAGUGUGGUAUCGUCUUGACUUGCCUUAUCUGUCUCAUAGGUAGAUGUGGCAUCUUCUCUGGAAGUACUCUUUCUCCAUCCAGGGGUGGUAUCUGUAACUGGUGGAGAUGCACAAGGUAAUGUAUCAAUUUCACUUGAAGCUUACUUGUAGUUUCAGACUUGGUCAAGCGCGAUACAAACCAUGUAGUAGGAGUCCCCCAAGUCGCCGGGCUAGGGGAUCUGCUGAAAGAGGUGACAGACAAGGUAAGCAAUCAGAGUUCCGGCUGAUUGUUCACAUUCUCCCUAUCUUGCAGGCAGCAUGAAGGAUAAAGAGAAGAAAAAUGAGAAGAGAUGAUAUGGGAUACUUUUGCUUUUGAAGAAGUAACUUUCCACAUGCUUAUUCUUGAAUCGGGCUGGAGGGUUUUCUGGUUUCCUCCAGAGUAUAAGGCCGACUGAAGAAUUUGAGGGUCAAAACAAGUCCAUCAAAUCUAGAGUACGUUCGACCCUGCUGAUAUGGGAUACUUUUGCUUUUGACAGAGUAGUGGAUGUAUCGGCACGUGUGCUGUUACGCUUGUCUCCACAUGCUUCCUUGUAUCCUUCUCACUUGCCCUAUCUGUUCCUCAGGCAGAUGCGGUAUCUUCCCUGGAAGCAUAAGAUGUUGAAGAUGAGUACUCGAGAGCAAUGCCAGGUAAGUAAUCAGGUAAGGGGUUCCAGGCAGUCAGUUCCUGGCUGGAAGCUUGAUUCCAAGUGCUGACUGAUUGCUCUCUUUCUUCUUGUCUUGCAGGUAAGAACAAGGCCAAAGGAAAAGACAAGGAAAAAGUAUGAUAUGGGAUACUCUUGCUUUUAACCCUGAUGAUAUGAGAUAUUCUUGCUCUAGUAUAGCUUGUUUAUAGAGGUAUUAUCGGGAGGGAAAGAAAGCUGAAUAUUUCGAAAGGCUUCGUUGGGAGUGCCCUCUCAGAUAAGAGAAAGGGUUGAACAUUUUUGCAGGUCUGCCUGUCCGUUAGGGAUGGAGGUCGACAUAUAUAGGAGUCUCUCUAACAUCAAGUAAUAAUGCUAUUCCUUUACCCUGCUUGGUCAUAGCACGGUAGUGGGAGCUGCCAGCUUCACAUGUUUUAACUCUGUCAGAGCACUUUGAAAAAGUGGUCUGUGGUAUCUGGAAAGCUGAUGUUGCGUGUGAAGAUUACAGACAAGCUUUAUCCAAGGAGAUCCAGCUCUUGAAGUUGGGAAAGUGAUGCCUCUUCGAUUUUCGAACAAGCAAUCCUGUUGGGGAUCUGGCUCUCGAGAUUCGGAGAACGAUGCCUCUUCGAUUUUUGAGAAAGCAAUCCUGCUGGGGGUCUGGCUCUCGAGAUUCGGAGAGCGAUGUCUCUUCGAUUUUUGAGAAAGUAAUCAUGUUGGGAGUCUGGCUCUCAAGAUUCGGAGGGCGGUGCCUCUUCGAUUUUGGAGCAAGCAAUCUUGUUGGGAGUGUUUUCUCGAAUGUGAGUAAAGGUUGGGCAUGUUUGCUAGUCUACCUUGCCACGAAGCACAGAGGUUGACACACAGGGACUUUCCAAUUAUCCAGCAGUGGUACUGUUCCUUUACCCUAUUUUCGAUUUUUGAGAAAGUAAUCAUGUUGGGAGUCUGGCUCUCGAGAUUUGGAGGGCGGUGCCUCUUCGAUUUUGGAGCAAGCAAUCCUGUUGGGAGUGUUUUCUCGAAUGUGAGUAAAGGUUGGGCAUGUUUACUAGUCUACCUUGCCACGAAGCACAGAGGUUGACACACCGGGACUUUCCAAUUAUCCAGCAGUGGUACUGUUCCUUUACCCUUGUGGGUAAUAAUAUGGUAGCUAGACCUUCAAAAUUUAUGUGUCUAAACUUUGUUAGUGUUGUUUCUUUGCAAUUCUUUUACCCUUCUUGGUCAGAGCGAUGUAGCGGGAGCUGCAAGCUUCACGUGUCUCAACUUUGUCAGAGAACUUUGGCAAAGUUAUCUGUGGAACCCAUGAGUUACUGUUGCGUGUGGGAAGUGGGUGAUUGAAUAGUACGAUUCAUGUGCUUUCUACUUCGCCAGAAAUCUUCGACAGAAUGCCCAUAAUUUCCGCAAAGCUGAGUGUGCGUGUGACAGGUGCUGACAAGGCUGGAAAAGUAGGUGCCUCUUCGAUUUCUGAGAUCGGCCCUCGUGGUCUCUGAGCAGCCCAGCUUUUGAGAAAGCAAGCCUCUUCGAUUUCUGAGAUCGGCCUUCGUGGUUUUUGAACAGCCCAGCUUUUGAGAAAGCAACGCCUCUUCGAUUUAUGAGAUCGACCCUCGUGGUCUCUGAGCAGCCCAGCUUUUGAGAAAGCAAAUGCCUCUUCGAUUUCUAAGCAGGCGCCUCUUCGAUUUCUGAAGCUUCGUCGAGUGCAGAUUUUUUAUAGGGGCUGACAUUAAGUUCCAAAGCACACUUGAAUAUCCACCAGUAGAAGCUCCAUUCUUGCACUUCUAAGAUCUUGAUUUGUCCGACCUCCUCUCUCUUCAACACCUUUGAAAAUGUCUGGCCCCCCUCCGACCGUCAUUUUGACUUGAACCUUGUUGAAGAGGCAGCCCCGCCUUCUCCAGACAACAUAUGGCGCCCAUCCUUCGUCUCCCCUACUGGUCCUCUUACCGUUGGGGAUUCCGUGAUGAAGAAUGAUAUGACCGCUGCGGUAGUGGCCAGGAACCUUCUCACUCCCAAAGAUAACAGACUACUUUCCAAACGGUCUGAUGAGUUGGCUGUUAAGGAUUCUCUGGCUCUCAGUGUUCAGUGUGCAGGUUCUGUGUCUAAUAUGGCCUAACGCCUAUUUGCUUGAACCCGCCAAGUUGAAUCAUUGGCGGCUGAAGUGAUGAGUCUCAAACAGGAGAUUACAGGGCUCAAGCAUGAGAAUAAACAGUUGCACCGGCUCGCACAUGACUAUGCUACAAACAUGAAGAGGAAGCUUGACCAGAUGAAGGAAUCUGAUGGUCAGGUUUUACUUGAUCAUCAGAGAUUUGUGGGUUUGUUCCAAAGACAUUUAUUGCCUUCGUCUUCUGGGGCUGUACCGCGUAAUGAAGCUCCAAAUGAUCAACCUCUGAUGCCUCCUCCUUCUAGGGUUUUGUCCAGUACUGAGGCUCCGAAAGAUCCCCCUCCAGUAACUUCUCUUUCUGGGGCUCUACCGACUGCUGAGACUUCUCCUAAGCAACCUUUGUGAAGGCUCCAUCUUGUUUGUUUAUUUUGACUCAAGUAUAUGUACAUAUUUGUAACUUAUCGGGGAUAUCAAUAAAUAAGCUUUCCUUCAUUUCAACGUAUUGUGUUAAAUACACCAAAGCCUUCUUCGCUAAGUUUUUUGAAUUUUCUUUUGUUGAAGCUUGUAUGUUGAAGCUUUGUGAGUGGAGCAUGUAGGUUGAGGUAGUGUUCCCUUAAUUUCCCGAGUGAGGAAAACUUCUCGGUUGGAGACUUGGAAAAUCCAAGUCACUGAGUGGGAUCGGCUAUAUGAAUCUUAGAACGCCAUUGUGUUCUGUCUUGUGUCAUGUCCUCCGUUAGAUCCAAGUACUCUAAGUCUUUUCUUAGGGUCUUUUCCAAAGUUUUCCUAGGUCUUCCUCUACCCCUUCGGCCCUGAACCUCUGUCCCAUAGUCGCAUCUUCUAAUCGGAGCGUUAGUAGGCCUUCUUUGCACAUGUCCAAAACCACCGUAACCGAUUUUCUCUCAUCUUUCCUUCAAUUUCGGCUACUCCUACUUUACCCCGGAUAUCCUCAUUCCUAAUCUUAUCCUUUCUCGUGUGCCCACACAUCCAACGAAGCAUCCUCUCAUCUCCGCUACACACCCAUUUUGUGUACGUGUUGAUGCUUCACUGCCCAACAUUCUGUGUCAUACAGCAUCGCCGGCCUUAUUGCCGUCCUAUAAAAUUUUCCCUUGAGCUUCAGUGGCAUACGGCGGUCACACAACACGCCGGAUGCACUCUUCCACUUCAUCCAUCCAGCUUGUAUUCUAUGGUUGAGAUCUCCAUCUAAUUCUCCGUUCUUUUGCAAGAUAGAUCCUAGGUAACGAAAACGGUCGCUCUUUGGUAUUUCUUGAUCUCCGAUCCUCACCCCUAACUCGUUUUGGCCUCCAUUUGCACUGAACUUGCACUCCAUAUAUUCUGUCUUUGAUCGGCUUAGGCGAAGACCUUUAGAUUCCAACACUUCUCUCCAAAGGUUAAGCUUUGCAUUUACCCCUUCCUGAGUUUCAUCUAUCAACACUAUAUCGUCUGCGAAAAGCAUACACCAAGGAAUAUCAUCUUGAAUAUGUCCUGUUAACUCAUCCAUUACCAACGCAAAAAGGUAAGGACUUAAGGAUGAGCCUUGAUGUAAUCCUACAGUUAUGGGAAAGCUUUCGGUUUGUCCUUCAUGAGUUCUUACGGCAGUCUUUGCUCCUUCAUACAUAUCCUGUAUAGCUUGGAUAUAUGCUACUCGUACUCCUUUCUUCUCUAAAAUCCUCCAAAGAAUGUCUCUUGGGAUACGCUUUUUCCAAAUCUAUAAAGACCAUGUGUAAAUCCUUUUUCCCAUCUCUAUAUCUUUCCAUCAAUCUUCGUAAGAGAUAGAUUGCCUCCAUGGUUGAGCGCCCUGGCAUGAACCCGAAUUGGUUGUCCGAAACCCGUGUCUCUUGCCUCAAUCUAUGCUCAAUAACUCUCUCCCAGAGCUUCAUUGUAUGACUCAUUAGCUUAAUACCCCUAUAGUUCAUGCAAUUUUGUACAUCGCCCUUAUUCUUGUAGAUAGGCACCAAAGUGCUCAUUCGCCACUCAUUUGGCAUCUUCUUCGUUUUCAAAAUCCUAUUGAAAAGGUCAGUGAGCCAUGUUAUACCUGUCUCUCCCAAAACUUUCCACACUUCGAUUGGUAUAUCGUCUGGGCCUACUGCUUUUCUAUGCUUCAUCUUCUUCAAAGCUACAACCACUUCUUCCUUCUGGAUUCUAUGAUAAAAAGUAGUUUUCUACACUCUUCUGAGUUACUCAACUCCCCUAAAGAAGCACUCCUUUCAUGUCCUUCAUUGAAAAGAUUAUGAAAAUAACCUUUCCAUCUGUCUUUAACCGCGUUCUCUGUAGCAAGAACUUUUCCAUCCUCAUCCUUGAUGCACCUCACUUGGUUUAGGUCCCUUGUCUUCUUUUCCCUUGCUCUAGCUAGUUUAUAGAUAUCCAACUCUCCUUCUUUGGUAUCUAGUCGCUUAUACAUAUCGUCAUAAGCCGCUAACUUAGCUUCUCUCACAGCUUUCUUCGCCUCUUGCUUCGCUUUUCUAUACCUUUCAUCAUUUUCAUCGGUCCUAUCCUUGUAUAAGGCUUUACAACAUUCAUUCUUAGCCUUCACCUUUGUUUGUACCUCCUCAUUCCACCACCAAGAUUCCUUUUGGUGUGGGGCAAAGCCCUUGGACUCUCCUAAUACCUCUUUUGCUACUUUUCGGAUACAACUAGCCAUGGAAUCCCACAUUUGGUUAGCUUCCCCCUCUCUAUCCCACACACUGGGUGAUUACUUUCUCUUUGAAAAUGACUUGUUUUUCUUCUUUUAGAUUCCACCAUCUAGUCCUUGGGCACUUCCAAGUCUUGUUCUUUUUUCUCACUCUUUUGAUAUGUACAUCCAUCACCAACAAGCGAUGUUGAUUAGCCACGCUCUCUCCUGGUAUAACUUUGCAAUCCUUACAAGUUAUACGAUCCCCUUUCCUCAUUAGAAGAAAAUCUAUUUGUGUUUUUGACGACCCACUCUUGUAGGUGAUCACAUGUUCUUCUCUCUUCUUAAAGAAGGUGUUGGCUAAGAAGAGAUCAUAUGCCAUUGCAAAAUCCAAGAUAGUUUCCCCAUCCUCGUUUCUCUCCCCAAAACCAUGGCCACCAUGAAAACCUCCAUAGUUGCCUGUCUCCCUGCCCACGUGUCCAUUUAAAUCUCCUCCUAUAAAUAACUUCUCCGUCUGAGCAAUUCCUUGCACCAAGUCUCCAAGAUCUUCCCAAAAUUUCUCAUUCGAACUCGUAUCCAACCCUACUUGAGGUGCGUACGCACUAAUCACAUUGAUAAGUUCUUGUCCUAUUACAAUCUUGAUUGCCAUGAUUCUAUCUCCUACCCUCUUGACAUCUACAACAUCUUGUAUCAAGGUCUUGUCCACAAUGAUGCCAACACCGUUUCUCGUUCUAUUUGUGCCCGAAUACCAUAGUUUAAACCCUGAGUUUUCUAGAUCCUUUGCCUUACGACCAACCCACUUAGUUUCUUGUAGGCACAUAAUAUUUAUCCUUCUCCUCACCAUAACUUCUACUACUUCCAUAGAUUUUCCCGUCAAGGUUCCUAUAUUCCACGUUCCUAAACGCAUUUUGCUCUCUUGAACUCUACCCUUUUGUCCUAGCUUCUUCACCCUUCCCCGUCUAAUAGGAUCAAAGUACUUCUUUUGUGUGUCCCGUGUAAAGUUGAUAGGAGCAUAUGCUCCCAAACAACUUUGAGUGGAGUCGUUCGAAAAGAAGUUUCUAUAGCCCCCUUGCUCAUUUAACACUGCAUCCGGGUGCCGAUGGAGAUACAGCGACCCUUGCUCACUUAUCACUGUGCUCGGGCCACACAGUGCGCCACUUACGGGUGACGCCCUAGCUUUAGCGCGAUUUCGUUCUGGAUUCAUUUUCAUAAGGAUUCGACGUGAUCAUGGAGUGCCGGCUGUCGACUACCUGACGCCCUCCCCCUCCUCCUUUAUCCGGGCUUGGGACCGGCAAUGUAAGAUAAACUUACACGGCGGAGUUCAAUGAUAUUCCUAAAGGAAAUAAAAUUGUUUGCUUUGCUGAGGUGCUUCUGUUUAGAUUAAUCAAUGCUAUAGUGCAUUUUGAAACCUAAGUUAUGGAUCUAUUAGUUUCAAUUUAAACACAUCUAGAAACUUAGAUAUACAUUUAUUAGCUCACAUUUAUAUACUGCUGGAAAGUUAAAGAUCUGCUGAUGAUACUAAAUUUAACUUUGGUAGUUUUUCAAACAUAAUUACCCAUACAAUUUCUAAUCCCGCAGCAACGUGCGGGCAUCACUUUCUAGUUUAAUCUGUAUUUCAGAAUUAGUGGUCUUCUUGAUGUUUAACUGUAGCGAAAUGGUUCUUGAAAUUGUGUUUUGGAAUUAGUGAUCUUGAUUCAGAACAAAAGGACUAAUUUCCUUCCUACAUUCCACACCCGAGAUGGAGAGUUCUAAUUUUUAUUUGAAUUGCAUGUUACCUAGAUGAAAAAUUGAAGAAGUUUAUGAAUGUCGUAAAUCAGGAAAUACGUUGGAAGUUAUGCUGAUGAAAAUUCUAACUUUUAUUUAAAUUGAAAGGAACCCAUAUCGAAAGUACGAAUUUUUACUACAUUUUUUUAUUUUAUUUUAAAUUUUGUUCGCUCUGCUUUCAUGGUGUUUUGCGUUUAAUUUGAUCUUUGCAGGCACUGCGUUUGCUUAUCGGUAGACCAGUAGUGGGAAGACUUUUACGAUGAAUGGUUCCGAAACAGAUCCGGGUAUCAUUCAUUGAGCCGUUAGAGAUGUUUUUGACAGAACUCAGAUGGUAAUAAGCUAUUUAUGCUUUCUUAAUUUCAAAUUUGUUGCUUGCUUAUUGAAUUUGAUGCUUAAUGUUUUCAAUUGGAUGCUAUUUAUGUUUCCAGAUGUCACUGAUUCGAGUAUCCUACAUGGAAUUGUACAAUGAGGAAAUUAACGACUUUUUUGCAGUAGAGAAUCAGAAAUUGCAAAUUCAUGAGAAUUUGGAGGUUGGCUACUUACCCUUUUGACAAAUUUAGUUACUUCUUUUAAGUGAACUGAAUUUACUGAAUUUUUUCAUGUUCGGCAUGGCAUUUUUGUUGCUGGCCUCGGGGAGGAAAUUGUCAGUGAUGCUGAACAAGUGUUAAAGCUCAUUGAAUCCGGAGAAGGUUUGCACUUUGAAACCAAAAUGUAAUUAGGAAUUUAAUUAAACCGGCCCUAUGCAAUUGCCAGUUGCACUGAAUAUCAUCAGGUAUGAAGGAAUAAGUGUGUGUGUGUGUGUGUGUGUGUUUGAUUCUACUUAUCAAUAUAUCAAUAGUAAAUAUAGUGUGUUUCUGCAAGUCAGCAAUGUGAGACUCCUUCAUUGUUGUUGAUUGCGUUGAGAUGAACAAGCUUGAGGGUGCAUGCUUUAGUUUAAUAAAUUGGCUAAGCUGCUUAUGCUAUUCAUUGCCGAUUAUGUAUUACCAAUUAACUCAUAGUUUGUAGGAAUUAACUUGAGAUCUUUCUGAUAACGAUUAUUUCCUACCACCUGACCACAUAGAAACAAGAUUGCAUGCGUGCUAUUGUUUUUACACCCAUAUACUUAUUUGCAGAGUUUUGUUGCCAUAAGUGGAGGAUGUUAGUGAAAUUGAUGAACUAAUAAGCUUCAUGUUAGGAGCUUUGUCGAUUAUUCGCUAAAAAACUGAAUUAUGUUUGUGUCGGGAUCAUCGAAGGUUUUCUUCGAAUAUUCUACAAUAACGAUGUUGAUAUAAUGGAAGCUCAAAUUUGUCAGGUGAUACAUACAUGCAUACAAUUUUAUACUUAAAACUGUAUAUUUACUUUCAGAUUUCGAACAAGAAGAUUAGAGUCCGGAUGUGCAGAAUUUGGAGGCCCAAAUUUAUUGGAUCUGAUGAUCAGUUUGAUGAUUUGCAAUGCAUAUUAGUUGAUGAAAUGGUAAGGGAAUCGUUCCAUUAUACUAUCUCCAUUAAGUUAUAAUAUAUCAUUCGCGUACAAUUCAGUGCAACUCAAAUAAUGUCUCGGUGAUGAAAUUGGAGUCUAUGUUUGUCUAAUUUUUGAAGCUGUGCUGAAAUCCAGAGGUUUAUUUGACUGUCUAUAUAUUUGAUUCGAGCACGGGUUCUGCCAUGGUUUUGCAUUCAGUGUGUAUCCCAUCUGGAAAAAAGGAGAGGUGAGAUUCGUGAUACCGUUUUCGUUUGGGUAAACUUAGUUUUCAUUUUUUGUGGUGUCUAUAGGGAGAUUUGUUUUCUGUCUUAAUUUUUGAUUGGGAUGUUUUUGGCAAUUUGUAGUUUCGGAUUCGUUUAUGUUUCGUGCUUUUGUGUAACUAAACUAGGGUUUAUUAAAUUCAAUCACUUCCUUUUAUGCUCCUGCUUUGUUACGGUACAACUGAUGAUGGUUUGUUUCUUUGAUUGUAAAUUUCAGAAGAGCAACUUUUUAUGGGGUCUGCUGCUGUGACUGUUUCUAAGAUUCUGUGAAUAUUUGGUUUCUGGAAUAUGAUUAAUUUUCUUCUCCUUCCACGCUUGCUUUCUAUGAUAUACAAUGUGCCCUUUUUUUUUUAGAUAAACAACCUUUUCAUUAUCUUGCAUGCUUUGGCAACAAAGAUUAAUAAAACUUCACGUCUAUUAUAGAGAGAGAUAGAUGUAGGGAGACGUUGGAAUUGGAGAGAGAGAGAGAGGGUGAGGGAGGGAUGGGGUUGCUUUCUAAAGAUUUGUUUGGAAUUGUUUCUCCAGUUCUUUCUAUUUGUUUGGGAUUGUUUCCUUUUUACUGAAUUAUUUCGGUCCCUGCUACUAAAGUCUAAUUUCUGCUAUUAAUUGAUGCUGAAAUGUGACUUUUGCUAUUAAUUUUUUUACCUUUCAUGUUUAUGCUGCUUUUGGAUUCCAUUCGAAUUAAAUAAUGUAGUUAAUCUUGAUAUGAAUUCUCUGCAACAAUAAUUAGGGACUUUAGUUUAAAUUAUCACUAAUUUGUUCUUGAUUUGGCAUUGAAUCUGGUUCUGGGUCUUCCAAUUCCAGCGAGCUGUUUCCGUACAAAUGUCGGUGCACCGUGUACCGUGCCGUCGACCACAAUCCUCUCUGUUUUAUCUCCAGUGUUCCAGCCAUUUAAGGUAAGCAAUUUCAUAUUUAAUAAAACAAAUUAGGGAUCACUAGCUUUUGAUUAGGUUUCAAAUUAUGAUUUACAAAUUGGGGAUUUGGAGAUUAAUUUUUAUUAGGGUUUUAAUUUUGAGAAAUGAAUAGGUAGGUAGGAGAUAAAUUUGAUUGCAUCAGAAUUUGGGAUUGUUGAUGUGUGUUUUUUUGUUAUUCUGUUAAUAAGUCAGAGAAAAUAUAAUGGCUGAGAUCCACUACUACAAUAUAGGCUAUCACCGGCGGACCAAAAACCGACAAGAAACCAGAUUUCUGUCGAAAAUUUGGCAAAAAUCCGACAUAAAACACUGCAAUGUCAGAUUGGAAUAGCGACGCCAUUGCUACCGUCACUAAAGGGCUUCAGUGUCGCUUUGUUCGCUUAGUCCGCCACUAAGCAGCGUCGGUUUAAAGCGACGUUAGAUAACAAUUAAAUAAAUAAAAUAUGCAAACUAGUGACGGUUUAAAGCGACGUUAGAGAACAAUUAAAUAAAUAAAAGCGACGUUAGAGAACAAUUAAAUAAAUAAAAUAUGCAAACUAGUGACGGUUUAAAGCGACGUUAGAGAACAAUUAAAUAAAUAAAAUAUGCAAACUAGUGACGGUUUAAAGCGACACCACCUUUGAUAAUAAUAAUAUAAAAAAAGUCGAAAUCUGUUUCUGUAUUCGUUCUCAAAUAAUUAUAACUCAAAAAAAUUAUAUAAUCGAAAUAAUAAAUUUCAAUUUUAGGCCAAAACAAACAAUAAUAAAAAUAAUUCAAAAGAAAAAUAGUGCCAUAAUAUACAAAUGUUUUACAUCUAACAUUCCAUAUAAUUUACAAAAAUUCAUCCUCCACAUUUAUUUAAAAUUAGAUACAAUUCUUCAAAAUGGACAAUACAUUCAAAUUCUUGCCACUACGGAAGCAGAGAUUGUAGACAACCCAACUGCGGAAUCGGCCUGAAAUUCAAAAAUAUCGGAAAAAAAUGUCAAGAGCUUUGCUUAUUUGAGGAAAAACCCAAUUGAGAAAACGACCUGAAAUCCAAAAAUUCGACAAUGACCAAUUGAAAAUUUCCCAAAAGACUGAGAAUUUUACAGGCUUGAAGGGCUUUGCGUACCUUGAGAGAUUGAUUGACAGGCGGGUGGAGGGGAGAGAAGACAUGGGAGUGGCCUUGAACGCUGGUUUGUUGACGGCAGAUUUGAGAAGAGAGAAAGCCGGCUUCGAGAAAGAUCUGCAGCGAGAGGCCAUUGGAGCACUGGGCGGAGAAAUAGCGGAGUUAGGGUUUUGGGGUUAACAGUCACAGCAGUUGGAAGUUGGAGAGGCAGGGGUAUGGCUGAAAUGGAGGAAAGAGUAAGGCUGACAUGGGAGAAAGAGAAGGAGAAGGAGUAAACCAGAGGAGAAAUAUAAGAGUGAAAUGGAAGUGCAGAAGUACUGGGAAAGACGAGGUUUAAAUAUGGAUAAAAACUUAGUGUCGGUUAAUACCGACAGUAGCUACAACUUGUGUUGAACAAUGAACACCCUACGUUGGUCAAAACCGACGUAAUAUCUGACAAAUGAUAAAAUUUGCUUGCGUCGAAAUAUGAUGACUUUGCGUCGGUUCAAACCGACACUAGGUCUGACACACUUUUGACUGAAAGGUCUGACAUUUUUUUUACUGACAGGGUUGAAUCGGAUAAAACCGACGUUAGCUUGAUAGAUUUGUGUAGCGUCGAAAUAAUGAGAGUUUGCGUCGGUUAAAACUGACGCCAACUCUGACACAGUCUGCAAGAGCUCGUCCAACCCAUUUCCCCGUGCAAAAAAAAAACCGGGAAAAUUCUUUAAAUUUGAAUUUUUUAAAUUUGAAUCUUCAAAUACCUUUAUCUACCCGUUUUCUAAUUAAAAACACAUUAUUACUAAUCUUACCAAUUUAUCAAAAAAUCAAAAGAAACAUUGCCAGAGGUAGAUAAAAAAUAAAUAAAAAAUUUGUGAUGUAGGUAGAAUUUAUGAUAGAGGUAGACUAUGAACAAAAACCUAUUGUAUAGAUACAUAAUACAAAAUAAUUUGUGAUACAUAUAGACUAUGAACAAAAACAUAUUGUAUAGGUAGAUAACACAAUUAAUUUGUGAUAAAUAGGUAGAUAACACAAUUAAUCUUAGAUAGAUUAUCAACAAAAUAUGUUUUAUAUAUAGGUAGAUAAAUACAAUUAUUCAUGAUACAUGCACACAGUAUAAUAUAAAAAGAUUUAAAAAAUGACCAGUGAUAUAGGUAGAUACAAACAAAACAAAAAAUCGUGAAGAAAAAUGAUAUUGAGGGAGGAAACACUAGAGAAAAUGCUAAUUCGAUAGAACUUCAAAGUUCAAAAAAAUAUAAAAAGGAGAAUGAAGCCAAAAAAAAAAUGAGACGAAGAACCCAAAACACAAGAUUGACUAAUGCAAUUUCUUUAAAAAAAAUAAAAUAAAAAAACCAAUCAAAUGUAUAUUGAUCAUCCUUAUGGAAGGAGGAGGAGAAGAAAAAUAUUAUGGAAGAACAUUACUGGGCAAAGAAAAAUAUUAUGGAAGAACAUUACUGGGCAAAAUAACGCAGGAAGAGAAAGAUAUUGUGAGGAAGAAACAAGAAAGAGAAUUAAAAAAGAAAAGAGAAUGAACGGUUUGGGGAAGAAGAAGAAAAAAAGGAGAUUUAAAUCCCUAAUCCUAUAAUUAAGGAUAAGAUUAACAUUAAUCACAAACUUAAAAAACAGUAAUUACUUCAUUGGUCAAUUUAAGGGUAAAUUUGGCAAGAGAAUACAAAUAAGCUUAUGUGGACAAUGAAUCACUAGACCUAACCCAAAAAUUAAACAAAAUUGGAUUAUAACUAAUAAUAGCUCAUAAAAUUGGACUAAUAUUAAGUUUCUCCUAAAAUAUAAUCAGUUAUUUUAUCUUAUAUAAGAGCCUAAUAAAAAAAUAAUACAUACACUACUAAUCUAUGUCAAGGAGUGUAGCUGUAAAAAAUCAUUAAAAUCGGAGUUAAAAUAACCGUUAAAUCAUGAUUUUUCGUUUAUAACCGUCGAAAAGCUUUGUCCCGUUACUUGAUCUCUGAAUGUUUGUUUUUUGUGAUUUUUUGCUGAUGUGAUCUUGAAGCAUAUGCAAACAAGUUUGACGGUUGGGAUCGUUGAAAUUUGUUUCGGAGAAUUCGUAUCCCAUCAAAACAAUAGAUUGACUAACACUUAGAGUUUAUUUAUACUUUUAUUAAGUAUAACAUAAAAUUAUGUGGUAUCCACUUGUGUAAAUAUUUUAAAUUGAAGAUCGAAUUCAUUCAUUGUAUUCAUAUAGGGUCAAGGAGUGUAGCUGUAAAAAAUUAUCAAAAUCGGAGUUAAAAUAACCGUUAAAUCGUGAUUUUUUGUUUAUAACUGUCGAAAGCUUUGUCCUGUUACUUGAUCUCUGAAUGUUUGUUUUUUUUUAUUUUUUGCUGAUGUGAUCUCGAAGCAUAUGCAAACAAGUUUGACGGUUGGGAUCAUUGAAAUUAGUUUCGGAGAAUUCGUAUCCCAUCAAAACAAUAGAUUGACUAACACUUAGAGUUUAUUUAUACUUUCAUUAAGUAUAACAUAAGAUUUUGUGGUAUCCACUUGUGUAAAUAUUUUAAUUUGAAGAUCGAAUUCAUUCAUUGUAUUCAUAUAGGGUCAAGGAGUGUAGCUGUAAAAAAUCAUCAAAAUCGGAGUUAAAAUAACCGUUAAAUCGUGAUUUUUCGUUUAUAAUCGUCGAAAAGCUUUGUCCCGUUACUUGAUCUCUGAAUGUUUGUUUUUUGUGAUUUUUUGCUGAUGUAAUCUCGAAGCAUAUGCAAACAAGUUUGACGGUUGGGAUCGUUGAAAUUAGUUUCGGAGAAUUCGUAUCCCAUCAAAACAAUAGAUUGACUAACACUUAGAGUUUAUUUAUACUUUCAUUAAGUAUAACAUAAGAUUUUGUGGUAUCCACUUGUGUAAAUAUUUUAAUUUGAAGAUCGAAUUCAUUCAUUGUAUUCAUAUACGGUCAAGGAGUAGCUGUAAAAAAUCAUCAAAAUCGGAGUUAAAAUAAUCGUUAAAUCGUGAUUUUUCAUUUAUAACCGUCGAAAAGCUUUGUCCCGUUACUUGAUCUCUGAAUGUUUGUUUUUUGUGAUUUUUUGCUGAUGUAAUCUCGAAGCAUAUGCAAACAAGUUUGACGGUUGGGAUCGUUGAAAUUAGUUUCGGAGAAUUUGUAUCCCAUCAAAACAAUAGAUUGACUAACACUUAGAGUUUAUUUAUACUUUCAUUAAGUAUAAUAUAAGAUUUUGUGGUAUCCACUUGUGUAAAUAUUUUAAUUUGAAGAUCGAAUUCAUGCAUCGUAUUCAUAUAGGGUCAAGGAGUGUAGCUGUAAAAAAUCAUCAAAAUCGGAGUUAAAAUAACCGUUAAAUCGUGAUUUUUCGUUUAUAACCGUUGAAAAGCUUUGUCCCGUUACUUGAUCUCUGAAUGUUUGUUUUUUGUGAUUUUUUGCUGAUGUGAUCUCGAAGCAUAUGCAAACAAGUUUGACAGUUGGGAUCGUUGAAAUUUGUUUCGGAGAAUUCGUAUCCCAUCAAAACAAUAGAUUGACUAACACUUAGAGUUUAUUUAUACUUUCAUUAAGUAUAACAUAAGAUUUUGUGGUAUCCACUUGUGUAAAUAUUUUAAUUUGAAGAUCGAAUUCAUGCAUCGUAUUCAUAUAGGGUCAAGGAGUGUAGCUGUAAAAAAAAUCAUCAAAAUCGGAGUUAAAAUAACCGUUAAAUCGUGAUUUUUCGUUUAUAACCGUUGAAAAGCUUUGUUGCGUUACUUGAUCUCUGAAUGUUUGUUUUUUGUGAUUUUUUGCUGAUGUGAUCUCGAAGCAUAUGCAAACAAGUUUGACGGUUGGGAUCGUUGAAAUUUGUUUCGGAGAAUUCGUAUCCCAUCAAAACAAUAGAUUGACUAACAAUUAGAGUUUAUUUAUACUUUCAUUAAGUAUAACAUAAGAUUUUUUGGUAUCCACUUAUGUAAAUAUUUUAAUUUGAAGAUCUAAUCCAUUCAUUGUAUUCAUAUAGGGUCAAGGAGUGUAGCUGUAAAAAAUCAUCAAAAUCGGAGUUAAAAUAACCGUUAAAUCGUGAUUUUUUGUUUAUAACUGUCGAAAUUAGUCUCAUAGAAUUCGUAUUCAAUCAAGUUCAAUGGUGUGUGUGUGUAUAUAUAUAUAUAUAUUAAGUAGAUUUAAAUUUAUUUAUUUUUUAUGUAUAACACUUAAGAAAUUGAAUCGUAUGUAUAUUUAAGCCAAUCCAAUGAUCACCAAUUUUUUAAAAUUUAAUUUAAUAUAUAUAUAUAUAUAUAUUUAUAUAAUUAUUAUAGUUUUUAGGGAUAUAAAAUUUAAUUUAAUAUAUAUAUAUAUAUAAUUUAUGUUGCUUAAAAGCGACACUAGUAUUUAAAAAAUACUUUAUGUCGCUUAAAAGCGACACUAGUAUUUAAAAAUUAUUAAAAUAAUGUUUACGUCGGUUUAAAAGCGACACUAGUAUUUAAAAAUUAUUAAAAUGUAUGUUUACGUCAGUUUAAAAGCGACAUAAACAUUUUAUGACGCUUAUAAGCGACAGUAAAUCCGACGUCAUGUUCAAUUAGUGUCACAACUGCCUAAUCCGCCACUAUAUUAGAUUAAAGCGACACCACCCUCCGACACUAUAACCCCCUUUUGUAGUAGUGAUCGGUGGUGAGCAAGGCAGUGGAGGUUGGCAACAAGAAUAACCUCACCUUCACCGUCAGGAACUACGCCGACUUCGUCAUCCAGCAUGCCGGCCAAGCCGUCGCUGACGGAGCUAAAUGGUUCCAGGGCCGAAUAAUAAUUUCACAAUUUCCACCAUUUUUCACAUUUUCUGCCAUUUUUUCUCAUUCACAUUUGUUUACAGGGAGGUCGGAGCUUUAGGAGUGUGAAGAAUAGUAUACAGAGAUGGGAGGAAGCAGCUGUUUCCUGUAGGUAAUUUUUGCUCUGACUUAUUUAGAUUUUAUAUUCUGGGUUAAUUAUCAACCGGAUUUUGUUACUAGAUUUAGAAUUGUAAUUUGGUACCACUUCUGCCACAUGCCGCUUCAGUUUUCACAUCCUAAUGCCACGAAAUGCUAAUUUUAAACUCUAGGUUAUGGGUAAGGAUUAGUAUUUGGAGGCACAAAUUCUUCUCAGCUGCUAAACCAAGUUCAAAAUCAUUUUGCGCGUGGUUUACAUUAGGCUAUUCAAGCCCUAUUUUAAAUGUAUGAUUGGUUUAUGUGAAAUGAAAGAGAGUUAGAAUACCUUGUGAGAUGACUGAUUCGAGAACCCAUUUUAAAUAAAACGUAUCAAAAGUGUUGAGCUGAGAGCGAAGAGAUUCUUUGCAUGGAAAACAGAUUUCACUUUGUUUUCUUUACUCAAAGUGCUCUUAUUUAAUCUGGUUCUGUUUCGGUUGCAUAGUAUGUGGUUCGCAGCGACUAAGAAUCGUUUCCUAAGAAAUCUAUUGAGCUAAGUUCUUUUUGGUAGGAAAUUAGGGUUGCUGAUGUUAGCAAUGGAUUGAGUCUUUCUGUUUGGUAUGAUUAUAUCUCUGAACAAGCAUUAAUAAAUAGAACGAUUUCCAUCAAUAAUUUUAUUCGGUCAAGAUUCAAACUCCCAUUGUAGAUCAAACUAUAAGUCAAACUCCCAUUGCAGAUCAAACUAUAAGUCAAACUCCCAUUGCAGAGCAAACUAUAAGUCAAACCCCAUUUCAGAACAAACUGGGAACGAGGAGGCGCAAUAGGGUAUGGCUAUUUCCGGGCCGUCGUUCAUUUUGAGAUUCUGGUAACAUCUAUAUAAGCUAGCUUAUUUUUAGACCAUUGUUUAGGUGUACAUAAUUGUUUAAUGGCUUUGUACUUUUCCUUUUUGUCAGCUAUAGAUGUUCUAAAAGAUACACAUACCCCUCCACGGAGAAUCAAGUUCAUUAGUUUACAUUAUAUAUCAUUUUUAUGAUGUAAGAAACCACAACCAUCUAAAAGUUUUAGUGAAGUUGUAUUUUAAAGUCAGGUUGGUAGGACAUGUUGCUAUAUAUAUUUUCAAAAAGUUUUCAACUUCGAAUUUUGUGAUGUGUGAUUAUAGAGCAAGGAGAAUGUGACCCCGAUUAGCUCGAAGCUUGCGGUAAACUUUCUUUUUGUUCAGGGUUACGAGAAUUCUUACAAUAAGAACUAGAACAACUCAGAUUUUAAUUUUCGGUUUAAAGCUGUUUUUAAUUUGGUCCGCCAUGUUUGUUUGUUAUUAGGAACCUAGAAGAGUCUUGAAUUCAGUUUUCAAACUCUGACUGAAAAUGGAACUUGGUGCUAUUAAGCUAUCAUCCUCAGCCAGGUAGCGCCAUGACUUUUACAUUGCUGCUUUCAUUUUAUGUACUAAUUAUUGUUCUAUGAAUUGUAUUCUUCAGUUAAAUAAUGAUUCAUCCUCCUUUUCCCAUCUCCUUGGUUUUUUCGUUUAGAUUUUUCUGUUUGCGUAUUAUAAUUUUUUUGGGUAUUGGUUACUGUGCACUUAUUAGGUAAGUCAAUUCUCAUGUGAUUUGUACAUUCACAUUCCUGGGUGUAUAAUUUAUAAUAUGUGAACAUAUUAUAGUAACUAAGUUUAAUCCCUGAAUUUAUUAUUUAACUGGGAUGUAGAUUUCAUAAUUGAAAUUAUGUUAAAUGUGAAUUGUUAGUGAUUACACUUCACUCAAUUAUAUCAAUCCUCUUCAAUAUGUAGAUGUAAGUUCGUUAUUAGUGCCAUUAAGGGUUGAUUAAUCCUCAUAUGCGUAGCAAUAAUUAUUAGUGCCAUGUAGUGUUGGUACUUAUAUAAACGCAUUUUAAACGAAUGUUAGUAUAUUCUUAGGGAUGUUAACAACACUACUCUCUAGUUUAGCCAGGUACCUACUUUGGUUUUUUCGUUCCCUCAUCAUAUGCUUUGCACAAUCGUAACUAUGAGCUAAAUACUAAUGGGUGAAUAAUGAAUGUUCUGCUGAGUAGUAUGUUAUUACCAAUCUUGGUAGAUUUACAAAGCAUAUGAGAGAAUUCGUCAGUAGAGUUAAUCAUCUGUAACAAUAAAUGUUAAUUAUUCAAGCUUGAUUUCUUGGCAAUGGCUUCCUUCGUUAGCGUCUACAACUACGUCUCUCUUCACUUUCCCACUUCCUCCGGUCUCUCUUUCUCUUUCUAAUCUCUACUGAGUUUCUUUCAAUCUGUCAAUUUAUAUAAUUUAUUCUUUGAUGUGAUAUUUGGUGCGUUUGAUUUGGUUUUGUGAAUGUCUUCCUGACUUUUCUUCUUUGGAUUCAAAUAAUAAGUUCAAUGGUUAUAUACAUAACAGAAUAGUGAUUUGCGAACAAGGCAAUUCAAAGCUUGAAAAUUUGUAUAUCAUGCUAAGCUGACUACCUUUUUUCCCCACUUUUUCGACUUUGAGGAAUUGCAGUAUUUUAGCCCAACUUGCUAAAAUUUUUGUUUAUUUUUAAAUGAAUUCUAUAUGAAUUUACUUGGAAAUGUUAUAUGAAUUUUGUAUAAACUUGAAUAAAACUUAUAUCUGCAGGUUGAAUGUGUCCUUUGCCAACUAUUUUUUGGUAUAAGAAAAAGAUUACAUUAUACACACACAAUGCAAUGUGUUACCUAUCUGUUUAUAUACAUGUUAUAUUAAUACAUAUAAUGUUACAUGUUAAACAAAGCAAUAGAUGCCAAGCCAAAAGUGAGAAUGGGAACGAAGAAUCCAUGUCAAAAUCUCGCAUUUGUUCAAAGUGGUCUUGAUGGAACAUGGAAUCCAUAUCACCAAGUGUACUAAUUCAAGGUUCAUUGUUUAAUUCUUAAAUUAAAAUUAAUUUUGUCUUGACUCCAGUUUCUUCAUGCCUUUCUUAACUUCACAUGCAUAGUUGAUAAAGAGCUUCAGGAGGGUCAUUACUAAACAUCUACAAAUUUGUUAAGCCUAAGGCUUCCAGUUAUCAAACUACAGGUAACUACGGAUUAGUAGAUGUUUAGUAAUGACCCUUCUGAAAUUAUGGGUAUAUUAUCGAUAGUAUUGAUCAAUCGAGUAUGCAUGAGAACUUAAGUAAUCAUUGCCAUAAAAAGUAGAAGUGAUGACUCACACCAGGAAUCAGUUAUCUCAUCAACAACUUUAUUUUUAUCUAAGAUCGAGUUUGAUACCUGUAGGUGUAUAUAGGUUAAAUCGAUUGUUAAGAUGGAAAUUUAAUCACUUUUCAAUGUCCGAUAUCUCCAUCUCCCUGUUCUAGAUUUUUACUUACUUGAAAUGAAUAGAUUCGAGGUGUUUCAUUUAGCAAAAUGAGCAGUGGAUAGUGCUAAUUUAAACCUAAAAGUGAAUAAAUUUAAACCUAAAAGUGCCUAAAUAUAAGAGUGCGCAUGUGAGCAGAAUUGAACCCAAUUCACACGUGAUGCAGAGCACAAGUAAAGUGCAGUAGAGGUAGGAUAGUAAAGGUAAUCACCUAUACCAAAAUUUGCCAAGAAUCCUCGUCGACAUGAAAGCUCAGCUAUUAAAACUUGGAGGGGCGAAAAACAAAGGUGAGUGGGCUUAAAAAUAAAGCUUUGUAAAAACUUUUUCGAAAACAUAACAACCCCUUACUGUAAAACAAGUAUAGUUUCUAAAAUAUACAUACUACGUAUAGUAUGAAAAUACUUACCGUAGCCUGCAAUAUCUCAAAAAUUCAAUAAGUCACAAUAUUUCUAUAAUAAACAUCUAACGUCCGGUAAUCACAUAAUCUCGCAUAAACAAAAGUACCAUAUCGAGUGCUCAUUGACAUAUGCUAACACACGAGUUCAUGCAGAGGUAUUAUAACAUGAAUAGGACUAGAUGUAAUAAUGAUUUACGUUCUAGUACUACAAUCACGUGAAAACCUGCGCUAUGCGCAUCACAUAUGAGUCCUAAUUGCCUAUAGCAAUCUAGGAUAGGACUGGCAGCUACAAUGGAUCCAAAGUGAGCGUACCGUGUGAUGUGAACAUACACGUGAAAGAUUGUCCCUGGCCUUGGGCAUGUACUAACAUCGAUGUAGCACACGAUGAGCAGAUAACAUAAAUAUAAUCAUGCCAUAGUGAUUCGAUAAUACUAGUCAACAUAAUGUUAUUCAUGACUGCAAAUAUAAUUAAAGCAUCCCGAAAUAGUACACAUAACUUUACAUAAUGAUUUCCUAAUUCUCAACAUUACGACAUUUCUUAUAAACGUUAAUUUAAUUAUGGAAAUCACAUAGAAACUUCGUUAUUAGAUGUAUAUAUGGAAAAUAAACAAAUACAUAUAUUAUAUAAAAGAACAGACCCACUAACAGAUACUUGUGAAGUCGUAGUUGUUCGAACAGAGAAGCCGGAGUCUCCGCUAGUAAUCGCACCUAAGCAUUAUAUUGGGACCCAUUAGUUAAACUCAAUUAAAACGAUUAAAUUUGAGAAAACGAAGUGUGAAUUUGGAAUCAGGGCGACGAAAUACGCUAAGAAGGGUCCCGAAAAUUUUUCGUAAAAUGUCAACGAAAAGUCAACCGAGACGCCGAGCCAGUCAACUAUGUUAAAUACGGUUGAUGUGAAAUAUUUCAACAGAAACUAUGAGGAGAAUUUAUAAGAUAGAUAUUUAAUAGACGACAUUGAUGUUUUAUGUUUCUGCGCUUCAAGUCCGCCAGCCCUUUUGCAUUUGUUGCCUAUUGCACAACUGAUGGAUGUUAAUAUUCAGUUUACAGGCAGUUCCUACAAAACCAGUUCCCUUGUAGUCUACGAUUCUCAUUCAUUCGCUCCGAUGAUUGGAACGAAAUGUUGUACAAAUUUCGUAGCUCUGGUUUUAGAAUUUUAGACAACUCUUGCUAUACACAUUACUCUUAAAUAUCUAAUUGUUGUACAAGUAUUCUUAGUUACUGAGGCAUAGGAAAGUUUCGAUUUCAUUUGAUUGAAAAAAGUGUCUCCAAUUAAUCGAAUGAAUAAGAAUCCUUUUAAAUGAACAUAGCUGCUUUCAUUCUAAUUUCAGAAUAUCCAAAUCCAUGACAACAUGCAGCACUCUACUAUCUUUAUUUACAUUACUUUCAUCUCCAUUUUUUUUGGUUAAAAAAACUCUACGGUACGAACAAACAUUAUUAUAACGUUAAACAGUACGAUAUAUAGAGUAUAGUCUUGAACUUCGACAACACAAUCAACUAAAAGCUAAAAAGAACAAAUACAUUCUUUCUUUUUAAAGAAACCUCGACGGCGAGGGAAAAUUUUAUUGAAUAGAAAAAAAAAGUUACACCUAGUCAGGGGGGGACAUAAACCUUACCCCUCAAUAUUUUAAACACAAACACAAAUACAUAACGUGAAACAAACUUAUAACUAAACAUAUAAAAAGAGAAGGAAAGAAACCACAACAGAGAAAACAAACAACAACAACAAAUGCAUAACAUUGUAACAAACUCAAUUUCUACGCCCCCACUAGUACUCUAAAUUUUCCUUAUAUAUCAUUUGUCUGAUCAUUCCAACAAUCUUAAGAAACAAGUCGGGCCUCCUUGUGAUCACAACAUCAGCAAGAACUAACCCCACGACCAACCCACUUCCACAUCCGGCCGAAACAAUUUUCCAACCAAAUUCAAAUAUUCCUGCUGAGCUAGAAUCACCUUCGUCUACGGUUGAAGGUGGACGUUGAGGGGCCGUAGAAUUUCCACAUUUCUUUGGCAAUGGAUCUCCACACAACCCUGGGUUUCCCUCAUAUGAAGUGAUAUUCAAUGAAGUAAGCUGGGUUCCUUGUGGUAUAGGACCUGUGAGAUUGUUGUGAGACACAUUGAAACUGCCAAGAAAAGUAAGUUGCUUUAGUUGUGGGGGGAUCUGUCCUGAGAGCAUGUUUUGCGAAAGGUCCAACGAUUCAAGGUUCAUCAAGUUUCCAAAGGAUGAUGGGAUAGAACCAGUGAGACUGUUGUGGGAAAGAUUCAGAGAAUGAAGCUCCUUAAGAUUCCCGAUGAAUUCUGGAAUCUUUCCUUCAAAUUUGUUGCUUGAUAUAUCAAAGGAUGCAAAUUCUUCUCGAAUCUUUGGAUAGUAUUGCUCCAAACCUUUCGUUGCUAUUGUGAGUGCGUAAUCACCUCUUCUAUCAAUCGUGAUCCCGCUGACAUCAUAAACUACGUCUGUAUACAUAUAGGCUGACUUGUUUAUAAUAAUAUCUGGAAAGAUAGAUGGAACCGCGCCAGUAAAAUUAUUGUAAGACAAAUCAAGAAUGCGUAACUUGGGGAAAUCGACAUUCAUUCUAGAUUUUCGAAUCACACCGUAGAAUCCAUUAUGGCGCAUUGCCAAAAGUUUUAACUCUAGAAGAGUCCCCAACCAAAUGGGAAAAACAUCAUUGAAUUGAUUGUUUGACAAAACAAGAUACUCAAGCCUCACACAAUUGACCAAUGACCUCGGCAAUUGCCCCUGCAAUUUGUUAUGACUCACGUCAAUCAUCCUCAAACUGUUUCCGUUGUUGUAUGUCUGAGGAAUAACUCCAUGAAAGGAGUUGUUUCCAAGAAGUAAAAGAAUCAGAUCAUCACUAAAGUUUCCGAGACAUUGAGGAAGCAUGCCACUCAACUUAUUUUUCGACAAGUCAAGCAACUGAAGAUUUUUCAUAUUGCAAAGCAAGGGUGAGAUUUCUCCAGUAAGGUUGUUGUCUGUAGCUGUAUAUUCUAGCAUGGUUGGUGGAGCUAUCGGUAGUGAUCCAUGAAACCUGUUGGACGAAAACUUGAAGCAUACCAUGUUCACCCAAGGAAGGACAGGUGGAAGUUGGUCUGAAAUGAAGUUUUGACUCAUGUCUAAGAAUACCAAAGUUUCUAUGCUUGUGUUCCACAUCCAUUUUGGUACUUGGCCCUGGAUUUUGUUUGCAGCAAUGUCGAAACGCGUCAACCCCUUUUGAUAUUGUAAGAAGGAUGGAAACUCACUUAUGUUGCAAGAACUCAAUCCAAGAAUGGUGAAUUGUUGAACUGUUGAAUUCACAAUUCUGGAUUCAGUGACAAAUUCUAAACUGUUCCAAUUGAAUGUGAGUUGGGAAAGAAAUUUUAGAUUUUGAAACAUUUGAAACUCCACUACACCACUCAGACUAUUCGAUGCUAGGUAAAGGAUCUGAAGGUUUGUGAGAUUUGAAAAUGACAAGGGAACUGAACCAUUUAAUCUAUUAUAAUUAAAAUCUAGGUACUCUAGUUUGCUAAAGUUUCCUAACCAAGAUGGGAUUGGACCAGUUAAUCGACUCGUACUAAUCCUAAAAGUAACCAGUUGGGUAAGGUUUGAGAAGGAAUCAGGAAUUGGACCUCCAAAUUUGUUGGCUGAAAUGUCUAGAUAAGUGAGCUUCCUAAGAUUCCCAAGUGAAGAUGGAACCAACCCUUCCGAAAAAUUGCAUUGAGCCACAUCCAACUUUUGCAGUGAAUCAAGGUUUCCAAUCGAAGAGGGUACGUUUCCGAAAAAACUGGUAAAUGAAACUUUCAGAAGCAUGAGAGGACUACUUCGAUUAAAUUCAGGAAAAUAUCCAGUCAGAUCUUGGUUGUAUCUCACAGUAAGAAUUUCUAGGUUUGGUAGCUGGAAAAUUCUCACCGGAAAUUCACCAAACAGGUGACAUUCCACGAGGGCUAGGGUUUUCAAAGAUGAUAAGUUAGCCAUUGAAUGAGGAAUUGCCGAAGAUAUGUUUACGAAACUGAGAGAAAGUACCUCGAGACUAGUUAAGUUAUGAACCAGGCUUCCAAGAUCUGAUGCCUCAAGUUUCAACAAGGGACGAUCCUCAUCUUCUGACAAAGGAUCUACAUUGCCAGAUAGAUCAAGGUAUGUCAACUUGGAUAACAGUGAAACUUCUGAAGGAACUUGACCAGAAAAGACAGAGAAAGAGAGGUCAAGAUGAGUAAGGCUUGGAAAAUUCCUAAUGCUAGUAGGAAUUUGAGAGUGAUUGAAGUUAUUAUCAGAGAGAUUUAACCUUUGAAGAUGAACGAGGCGGAAGAGGCUGCUAUUGCUGUUGAUAGAGCCGUAGAGAC